GUUCUCAAGCUCAUUUUCUGAUGCAUUUAGUGCAAAGUGUAAGCCAUCUUUUUUAUAAUGCUAAUCUGUUCAUUUGCAAUUUGUGCCUUGAUCCCCUUCCUUAUCAUGUAUUGUAAUGGAAUAGCUUUAGUUAUGGCUUUACUGAGGGCAUUAUGCUAAAAACAUACACACACUCACCAGACAUAAAACAAGUGAAAUUUCCCCUUAUCAUGACAAAUUUCUACAUGUCAAUAAACAGGGUCCAAAAUGCUUUUCUCAUACUAUUUUGUUUUACACAUUUUUCAUGUGCGUUUUCAGUUAUAUAUCUUACCCCCUCACAUAUCCUCCUAUCUUCUCUCAAAUUAUAUUUCUACAGUUUGGCGAGUGUUUGAUAACUAUUCAAUGCAUAUCUGCAGUGAGUUUAUUAGAGAAUAAUGUUCGAUCAAAUCAACCUGUCAAAUCUGUUACUUCACCCCACGUGGAAGAUGAGCCUUUUGAAUCUCUUGAAGAACUUGAGGCUCAGACUAUAGGAAACCUCCUUCCUGCUGAAGAUGAUCUGUUCUCUGGAGUGACUGAUGAGUUGGGACAUAAUACUCAUGUCAAUAGUGGCGAUGAUUUGGAAGACUUUGACCUGUUUAUCACUGGUGGAGGCAUGGAAUUAGAAGGGGAUGAUAGUGUAACUGUCGGUCAAAAAAAUUCUGAUUUUGUUGGGGGAGUUAACAAUGGUCAAGUAGGUCCAAUUGUUGGUGAACAUCCUUAUGGUGAACACCCUUCUAGAACAUUAUUUGUCAGAAACAUCAAUAGCAAUGUUGAAGACACUGAGCUACAGGCUCUUUUUGAGGUGCAUACUAUUCAGUGCUUUGUUUGUCUUUCAUGUGGACCAGUCAAUGCAGUUUUUCUUACAUUUGAUAAUUGCAUUUUGUUCUGUCAGCAAUAUGGGGAUAUUCGAACACUUUAUACAGCAUGCAAACAUCGUGGUUUUGUUAUGAUCUCUUAUUAUGACAUCAGGGCAGCUCGGAAUGCAAUGAUAUCUCUUCAGAAUAAGCCAUUGAGGCGAAGGAAACUUGACAUACAUUACUCAAUUCCAAAGGUGCAUGGAUUUUGUAGUGAUUCUUAUCUUAUGAUUAUCAAUUUUUUUUUGUUCUCCUUGUCAUUUCUGUGGUUGCUUUUGUUUGUUAUUUGGCGUCUUGCUUUUGCAUGUUUCUAUUGACACUUCUUUUUUUUUUUUUGGGUAUUCUGGAUAUAUCAGGACAAUCCAUCUGAGAAAGAUAUUAACCAAGGCACUCUAGUGAUUUUCAAUCUUGAUUCUUCUGUUUCAACUGAGGAGCUACACAAAAUAUUUGGAGUUUAUGGAGAAAUUAAAGAAGUAAAUUGUGAACAGAGUAGCAUUUUGCAUCAAAUUUACAAUAGAUGAAAGUUUUAUAUCCAAUUUAUGCUGUUCCUUUUUGUGGUUUGCAGAUCCGUGAGAUCCCACACAAGCGCUAUCACAAAUUCAUAGAGUAUUAUGAUAUUAGAGCUGCAGAAGCAGCUCUGUCUGCAUUAAAUAGGAGUGAUAUUGCUGGGAAGCAGAUAAAGCUGGAACGGAGCCUUCUCGGGAGUACAAGACGGUAUUGUCAUUGUACUCUUCUUAUUAUUCGAAUUACCCAGUUAAGAUUGCUUCUAAUGAGGCUAAUUCUCACAUUGAUUUUCUUUAACUUUAUUAUUUCUGCCUUUUGUAUUCUCUAAUUGUUUAUUUGUGAACAAAGUGGCUCCUUGUUUCUGGGCUACUUUAAUAAGCUGCUAGCACAUUAAAAUGGUUCUCUACCGCAUCCACCCGCAUCUCUCUCUCUCUCUCUCUCUCUCUCUCUCUCUCCUUGUUUUGCCUUUUAUACUUGUCUCUAAUUGAAAUUUUCUUUUACAGUUUGGUGCCAAAGCCUGAGCAGGAGCAAGAUGAACCCAGUCUUUGUCCAAGCCCUUUUGACGACUUAUCAUCUGGACGACUUGGUAGUUCAUUCUGUAAAAAUUUGUUCCAGUUAAAUAUGAUCAUGUUUUCCCUUUUAGAACAUAUAGUUUCUUGUCCUUAUGCUAUGUCUUUUACAGCAGCACUUUCUUCUGGAGUAAUUGCAUCUGGUUCCAUGAACAAGGGAUCAGCCCAAGUUUUACCUUCAGCUGUCCAGUCACCUGUGGGUUCAUUUAUUGAAUCUCAUCUGAGUUCUAGUGUUCCAAAUAACUUGCCUUCUCCACUGACGAUGGCAUCUAUUGGCAAACAGUUUGGACUUAAUGAAUCUAGUCACUCCAUGGAUGAAAUAAUGUUCAGUAACCAAUGCAUUCCAAGUUUCCACCCUCAUUCCUUGCCAGAGUAUCACGACAGUUUAGCCAAUGGUGUUCCAUAUAACUCUUCAACGACUAUAGGAAGCAUGGCUCAUAGUGUUGGUUCAAAAGUGACAGAAGGAAUCAACAGCAGGCAUAUUCAAGGAGUACGGUCAAAUGGGCACCUGAUGGAACAUAAUGGAGGGGGUAAGUCCUGAUGCUUAUAACAUGCUGGGUCCAUUUCGUACCACUUUUCUUGCAUCUCUACAAGGAGAGGAAUCUGGGUAACUAACUGAACAACAAUAGGAGAAUGGAAUUUAAAGUCUUAAUAUUACAUAUAGCUCCUGGCAGUUAAAAAACUAUGUUGAUAGGCUUUACAAUGCUGACAUGCUUCAUAUAUAUAGAUGUAAUACAAGAAGGAUAAAUCUAAUCACACUUCAGAAGCAUCUGAAUAGAUUUUUGCAGGAAGGAAACGUUUUUAAAUAUAGAACUGUAUACUUAAAAUUUCUUACUGAACUGCUAAGAUUGAGAUCAUUGAAAUAAACGUGCAUAUUCAAAUUAGUUACCUUUCAGUUGAAAAUAGUUAUUAUGGGCAGGACAAACUCUUGUGAUCAACAAUCAACAAUUUGUGUUGCACUUUUGCUCUGAAAAAAAUUUGAAACUUUUGUCUGACCCGUGUUCCAGGAUGAUUGCUUUUGCUGCCUUGUAGUAUUAUUAUAUCCUUAUGUAUGGUUCAGAUGGAAGCUAACCUCAAAAUGCUUGUCUCUCAGAGUUUGGGGAAUUGGAUUAUAUGACCUGGAUGUGCAGCCUAGCUAUGUGGUUAGCUAAAUUGUGUUUUUAAGUGUUUUAUUUAUCAUACCAAUUUCCUGUAGGAUUGAGAGUAGUUAAUUGCUUUGGCAUGUUAUUAAUCCAAGGUAGCUUUUCGUAACCCCAUAGGUCCUUUUCAAAAAAUUAUAAUUUACCAAAAUUCAAAUAUUAGUAGAUAUGAAAAAUAUGCUACUUUUGGAAGGUAGUGAUUGUUUCUCAUGAGAAUGGGUAGUUCAUACUUCAAAAUAGAGUAUUUCACAAAUCCUGUUCUGCAUUGAGUUUGAUACCUCAUUAUCAUUUAUUGUUAACUUUAUAUUUUUUUUCAAGUUAUAAUGCUAUCUGAAUUGAAAUGCAGUUAUGUGAUAAAUGAGAAACAUACAAGGAUUAGAAUUAUUGUGCUUGACUUUUUCACUAAUGCGACCCACUAUGACAGUAGAAUUAUUUAUUAUCCCUUUGCCUCACCCUUGACUUAAUUCUGUUUCAUGGUUGAGAUGUUUGAAUCUUAGCUUAAAGCCUAUUUUCUCUGCUUUUUUGCACUAAAUAGCUGAAUCUAGUGAUGGCCCCGUUAAGUUCCUUUAGAACUCCUGUUUUUUUGUAAAUACUUAGUUUUCAAACUUCGCUUGGACAUUAUUCACUCAGUUGUGAUAUACAAUGUUUGAAGUUAACCUUAUAUUGCAUUAUAUUGUUUCCUUUGAAGUUUGGAGAUAUAAUUCAUUAGUAUUUGUUUUCAGUUGGUGGCAUCAUUUUCAAAUUUAUUAAUCAUUUUGGUAAUUUUCUUCUUACAUAAAAUUCUCUGUAGUUUUUGGAUCUUCUGGAAAUGGAACUGGCUCUCUUCCAGGGCAUCUUUACAUGUGGAACAAUUCAAAUUCAGGUCAGCAACAUCAUGCAAACCAUAUGAUUUGGCCAAACUCACCAUCAUUUACCAAUGGUGUUCAUGCUCAUCACGUUCCACAUAUGGCUGGACUUCCUCGAGCAGCUCCGGUUAUGCUCAACCAGUUACCUGCACAUCAUCACAUUGGAUCUGCACCAGCUGUCAAUCCUUCCUUGUGGGACAGGCGACAAGCUUAUUCUGGGGCGUCUCCGGAAGCUUCUAGUUUCCAUUUGGGUUCUCUUGGGAGUGUGGGUUUUCCUGGUAGCUCUCCACCACAUCCUAUGGAAAUUGCAUCCCACAACAUUUUCUCUCAUGUUGGUGGAAAUUGUAUGGAUGUGACUCAAAAUGCUGGACUACGCACUGCUCAGCCAAUGUGCCACAUUUUUCCUGGGAGGAACCCGAUGAUCUCAAUGCCAUCCCCUUUUGAUUCUUCUAAUGAACGUGUCAGAAAUCUCUCACAUCGUAGAAUGGAAUCCAAUUCCAAUCAUUCAGAUAAGAAACAAUAUGAACUUGAUAUUGACCGCAUAUUGUGUGGCGAAGAUAGUCGAACCACAUUGAUGAUAAAGAACAUUCCAAACAAGUAAGGAAAAAAAAACUCCAUAUUUUCAAAUUUGUCCAUCGUAAGAAUUCUUACUAAAAGUAUAAUGAAGUAUUUUUAGAUUUCUUGUGAACUAGUCAUUUUAAUAACAAAUAUGUUCAAAUGCCCUGAUACUUUGUGGAUCUAGUGCCAAUUUUACAGGGUACUAGUGAUGAAUGAGAAACUAAAAAAAAAAAAUUUUUGUUAAUGAACUAAUUGAGAAUAGAAUGGUUUUUGGUCCUUGCCAUCCAGUUUAUGUUUUGGUACUUUACCGUGAAUUUUCCACUUUAAAACUGUUUAGCAUAGUGCAACUUAUUAUGUACAAAAGUAGUGGUUAAAAUUUAUUGUCGUAUGCCACAAUGGUCUUUAUGCUUCCUUUACCAAAGGAGCUUGGAAGUGCUUAGUCCAUUUGAUUUGCACUUUGUUUUAUCUUCACAGUUUGUGGUUUCAUCUUUCUAUUUUGCCCCCAGAUAUACUUCAAAGAUGCUAUUGGCUGCCAUUGAUGAGCACUGUCGAGGAACAUACGACUUUAUUUACUUACCAAUUGAUUUCAAGGCAAGUAAUCUGUUUCUUUACUGAGAGCCUCACAUUCUGAGCUUGUCUACAGACAUACAGAUAUGCAUAUGAUGCAAUCUUCACAGUUCUCUUGUAGCACUAAUUGAAAUUUCUAGUUGUGAUUUAACAGAACAAAUGCAAUGUGGGUUAUGCAUUCAUUAACAUGAUCGAUCCUCAACAAAUUAUUCCAUUCCACAAGGUCUGAUGUUGCUUUAGUGACGUAACAGUAGUUUGUCAUUCUUCUGUGAAAGGAAAUACUCCUAUGGCUCUCAACCCAUGAAUUUUAAAAGCUAACAGCAAAGGCAAACAUAUCCAUUUGCAGGCAUUCAAUGGCAAAAAAUGGGAGAAGUUCAACAGUGAAAAGGUGGCAUCUCUUGCAUAUGCUCGAAUUCAGGGAAAAGCUGCUCUUAUUGCUCAUUUCCAGAACUCAAGUUUGAUGAAUGAGGAUAAACGCUGUCGCCCUAUACUCUUCCAUACUGAUGGGCCGAAUGCUGGUGAUCCGGUAUGUUAUUGAGGCUUGCGAUUCGCUUGCCAUUAGACAAUGUUGCACCUGAUAAUUUCUAAUGACUGUCAGUUACAUUUUAUUUUCUGAAACCAAUGAUGAUUUUCUGGAAGAUUGUGCUUUUGGCGGUCAAAAUUCUGGUUAAUGUUAUACAGAUUUGGUUAAAGUAGUUCCGUAAGUGGAUAUUGUCCUCAUCUCUAAGCUUUACUACACAAGUUACUAAAUUCUCAAAUUUUGUUGGCCCAUCUUAAGUCUUAACCGUAAGUUAGAUCUGAUUGUAACUAACGGAGAUGAACUGAAACAAUGUCUCAUUUUUAAUGUUGCAGUUUAUUCUUACCUGCCAAACAAACUUGUCAAUCUUCACUAGAGGCUUCUUUUGAUGUUAGUCCCUUAUUGUUAUGAGGAUAAACAACAUCAGAUACGAAGGACUGUAACUACAUUCAUUGUAUAAGCUAUUAGAACUCUGGUUAUAAGAGUUUAGCAUUACCCAAUUAUUUUAUUCACUAGAUGGAUUACAAGUCAUGGGUGAUGCUCUGGACUGCUUGUGAUUUGUUACUUUAUUGCGCGAUUUUUGAAAGAGAAUACAGUUUGACUUUUUUGUUUCUAGUACCAUCCACCAAACAAAUCUGUUUUCUUAUGUAGGAGCCUUUCCCCAUGGGUACCAAUAUUAGGUCAAGAUUGGGCAAACCUCGAACCAGUGGUAAUGAAGACAACCACCAUCAGGUGAACCCUUCUACUUCAGCAAAUGGAGAAGAUUCUUCCAAUGGAACAGACUCAACAUCGAGUUCCGAAUGAUCAGUAUGCUUCCUUCAAGGCACUAACUCUAAAAAUCUGUACGAAAGAGUACAGAGAACCAUAUCCACCCCAAUUCUGUAAACUAGGGGUGGCCUGACAACUCUCUUUUUUGUCUUAUAGAGAAGCACUUUUACAAAGUUCUGGAUGCCAAAGUGCACAUUCAGCGCCAAGUGGGCAACAUCAAAAUUUUCUGUUCCCAUUAAAAAAAAAAAAAGUUUCUUAUCUAGGGCCAAAUAUGAGCAUAGAGAAUGGCUUAAUAAAGGCUUAAAAAUUUUGGUUAGUCUUGACUAGACAAUAUUACGAUGUACAGGAGUUUCACCCCCCACUUGUGCACAGGCUUAGGAGGGAUCUUCUGUGUUAUCGUUUUCAGUUUUGUCUGUAAUUUCAAUUUUCCCAGUGGGGGUGUUCCGGCUAAUUGUUGGUUCAGUUUUUGUUUUAAGGUCGAGUGUGUGGUUGCUCAAGGGGACUCCCAACACAUUGAUGUAUCUCGGUUUUAGAAAUUUUUUUUAAGUGUUAUUUUCUUCUGUAACCAAUGCUAUUUAAUACUUGUAAUCUCAUCUCCUGUGGUUGUCUACGGAUUUAUCAUAACAGAAUUAGUAACAUUGAUGAAUUUGAUCUUGUAGACUGAAUGGUGUUUGUUUCAUGGUGCCGAUAGGGCUUGCGAGCUGUGGUUGAUGAAUAAUUUUUUCUUUUUUGAAUAAAAGAAGUUUUGUUUUUAUGAGUGUUGAAAUUUAGUUUUGCUUGCACUGCCACAGUCGCGAACGGGUCUUUGGCUAUUGGAUGUGGAUGGUAUUGCAAACGCCUUUAGUUUUUACGUUUUAAAUGUCUAAAUUUUAAUGUAAUAUUAAAGGGAAAAUUACUCUACGGCCCCUAGAUUUUAGAGAAAUUAAUUAAGUGAUUUUUAUAAUUUUUAGAGAUCAUUAAAAUGUCCUUCAUUAUUUAAAAAAUAUACUAAUAUAUCGAUUUAAUCUUUCUAUUAAAAUUUUUAUUAGUUAAAGGUUAGAAAAUAUAAUUAAAGAAUAGAGGGUUUAUUAUAAUUUUAAAAAUGCCUCUUCCUUUUUUUAAUUUUUAUUUUUAAAUUUUACAUGACACUUGAAAUUUCAUCUCUUUCUUUAUGAUGAAACAGACCCGAUCGGAAUCACCACCACCAUUGCUGUCACUUUCGUUUCCGUUCGCCUUCACUCUCGUAGAUGAUGAAAUUACUCAUUCCUCCUCCCAUCACUCUCGUAGAUGACGAAAUUAUCCAUUCCUCCUCCCAUCGUCUCUCCUGUUGUCAAUGUUAUAUUUAUUGCUUUCUUUUUCUCUUUACCUUUGACCAUACAUGCAUUGGGCUCUGAUUUUACAUUUGACGUCAUUUUCGCCUCCGUAUAUAGCAUUGUGACGGUGAAGUUCACUGAGAGUAUCAUAUGCUGUGGAACAAGUGGUUAGGUUAUAAACGUUCAACUCACCGUCUCUUUCUCUAUCAUUUUAAGUGGGCAGGACUUUUUCUGUGGCCUCCAGUCUGGCGGAUACAAUUUAGCAACUAAAUAACACAGUAAGUAGUACACUGGUAUUGUUUCAUGCUAGAGAGGAGAUGGAAGUAUCAGCAAUAGAUGGUGAUCACUUUCAGUCAAUUUAAUAUGGGAAUGAAUUUUCUCUUGGAUUCGAUGUGCACUUACAAGAAAUGGAUUGGUGGUUUGUUGGGGAGGAGAAGCAUUAGGUUUAGAGAUUUUAUAGAGGAAUUAGUAUAAUUUUGAAUAAGGUUAAAAUCGUCUUUUUUCUAUGAACAAAUGAAAUCUGUUAGUCUUUUUAACCAUUAUAUUUUUAAAUAAGGAGAGACAUAUUUUAAUGCUCUCUAAAAAUUAUAAAGAUCACUUAAUAAAUUUCUUUAAAAUUUAGGAAUUUUAGAGUAAUUUUUUAAUAUUAAAUUUACAUAUUCUAUUUAUUCAAGUAAAAGUAAAUACUAUCGAGGAGGAUAGUUUUCAAUAGAAUAUUAUCAUGCCAUUAUUUUUUAAAAUUUUUGAAAUUUGAAUCUUUUAACGUUGAAAAUUGUUUACAAUAGAAUAUUAUCCCAUGUACAUUCACCAUUAUUUAACUUAUUGAAUUUUUUUUUUUUUGCAAUUAACUAAUUAUAAUUUAGUAUAUCUAUUACUUAGCUUCCGCUGUAUAAAAAAAAUUCUUGUGAAAUUACCGUUGGCACUAUGAAAAUUGUAAAAUAUAUAAAUUUAAAAAAAAUUGACAUUAGAGCCGUUAAACUUUGAGAUGUGCGCUUUGUUACUUUUCAUGCCCCUUCAUGAUUUUCUCUCUCUUUUUUUUUUUUAUUUUUUUAUUUUUUUAUUUUUAAAUAAAGCUUCAUUAAAACUCACAGAAUUCUGGGUGUUUGUAGUCCACACUUGCUCAUCUUCUCCGUCCAUCCGAGACUUUGCUAAGGAAUAUGCAACCUCAUUUGCUGGGCGAAGAAUCGCGUGCCGAACAACGAGACAGCAAUUGACAAGUCCCGACAAUCCAAAAUAAUACUACCUAUUUCAUUUACGGGAGCUUCCUCACGGUGAACAAGAGUAAUAAUAUUCCGACAGCAUUCGAAUUCUGUUUAGCUGGAAUAAACCCCUUUAAUCAACAGUAGCAUCAAGAGGAAGAAACUGAGGAGGUGUAAUAAUUUCAUGUUAAACUCUAUCUGUCUAAGUUAAUUUCAAAAUAAUUUCUUCUUCUGAGUAAUGAAAAUAAUUCAUUUUUAAAUUUAUAUAAUAAAAUAUAUUAUAUUUAUUCUAAAAAAAAAAUUUAAUUAAUACCAGAAUCAAAAUUUUAUAAUAACAAGCACAACCUUUGCCAAAAAAAAAAAGCACAACAAUAAAAUUCAUAUUUAGUUUUUUUUUUUCUUAUUAUUGAAAGAUAAAUUACUAUUUAAUUUUUAAUUUUUUUACCAUUAACAUUUGAAUUCCUCUAUUUUAAAAAUUAAAUAAUUUAAUACCUUAAUUUUAUGUUCAUCAUGGGUAUAAUUUUGUCACUCAGUAUAAUUAAUUAUAUUUUUAUCUAUUGCUCUCCCAUUUUCUUUUCUCACCUUAUUUCUUUUUAAGAGUAAAGAGAGAGACUGAAUUAUUUAUAAUUAUAAAAUUAAGGGAUAAAUUAUAAACAAUUAUACCUACCCUAAGACACUAACAUAGAACAUAUGGCAGAGUAUAAAUGUGAAAGGGAAUGAAAAUUGGGGGCUAAAUUUAAUUUGCAAAAUAUAUUGGCCAAGUGUUAAUAAUAGUAAAAUUCAGGAGUUAAAUCGUAAAUUUUCUAAAUAAAGCGCAUGCUCUGUAAUAUAUAAUGGUUAAAUGUUACAUAAAUAUAUUUUAGCAUUUUUAUUUAAUAUUUUAAUUUUAAUGUAUAACUUAAUAAAUAAAUCAAAAUUUUUAAAAAAUUACUUUUAAACGCUUAGAAUUUUUUAAGUACUUCUCUUAAACACACGAUAUAUAAUAGUCGAAGCCAGCAAACCCUGUGAUUUCUCUGGCGCUCGCCGAGAGCAAGGGUACUGUUCUGUACAAAGGAAAUAUCAAACAAAGAUACGAACGAUUGCCGUUUCUCUGGGAGAGGGGCAGCGAUUAUGAGCGCGCCUCGUCCGAUUCUCAAAAAGCCAAAACUAGAACUAGACGACGGCAACAACGACGACCGACAACUAGUAAGAAAACCGAAUUCGAUGUCCGAAGAAGAGAACGGUGGAGGAGGAGAAGAGGAAGCCACCAGCAGAGAAGAGCAAGAGGAGGCUUUGGUUGCGUUGAUCGAUCACCGUACUCGUGAAGUUGAACAUCUCAAGACACGUAUCUCCUAUUAUAAAUCUCAGGUAGUUUUUAAAUAGUUUUCUUUUUUAAUCCAUUAUGUUGGUCAUUAUCCGGAUUCUGCAAUUACAUUUGGGGGUUUUCCAAUGGUGCUAUUAUAGUAUACAUUGCUACAUUUUAUGCGCGGAGUGAGUUGUUAGCUUUAUUUUUAUUUCUUCAUUAAUGACAUUGAUGCUUUCGAAGUGAAGUAAAAGCAUCCUUAAUUAGUAAGUCUCAGCUUUCAUGGGCAGAUUUUUAUUUUUGUAGUUCUUUGUCGGAUUUCAAUAUCAGCUGCAGGGGUUUCUUUUCACAUUCAAAAGGGAACAGAUAGUACUUGUUUAAUAAAGGAACUUUUCUAUGUAGUGAUGUUUCAUGACUGCCAGAAUGUAUGCCUUUUUUUUUUUAACAAAUUUUCAUUGUGUCAAAUUAAGGAUAGCUUUAAAUUAAAUGAAAAAAAGAGACUUUAUAGUGAUGUUUCUUUGAUCUAUCAAAAAAAAAAAAAAGAUUGACUUUCAUUCUGUCAAAUUAAGGAUAGUUUAAGAGAUGCACUUUUUGAUGUAGUGAUGUUACCUUGCUUGCUCAAAAAGAGGCUCAAAGUAAGAUGAGGAAUAUUGAAAACCUAAUAACGGACAGAUAAUUGACAUCCUUCACUUAUGUCAUACUGUUUACCAGAGAAUUCAUGUUGGAAAGAUUUUGACGAAUAAUGAAAUUAACAAAGGUUGUGUUUGGAUUCAUGGAUUUUUGGAUUUGUUCAAACAUUGGAUUUAAAAUUUAAAAUUUAAAGUUAUCUUCUUUUGGCAACAAAAAGAAUUUUAAAUUUUCAAAAUGGAGGUGAGUAUCUAAUAAAAAUGUUUUUGGUGGGCCGGUUUGAAUUUCAAAUAACAUAAUCAAUGUUGCUAUUUCUGAUUCUUAUUUUUUGAGUCUUUAUAGUUAUCUUGGAUUUGAUUGAGAUCUAACUUUAUAUUUUUUAAACUUCCCAAACAAGAUAUUUGAUCCAAAUCAAUGGAUUGAAGUGCUUGAAUCCAAAUACAUAAUUUAAUUAUUGGCUAAUUAUUCCUAUGGAAAAGUUUGCAGCUCCAGCAAGCAGAGAAAAGGUUGCAUGAAACAGAAGCUCGAUUGGCUCGCAUUAGGGGACAAAGCAAUGCAGCUCCAUCUAAAGCUUCUAUGGGAAAUGGAACUAAAAGUGCAAAGAUGGAGUGUAGAUCAACCAGUCCUAUCCAUACCAUUGAAGGUGCUCCUAGGAACCAGCCUCAAUUGAGAACUGAACUCCUGAUUCCUGCUGCAAAUCCAAAAAUUUCACAACCUAUAAAAUUGGCAGGGUCCAGUACAAAAUUGUCUGUUGGUUCUGGUGCUCAAUCCAGUCCCUCCAUCCACACUAAUACAGUUCCAAAAUUAAAAGCAGAAAAAUCUUACAGAAGUUCUCCUGAUGCAGAAGUUAAUGAAAUUCAGGAUAGAGGAACAAAAAGGAAGCUUGGUAAUAUUUGUGUUGGACCGAUCAUUCAUUUUUACUUUGAGUUAAUGUGUGUAUGUGCAUUUUAAGUGGGGGGGUGGGAGACUUGUGCAUAUGGAAUUGCAUUUGGCAUCACUUGAUGCAUGGUUGCUUGCUAAGUUUGAAAGUGUUUUUUUUUCCAUCCAAGUUCAUCAGAAUUUUCUGUAUAUUUGCAGAACAGAAAGAACAUAAGGAGUUGAUUCCAUUGAUACGAAGUAGCUCUUCUCCAUGCACAAUCCGCUGCCAUACAAGUAAUCACAUCUCUAGUCAGCAUAAGAGAAAGUUGAGAAGUCUUGUUCUUUGUCCAGUAAAUGAUCAACUGUUUGCGACCAGGUGAUUUGCUAUUCGACCUGUUAAUCAGCAAAAGAGAAAGAUAACUUUAAAUUAAAUGGAAGGAUAUACUGUUUGAAAUUAUUGAAUACUUUUGAACUUGCUUCUUUCAGUGACAAUCAAACAAAUGACAGACGAGAAAAUGAAAAAUGUUUCCAUAUUUAAGACCUUUCACCAUCUGUAACAUGACUAUUCAAGGAUACUUCUUGGUUGUGUUGCUUGAUAAUAAAUGUUGUUUGCAGUAUAUUUAAAGAUGGAACUGCAUUGACUUCAAUAGAAGCUCAAAUCAUCUUUGGAUUGUUUUAAAAUGAGAAACUAAUCAUUUUGUUCCACAUAAACAAAAUGCUCUCAAUGGAAAAUUUGCAGAGAAAUUUUUCUCUAGUUCUGAUUCUGUAGGAUUAUAGAGCAACAGGAAAGAGUGCUGGUUGGAGUGAUGACCAAAUCAGCAAGACCAUGGAAAGUGGACUGCAAGUCAAUGGUGAAACUGUGAAAGUGAUAAUCUCGUCUUGCAUAAGAGCUGUCUGCAUUCUACUGGAUGAGAAGUAUUUAAAUCCACAUAUUAAGUAAUAAAGAGGCGCGUCUAGGAUUAUAAAUGGACUAAUAAGGAUGUAAAAUUUCUCUCAUGUUUGAAUUAUUCAAAGAUGGGUUUGUUAGAAUUCAUCAAGUGCAGUUGCUCGUAUUCUGAAACAUGAAUGUGGAAUAUUGUUUCUCCUAAGAGCUCUAUAGUUACAAGGAAGAAGAUACACGUGCUUGAAGUUUAAGGAUAAGUUUAGCUCAGAUGUUGCACGUUUUCUUGUUGCUUAAUUUUUUUUUCAGCCCAUAAUGUUCAUUUUGUAAAUAUGAAAAUAACUCCUACGGUAUUAAUUUAUCUUUCUUGUUCUUGUAUAAUCUGUAUUAUCCGAAUUAUGUAAUGUUUUGGAUAUAUAUACAGUGCUUUGGAUGGAAUGGUCAACUUAUGGCAACUUCAAUCUCGGGGGUAAGACUGAAAUUUGAUUGCUAUUUAUGCAUUGUCACUGACACAUCAUUUUUUUUUGAAAUGCACGUCUUGGUUAAGGAUAGUCAGAUAUACACGACACUUUGGCACUCCAAAAGUAGGGGGCAAAAUUAUUUAAUUUUGGAAAUUAGGAAGCCAAGCUCGUGAACAUGCUCUCCUGUCAUAUCUGAGUCUAAGCAAUAUGGACUUUGCACAUUUUCCUGUAUUAGCUGAGGUACUAGCGGACAGAAAGAUGUGCAAAGUUGUGUGAAAAAAUAUGCAUAUGCUGCAUUUUAGCUUACUGUAUGAUCUUGUACAUUUGAUAGAGAAACAUGCACUAGAUGGACACUGAAUAUUAUGCAAAUGAGAAAAGUUCUGUUCUGUGGCAUAUUUGAUGCUUUAGAGUUCAUGGUGAGAUUUAAGGUCUACAAUUGUAGUUUGUGUUUUGUUUGGUUGCAAUUUAUGAUCAUUUGGUGGAUGCUUGUUUGGCUGCAAUCAUGUGUGAUCAUUUCUAGAGAGGAAUGCACAGCACUUUAUUUAUUUCUGUCCAACUAAACCAAGUAAAAAUUUGUCAAUUUCACUUUUCAGCACUGAAAGUCUGAAACCUUACUUUUUAGCUGAGUCACACUUGAGCUAGUGAUUAAAUUGAACUUUUUGGAAUAUCUUUAUGUUCUCAGUAAGAGAUAUGUACCUGGACAAAUGAAUGACUGCACUCCUUGCUUGCCACCACCCAAACAUGCACAAAGACACCCACCUUUUGUUUGCUCUGUUUCCUUUUGUUUUCCUAUUUCUGAGGAGGGUUUUGUAAUUGCUAUUUAGCUAUCUGUGUGCUGUUUUUCAUUUUUAUGAGUAAUGUAUCACUUUGAUGCAUACAUUGAACUCUAAUUUUUUAGUUCUGUGAGGUAAAGAUUCUUAGUCUUGUUCUUUUUCCUCUUACCUUGCAGAUCAGGUGCCUCUCUUCUCAGUUCCACUGAUUGUAUGUCUUCAAAGCAUAGGCGGUGGCCAGAAGAUAUGGCUUGGCACCCACUGGGGAACAACCUAUUAUGUACUUACAGUGCUGAUGGUGGGGAUUCUCAGAUAUCAAUUCUAAAUUUGAAUAAAACACAAGGGGUAUGGAUCUUUGUUAAAUGAUUUACUUUCUGAAUAAUAUUCUAAUUUCAUGUACAAUAACCUGUUUAAAUUGAUGCACUUCCGUAUUGUUGUGGAGUUGGCAAUGAACUCUUUCUACUUAUUUACUUUGGCAGAGGGCCCGUGUGACGUACUUAGAGGAGAAGCCUCAUGUCAAGGGUAUAAUUAACAGCAUAAUGUUCAUGCCCUGGGAAAAUGCCUGUUUUGCUACGGGUGGUAGUGAUCACGCCGUUAUACUUUGGAAUGAGAAAGAUACUGAGAAUUUAUGGAAGCCAAAGCAAUUGCAUAGGAAUAUGCAUUCUUCAGCUGUCAUGGGAAUUGCUGGAUUGCAACAAAAGCAUGUAGUUCUGUCGGCUGGUGCAGACAAAAAAAUUAUAGGGUUUGACGUUCAGGUAGGGAGAGCAGACUUCAAGCAUCAACUAGAUAGUAAAUGCAUGAGUGUUCUGCCUAAUCCAUGCGAUUUCAAUCUAUUCAUGGUUCAGACAGGGUAAGUUUUUUUUUUUUGGAUCCAUGUUAUCUUUAUUUAUUUGCUGAUUAAUGCUCUGCUUUGUUACUUCCGGAAAUCUACUCAAUUAGCUAGGUUUAUUGUUGUAUUCAUGUUCACAAACACACAAUUCUUCCACCUGGUUUCUUGAUAUGCCAUGGGUUUUAAAUUUAGUAGCAAAAGCUAAAUAUCCAAUGCAUGUAAUUUAUGUAAAUUUUGAACCUCUUUUCUAUAUAAUCAAGAUUCAAUACACAUAUGAUAGGUGGUGGAAGAGCAUUUUAAUGUUGCAGAAACUUAUCUUUAUCCUUUGAAGAUAAUGCUUUUUCUCUUUAUAAUUUUCUGUUAUGUGUAUGCCGCUUGAAAGUUCUGAUCUGAGAUGUGACAUAUGCAGGACUCCUGAGAAGCAGCUGAGAUUGUUUGAUAUAAGACUUAGGCAGACAGAGCUUCACUCUUUUGGGUUUAAGCAAGAAAGCAGUGACUCUCAGUCAGCUUUGAUCAAUCAGGCUUGGUCUCCUGAUGGUUUGUACCUGACAUCUGGUUCAGUAGAUCCUGUGAUCCACCUAUUUGAUAUCAGGUACAAUUCUCACAAGCCAUCCCAAUCUGUAAGAGCUCAUCAGAAACGGGUUUUUAAAGCAGUAUGGCAUUACUCUCACCCACUUCUGAUUUCUAUAUCUUCUGAUCUGCACAUUGGGUUGCACAAGAUAUAGCAGUUUUGUGAACAUUUUGGGCCUGUAAAGGCAGUUUCUUCAAUAGCUCGUUUUGCAUUUUGAUGCUCCUUGUUUCAAUUUGAGGUGAAAGAAAUAUAAGACAAGCCUUUGGAGAAUGGCUUGUCUGAGAACAUGAUUUGGCAUAUUUUGCCUUUGAGAUGUAGGAAAAACGAUCCAAAAAUUUUGAACUAGUUGCAAACAGAUAGAUGUUAGCGUUGGUCCUCUAUAUAUGUUCUAUAGGUAGACGCUUGCAACAAACCAGCAGUAUAAUGCUUGUAAUUUUGUUGAGCACUUUUUUGGUUGUAAACUCGUAAGAAUCAAUUGAUUACCUCCUUCGUAACAGCGUUUUAUGUUCUUUCAUGACUCGAAUGCAAUAUGGCAAUUGGGACGGUAAUUACAUAUGCCAAACUAGUAUAAAAAAAGAGAUUGUUGGCUUCUAAUUCGUUCUACGAAACCCUGCAACAAAAUAUUCUGGACAAGCGUCCAGUAUUGGCUGCGAAGAAAAAUUAAAAUCUUUUCGAGUUAGUGGCACCCAAAGUUUACUCCAAUGACAACAGCCAUCAUCAGUGUUACUCAAAUGAUUUUCAAAGGUAAAAAAUAUAUAUAUACACCGAAGAGGAGUCGCUUUUACUGAGAACGACAUGUCAUCAAACAUUUCACUGGAGUCGAAUGUCCGUUAAAUAAAGAAAAAACAUUUCACUCGAAUGGCUCGUCAAUUGGAGAUUUCAGGAAUUAACGAGCAUUACCGCAAGUCGAAGCAAAACGAUUCAAGUAAAUGACGCGUCGUUUAAACUAUAUAAAUUAAUUACCCCAGCUGCCCAGCGCUGAACUGCUGCUCCUGAGUCCUUCCGAGUUUCCUUGACACCGUUACUCUGCAGAGAAUCGUGAAAUUAAAAGCUCGGCCUGUUAGGUAAUUCUCUUUGCCCGUCGUUUAGCGAGACCUAUUCUCUUCUCUUCCUUUUCCUGCACUGUUGGUGGUAUAUUUUCCAAAUAUUUAUACUCUUUAUUUUAUAUCUUUAGUAUGGCGUAAUCUAUAAUGUAAUUAGAUUUUUUUAUUAUUAUUAAAAUUACAAAUUUAAAUCCAUUACCGUCUACUAAACCUACCAUUAGAUGUGCCAUCUGGUUAAUUGUUUUUCGAACUCAUUUGACUGUUGACUUUAGUUGAAUCUGGUGAUGGGAAUGGUUUUUAAAGGUGAAUGUGGCUGACAGGUGUUUCUGUUUAUACAAUGAAUAUUAAUCUUCUGGUUUAUAUCAUAGAAUAUAUUUGUUCAUAUAAACUUCUAACAUUAAAAAAAUUAACCUAUUUAUUGAAAUUGUUCUCUUGUAUGUUUGGAGGAAGAUUUUAGAGGUUAUGUUGGGUAUGGGUUUAUAAGGUAUACAUGUUCAGGUCACCUGAGUGUUUCUGGUUUUCAGUACUAUCAGUUUUGUCCAUGGCGUGGCAAGAGCGGAGAAUCCAAAAGGAAAUGGUAGGCUGCAGGUCCCCUGAAUGCCAAAGAAAAGAUUGACAAGAGGAAUAAGGAGAUUCAUUCUCCUUCUUCAGAACCUGCACAUGGCUCUAAAUCUACUUCUGUUGGCCAUCUAACUAGAAUGAAUAUACAACAAAAAAGAGAAGGAUGUGAACAAAAUUUCCAGUUCUUUUUGUAAUGGAGAAACAAAAACAGAGUGCUACAUGUACCACGCUUCCUCACGAGGGGAAAAAACGAAGUUGUGGACAAGUUCAAACCAAGGAUGGAGCUUUUUCUCUUUGACUUUGAACUAAAGCUUCUCUAAGGUAUCUUGUUCUUGCAUUAACAAUGAAGCUUGAUUUGGUAUCUUGCGACCAAGCAAACUAGACACACAUAGAGACAGAGAGUGGCAGCGAGAUGUUCCCUAAUGGUCAAAUACUGGCUCGGCAAAUGAUCAUCAGUUAUCGUCAAAGAAGCAAGCAAUUGUCUGCAUCAGGAAAAUGUUCAGAACUAAUGUUACUUGCCUGCAGCCGCACAGUCACAUACUCUACAACAUAUUAAAGCAUCGAAGAACCAACACCUGGACUGGCAGUGGGAGUACAUCUGUUCCUUCUUCAUAUUCUUAUCUUGGGCCACUUAAUCACAUCAUCUAACAAUUGAGUUGAGAAAAGGUCUUAAAUUUUCUGGAACUUGGAUAUUAUUUUCCAGUUGCAUUUGCAAAACAUCUCCCUCUACUGAGAACCUGAAGCAUUUGAUUUGUGAUCCAUUGUUAAAUUUCCAUGUUCAUGAUAAUCGAUGCUUAUUCUUGACAGCUCUUGCAGUAAUGUUCUAGUCUGUAAUCAAUACUGACUGGAAACUGAUGGAUUACAUUUCAUGUUCAACUGUAAAAAUCCAACUGUUACCCAAUAUAUGCACUGUUUCUACUAUGCUUGAUCUAUUAUUUUUCAAGGAUGCAGGUUAUUUUAGUUUAUGAAUGUACAAGUGUCCCUGGUAAAUUAACAUCCUUGACUUCCUGUUAGAGACCCACUGAGCUCUGACACAAGCCGUUUUCUUGUCCCAGGAUGAAGAUGGACGACUUUGGCCCUCUUCAGGACUUGAUUUGAAGUUAGUGCGUCGAGAUAUCUUUGGUCUUCUUCACAGUGGAAAGCCCAAAAGAGGAGUGGAUUUCCUAUUGACAUGGGUGAAGAGAUGAUAUGACGUUGUACUCCUAGGAACAUCGAAUCUCUCAUUUGCUUGCAAUUGCCUGGGUAGAGUGGCCUCUUGAUUUGCUCUCCUAGUGAUUGUAUUGCCUCACUAAAAAAGGAAUAACCACUCAGGAGUUGAAGCUAUAUUCACAUGGUAAGUGGGCAGAGGUGCUUCUGAGUUCUGAUUGAUGUAUUCAUACCUCAUUUAACCCACAAAUAUGUCAACCUUUAAAUAAUAAAAAAAAUUAUUAUUUAAUUCUUAUAAUAGUUAAAAAUUUACUAUUUAAUUUUUAAAAUUUAAAAAUAUAUUAAAAUAUUUAUAAUAUUAUAAAAAUUUAUUAAUCCGUCAUUCAAUUAAUUUUGAUCAUUAAAUAUUAAAAAAAUUUAAAAUAUUCUCAAAUAGAAAUACUAUAAUUAAUAAUUUUUCAUAAAAUUGGGAAAUUAAAUAAUAAUUUUUUUUUAAAUUAUAAAAAUUAAAUAAUAAAAUAUUUAAUAGUUAAAAUUAAUAUAAUGACUAAUUAAUAGAUUUAAUAUAUUUUUUAAAAAUAAGUAAUCAAUUAGUGAAUUUCUUCAAAUAUAAGGACUGCACAGUAAAUUUUUCUAAAUAAUAUUACUGAUUAAUGGGAGAUGGGGUCUAGCUAUUAUGUUUGGCUUUUAGGGGGGUUAGUAGUUAGCCUGCCAUUGAUUUGGACCCCUCUUCUCCCACACAGCAGCGGAUGCUCUUGCUUUAGCCGUAUUUUGCCAUGUCCUCUUUCUGCCUUUUGCACAUUUAAAAUUUGAGAUGGAGCAAAAGCAAGCAGGAACUUCAUAAUUGUCUUAGCUUGUGGCCCCCAUUUGUUGAUGUCUCUCUCCUAAUGUCUGGUUGAAUUCUUAGAUUUGUUAAUUAGAUUUUACUCUGACAAAGAGCACCACUCCAAGAAGCAGUACGCAUACACUGAACCUUAUGAUUAUACUGCCUUUAUUUGUCAAACCUAUUGAUAUAAGUCUUUCAUUUGUGGCCUAAAAGGCUAGACUUAUUUAACUCAACGAAGUUCUUGUCCUUAACUCCAAUAACAGGCUGCAAGUUUGUGGUCCAUUUGUCCUUCCAACAUCAUUAUGAUUGUCUACUCUUUACAGUAACAUGAGCUUGGACUUGAGCAAACGCUACAUGGCAUUACCAUACUUGUCUCUUCUUUGAUGUAGCAGACCAAUUGGCAAUUGUUAUGUGGUUAGAAUAGGUGUAGUGUUGGAGGAACAUCUUAAAAAACGUAAAAAUAUGAGUAAUGAAAGAAUUAAGCUUCCAUCUUAGUCGCUGGUUUGGCAUCUGCUGCUUGGUUACAGAGAAGGAAAGAGUGAAAGCUCAUGCUGUUGGGGUUAUAGGUUGUUGCAUGAUAUCUUGCAUCAAAUCACGGUGGAAGCAUUAAUUAAAUAAAUUAAAGCAUCCUCAGAUGAACAAUUUCAAGCUUUUAUCAGACUCGUAUUUGGCCCAUUAACGUGUCCAAGACUAUAUUGGUCUUUUAAUUUUGUACAAGCCCAUUGUCUAUAUUUCGCCCAUCUUAAUCUAGUGUUAUUAAUUAGCUACAGAAGUCAAGGAAUCUUGGAAGAAAUUUAGGAUGAUCCUUUUACAUGACGAUCAAAGAAAAAUUACAGUGAUCCAUAAAUAUCUAAUAAUAUGGCCUCUUCUCCCCUUAGCUAGUCAUAAAUAUUCUGCACACAAAUAUCACUUUUAUGUUUCUAAUUUCAAGAUACAUAGUGAUAAUGGCUGGAUUUCACUAUCCCGAUAUAAGAUCGGGUCCACAAUUAUAAAAUUAGUUCAAAAUCCAUGAAAUCUCUCAAGCGGACCGGUCCAGAUCAUUCGGCCUCAAGAUUAGGCCUUCCUUGGGUUUCAGUCUCUUCACCCCAAGCUUGGCCAUGAGACUCAGCAGAAAGGGGACAACCGACCCAGCCACCUAACAUUCCUGUUUACACGCGUGUCUGAAAAAAUUAAAUGACCGUUUUAUAUGAAACAGAUGUCUAUCGUUUUUGUAUGUAUAUAUCCGUAUGACAGAGACAGAUAACCCAAUAACUAUAAGGUCAUUAGACGUUAUUAACAGACAAAAUAUAAAAAAAAAAAUAUUUUCCUCUCAAAUUAAUCAUAUUCAAUUAUUUUAAACCGUAUUUUUCUGGUAUUGGCAUCCGGUUUUGAAGAAAAAUGUUUAAAUACAUGGAUUCUGUACAAUUUCAGAUAAUGGACCCACUAAUUGUGCUGACGAUGAAUCAAGUCAAGACAUCUGAUAGUUUAGUAUAAUAUUAUAUUAAUUUAUUAUUAUUAUAAGAUUUUAAUACUGCAAUUGGACAGCAUGACAUGUGAUGGAUUUAGAUUUUCAGUCUUCUUUCUAUUCUUUAAUUUCCAAAGUCGCCCCUAAAUUCCUAAUGUUGUCUUAACUUGAGAUCUUAUCAACCAAAUGCUUUCUUAUACAAAGUCAUAACAACCAUUGAUCUUAUGGAUGAUUUUACUCUUUUUUCUUUGUUAAUAUUCAAUGUUGAUUGAUAGUGCACAUGUAACUGGGAAUCUUAUAAAACUUCCAUCAUUUAGAAUUACUUUCAAUCAUGCUAUUAUAAUGAAGUAAAUUGUUUUACACUAGAGUGGCAUUUUGGACUUUUCAAGGACAACCUACCGCCACCAAUUGGCCUAUUUCACGCCGUCGAAUAAUUUCUCAACAAUCUCCUAGGGGCAAAAUCCGUCUUCCAUUAUUCAAACUUUUAAGUCGUUGAAGCGCGUUAAACGGCCGUAAGAGCAAAGGUCGUUCAUUUUUUAAUCGAGUCACCAAGUCCAAUCACAUACCGUCAAAACCACUCCUCCUAACCACUAAGGGGUACUAAAGUAAAUUCAUAUACAGCCAUGAACUAAAUAGAUAUUCUCUCAGCUACUCUCAUUCCCAGUUGGCAGCUUUUAAAUGGAUAAAAAGGUUAACCGCAAAUAUAUAAAUUCCGUAUCUGAUCAGAUCCCCCCCCCCAUUCCUUGGCUCCCUCUGCCGUUUGGCUAAAAUAUAUUCAAACAAUUUUUGAAAUAAAAACUUAUAGAAAAAUUCAUUUGUUUCGUUUUUAUUCUUAUUUUCUGGUUUUCAAUGAAGAGUUUAUUUUUUAAUUAUUCAAAAAUUUAUUUAAAAAAUUAAAACCAUAGAUAAUUUUAUAAAAAUUUAUUUAGAUAAACUCCUACGAAAUACUCCGUGCCAAGGAAGUCUAAACAAACGCGCGCAGUGUUAUUGCGGUUCUCCUGAGAAAAAUUACUGCGAACGGGAAUUGUCCUUCAGACAAUUAGACCAAGGCUGAGGAGGGAGUGUGGGACCCGCAACUGUAUCAAACUCCAAUAACUACACGUUCAUAGAUUGGAGACUCGGUCUCUCUCCGCUUUUUCUCUUUUCUUUUUCCAUUUCUCGUUUUUCUAUAUCUUUGAUCCAAACACACGCAUCUAUUUUGGGAGCUCUGCUGCUGAGUUGUUUUUAGUGGCGGUGGGAUGGGAAAUUGCUUCUCCGACGAGGCCGGCGGAAAAGCGGCCGUUGGUGGCACUUCCAGUGCGACCGGUGGCGGUGCUGCUGCUGCGAAUGAUGCCAUUGAUUACUACCUCAAGUCUCGUGGUUUCCACGGCAUCUUUUCUCAGAUCGAGGUAGUUACUUCUUCUUGCGUUUCUCGCUCGCUUUUGGAAAUAUUUCUGUGGUUUCGUUGAUAAGCAUCGAUGCGGAUUGGAUCCAGAGCUUCUACUCUCUAAAUUCUGUUAGUGACAUGGUUUUUGGAGUACAUUUUGGAGAUGUUAUGUGCUAAGAAGUUCUAGGAGUGGCAUUCUAUAUCUUCAUCUAUAGCAUUUUGUAAAUAGCGGUUUGAAAGUAGCUUUGAUUUUUAGCUUUUGCUUUUAGCGGUUUUUAAUCAAUGAUAAAGUCGCUGGGAUGCCAGAGAAGGAGUUAAUAACUUAAUAGAAACAGAAACUAUCAAAUUGAACAGAGUGUUGGGAGUGCUUUUUUUUUUUCUUUUUCAAUUUUCUUAAGCAGUAGCAUAGUUUUGACGUUAGUUUUAAUUUCAUAACUUAAGGAAUAGAGGACUCAGCCAUCGAAAACUAGAUCAAUUCCCGUGAUUAUGGAGUAGGACUGUAGAACAAUUGAUUGAUUGGUCAGCAUAAGAUAAAUUUUAGCAUCUUUUACUGGAAACAACCUUCUGUCUUUUCAGAAGCUAUUUUGUUAGAUGCCGAAAAUUUUAGGUUAACUUUGACAAUCAUUAUUGACUUAUUAAAGUCAUGCUUCUCCUUAAAUUAACAACUACUAUAAAAUUGGACUAGUGUUGAGCUCGGUGGGUGAUUACUUGGAAAGAAUAUUUGCACUUGGUGCCAGCAACGGGAUUUUGCCAAUUGAAUUCAAUUGGUAAAUUAAGCAUUUUCCUUGUUUCACCAUGUGCAUCAAAUUGUAUUCCUGGCUUAAUAUUUUCUUCUCUCUUUUUCUUUGACUCCUUGUAAAACCAUAUGUGCAGCUAUCAUUUUCUGCUACAAAUUUGUGUGAUCGGGAUGUGCUGUCUAAGGUUUGUUUCCUGAAUUCUUACUAAACUUUGAGUUUUCGUUGAUGUUACACUAAGGGGUAUGAUGAAUUUAUGCUUUGUCAUAAAUAUUUGCUUAAGCUUUGUAAAUUUUUUAUAUGCAGCUAUAUAAAUUUCCUUCAAACUUUUUUUUCCCUGUUUGACACCAGAUUUUAUUUGUUCAAGACUUCUGCUUUGGAUACUUCUUGCAUUUCUGUGUAAAAAUGUAUGCAGCAUACUGUUACAAUGGAUUCUUAACUAAUAUUGGGUGAUAUUAAGAAUCCAGAAGUUCUUUGACAAUUUUCAUAUAUUUGAAAGUCAACAUCUUAAGUUUAACAUGUGGCCAUGCGUACAACAAUGUUUGUUAAAGUGCAAUGCUCUUGCAACCAUUUAGCAAGGUAAUAUACUUGUGGAACUAAGCAUGAAGCUAUACCCUUGAAUUGUUAGUAGAGGUGCCAUUAUGUAAUUGUUUGUCAACCUCAUUAAUCUAAAAUGCCAUAAACAAGUAGAUAUUACCUGAUCUUCCCAAUGAAUUCAUAAUGCUAGACACAGAGGGUCUUUUGGUGGAAAACUGGUGGGAAACUGUUAGAAAGAAUCACCAAGUAUCACUUCUUGCGUGGUCUUUGGAAUUUGUUUCUCCAUGUGGACAGUAGCCUAAAGCUAGAUUAUAUUAUCAGUUACCUAAGUAAUCUUUUGAUGUGGCAUUGGAGGGAAUUACUAGUCCCACAAGGCACUGAUGAAAAUUGUUUGGCUAUUACAGUUGAAGAGGUUAACAUAUCAUAAUUAUAUGGCAGAGUAUAGGUUUGGGUUUGUGUUGACUAACAUAAAAAGUUCCUAAUUAGAAGGGUUCAAAUCUUUGGGAUCCUUAUUAGGCUUGAUUUAAGAAAUUUUAUUCUUAUUGUAAAUAUUCUUAAUUUAGGUUGAUUCUUUGUGUAUAAAUACUCAAAUCUUAUAAAUAUCAAUUCAAUUGGAAUAGAAUAAAAAAUUCCUCUCAAAAUUCUUCAUGGUAUCAUAGCGAAUUUCCUGAUUUUAAGAUUUAAAUUCAAAUUUUCUCUUAGGAUUUCUAAAUCCCUAGAUAUACCUUUUUGGUACUACCUUACCUAGGAAUCUUUUUUCAUCUCACUGCCUCCACUAGCAUGGUCGUUAGACCGUCGCGGUCCAGCUCCGAUGUUGGAAAGCCACGUGCGUGAGGCUCACUCGCCAUCGCAAGAUUCUGCGUCUUUCCCACGCGUCGGCGCGUGUAACGUUUUUCGGUGAUUUUUUUUUAUGGCAAUCUUUUUUGGCAAACUGGCCUUCAAGUCACACCUCUGACCUAUAUGGACUCGCGACUUGGUUUACCUUUUUUCAGAGUAGGAGAUGUUUUUUGGUGUUUUUUGGCAGUGAUCCUUUCCGGCAGACUCGCCUUCAAGUCGCGCUUCUGAUCUGUUGGACCCAUGCCUUUUUCGCCGGUGAACAAUAAUUAUUUCUUCAGUGAUAAUAAUUUUUCACUGUUUUUGACAGAAAAAGAGUGGUUUCUUUUUGAAAUGGCAGUGACUUGUAUAGGCAAUAUAAGGACUUCUGAUAAUGCUUUUGUUUUGUUUCUUGAUUCUGCUUCAUGGAUUGUUGAUUCUGGUGCAAAUAGACAUACGGGCUUCUUUGAAGACUUCCUUAAUUAUCUUCCAUGUCUACAAAAAGACACUAUCGGAAUCGCAAAUAGUUCUUCGCUCCUAUAUCUAGAGCCGAUUCUAUUUUUUGUACUCCAAAUAUCAAACUAUCUUUUGUUCUUUAUGUUUCUUGUUUUCCUGUUAAUCUUUUAUCUGUUAGUGUUCUUAUCAAAACACUUAAUUGUAAAAUUAAAUUUUUUUCUGACCAUUGUGUUAUUUAGGACCUUCAAACUAAAAAGAGAAUUGGCAAUGGUAAAUUGCACGAUGGCUUGUAAAUGUUGGAAAAGAAUAUGAGUUUGAAUUCACCUCGAGCUCUUUUUGGAAGAAAUUACGAUGUCAACCAGGAUAUCAUACAGUGACAUCGACGAUUAGGACACCCAUCCUUAUUUGUUUUAGAGAAAUUUUAUUCUGAUUUAUUUUCCAAGACUCAAUGUGGUUCUUUAGUUUGUGAUGCUUGUGAGUAUACUAAGCAUACAAGAAUCGCUUAUCCCUCCAGUAACAAUGGGAGUAUAAUCCCUUUUGUGACCAUCUAUUCUGACGUUUGAGAGCCUACUCAAACGGUCUCACUAUCUGGUUAUCAUUGGUUUGUUACUUUUAUUGAUUGCUGCACUCGCAUGACUUGAGUUUAUUUGAUAAAGGUAAAAAGUGAUGCGGUUUCUUGCUUUCAAUCUUUUCACAAGAUAAUUUGUACUCAAUUUGAUGUCAAGAUAAAAGUUUUGAGAACUAAUAAUGGUACAGAGUACAUGGAUAACCAUUUUUCUACUUAUCUGGAGUCUAAUGGGAUACUGCAUCAAACUAGUUAUCCUUGUACCCAAAAUGAUACUGCAGAAAAAAAAAAACACCUGUUGGAAGUAACUCGAUCUCUCUUUUUCACCAUGAAUCUUCCAAAAACCUAUUGAGGAGAUACAGUCUUAGCUGCAGCUUAUCUUAUUAAUAAAAUGCAUCUCAAAGCUUUUGCCUUUAAAAGCUCUUGCCUUUAAAAGCCCCUUAGAGGUGCUACAAGGGAAACAUACUUAUAUUACUCCACCAAAGGUGUUUGGAUGUACGUGUUUUGUUCAUAUUAGGACAGGUGAAAAGUUUGAUCCGAGGGCUAUUAAAUAUGUAUUUGUUGGGUACUCUCCCACACAGAAGGGUUACAAGUGUUAUCACCCUCCAUCUAGAAAAUACAUUGUCAAUAUGAAUAUUACAUUUAGAGAGACUGAACCUUAUUUCAGUACUACUCCAUCACCUCUUCAGAGGAGGAUAAUGAGAGAAGAGAUGAUUCAUAGUCCUAUAAGUCUAGAAUGUUUUACUCUAGAGGAGACUACUAUACAGAGGGAGACUAUUGGUGAUUAGGAGACUAUUAUAUAGGAGAGACUAUUAGUGAUGAAAUUGGACGUUUGGACAAACCAGAUUUAAGGAGAUACUCACGAAGAGACAAAACAGAAAUAAAAAAAGCCAUUGUGCAGCCUACUCAGUAUCAUGAAUCUUCCUCUUCUCCAUCUGGUGAGUCAUUUCUAAACCUUGAGCCCUUUGAUGAUCUAAAUAAACCAAUUGCUCAAAGAAAAAGGAGUUAGAUCUUGCAUAAAACACUUUAUUUCUAACUUUCUCUCUUAUGAGUUUUUGUCUCCAUUUUAAUAGAGUCUUUGUCUUAUCUAUUUUCUCUAUGUCUAUUCUACAGGAUUGAAAAAAAACUCUUUUAGAUCCUAAAUGGAAGGGAGCAACAAUUGAAGAGAUGAAAGCACUGGCAAAAAAUGAGACCUGGGUGCUUGUCACUCUCCCACCUGGAAAGAAACUUGUUGGCUGUAAAUGGGUGUUGAGUGUGAAACAUAAAGCAGAUGGAUCAAUUGAAAAAUUUAAGGCUAGACUAGUGACCAAGGGAUACACUCAAAUCUAUGUAGUGGAUUACCAUGAGACAUUUGCUCCUGUUGCUAAAAUAAACUCAAUCAAAAUAUUGUUAUCUUGCGCUGUCAACUUUGAUUGGGAUUUACAACAAUUUGAUGUGAAAAAUGCAUUCCUCUAUGAAGAUUUGGAGGAGAAAGUGUAUAUGGAAAGUUUUUCAGGAUUUGCUGAUGAAAAAAUACAAAGAAAGGUGUGCAGGCUAAAGAAGUUUUGUAUGGGUUGAAGUAGUCACCCAGAGCUUGGUUUGAUCAAUUCAAUAGAGUUAUGAUUUGCUUUGGCUAAAACAGAGCAAUGCUGACCAUACCUUAUUUAUCAGACGUCACAAUAAUAAAAUUACUCUUCUUAUAAUCUAUGUUGAUGACAUAAUAAUGACAGGGAAUGACACUAAAGAGAUGACUUGGCUAAAAAGAGCUUUUGAUUUAGGAGUUCGAAAUUACAAAUUUAGGAAAACUGCAAUAUUUUUUUAUUUUUUAGAGAAAAUACUUUCUGGAUCUUUUAGGAGAAAGUGGAUCUUUUAAAAAAAACUAGUAAGUUAGGUUGCAAACUAGCAGAAACUCUCAUUGGUAGCAAUCACAAACUACAAGUAGGGGUUGGUGAAUCAGUGGAUAUGGACAGAUAUUAGAGAUUGAUAGGCAGACUGAUUUAUCUUUUGCAUACUCGACCAAACAUAGUAUAUGCGGUCAGCUUAGUUAAUCAGUUUAUGCAUGAUUCUCGUGAGCCUCACAUGCAAGCUGUUUUUUUGCAUUUUGCGAUACUUGAAAUUUUCUCCUGGAAAAGGUCUCCUAUUCUCUAAACACCGUAAUCUUUGCAUACAUUCGUUCACAGAUGCAGAUUGGACUUGAUCUCUUGACGAUAGAAGAUCAACUAGUGGUUAUUGUACACUUGUGGGAAUAGCAUGAUCAGUUGCGGCUCAAAUUCUGCUCCAGAUUUAGUAGCUUGGGAAGUUAUAGUUAGAUUUAUAGAAGGUUGUUCAACGCUUUCUUGAACUUUCUUGAAUUAUAUCAUAAACGAUUCUUCCCCCUCACACCAAUCACAAGUUUUUCUUCAUUCCUCUCGUAUAUCAUCGUGAACAAGAAGUGACAUGUAAACGACAUCGGUACAGGCAUCUAAUGUGCUGGCUAUAUCUUUAAAGUUUUGGCCAUUGUAUCACAUGAUAUUUUGUCGUCCAGCAUUGCACACCAUCUUUUUUUUUUUCAGCUCAUCCUUUCUUCAUCCGCAGAUUAAUUUGUUUACACUCUCAUUGAAUUAAUCUGAAGUUGCUGUGCCAAUUAGCUGAGUCAUUAUUAGGACAUAGUCAAGUUCCAGUUGCGUUUCUGUUUUUGUUUGCUUCUAUUAUACAUGGCCAGAACCUCCUUUGGAGUUUUUUUGGUGAUAAUUUUUUACACAUAAAAAAGAAGUAUAAAAUAAGAUAAAUUUGAAUGUUAUGACAUUGAAAAGGACUUUAUAUUAAAUUGCAUAAAAUGAGCACAUUUUUUUAAAAAACUGUUUUCUAAAUGUUUUCUACCUUCUGUUUCUUCUCAUAUAAUUUUCUUUGCUUUAGAGUGAUCCUAUGCUAGUUGUUUAUAAAAAAGCAAGGGACGGGUCGCCUACUGAAGUUUUCCGCACUGAAGUAAUUCUUAAUUCCUUGAACCCCACAUGGAUUAUGAAAUAUGCCAUCACAUUCCAGUUUGAAGUUGUGCAAACUUUGCUGUAAGUUCAGUGUGUGGAACUCUAAUUUUUUUCCCUGACCAAAUAUGCUUUUAGUAUCUUCACUAUAUUUUUUUAAAUUAAUAUUUAUAUUUUACUACAGGUUUCAUGUGUAUGACAUUGACACCCAAUUUCACAAUUUAGAUGUUAAGGUAUAUUUUUAUUGUUCUGUUUGUUGUUCUUGCAUUGUUAUCAUUGAAGAGGCAAAUGUUCUGCAUGCAGUUCUGUCACAAGAGAAAGUUGCCUAUAAGUUUAAGCUUUUAGUUUCAGUAGUCUCCUAAUAUAGUAUUGCAGUCUCUCCAACCAAAAUAUCUAAAGUUCAAAUCCUUGGGCGCCUUAAUCAACCUAAAAUCACAACGGUUUUUUGAACACACUCAAAGCAUAACAAGCUUAGCAUGAAGGGGCAUGUUUUAUCAGUAAGGUUGAACUUUGUUUUUAUGGUUUGUUAUUAAUAAGCUCUUUUGAAUUAAAACCUUAUUAUUUUUUUCUCUUUUUUUUUGGCAAACAACUAAAUAUUUUCUGGGUAAUUGACAAAAUUCUGAAUCUUUUUCUUCCUUAUUCAGCAUUUUAGUGCUAUAAAAAUUUUAUAAAAAUAUCAUGGUAAAGAUAUCUGUAAUGAGGAGGGGUUGCGAGAAACUAUAUUUAUAAAUGAUUUCACACUUGGCCUUCCAUGCCAAGUGGAAGAAAACUUGGUUAUUUUAGAUGUGCAUUAACACAUCUUGGGAAAAAAAAAUUUUUGACUUCUUGGUGGUUUAGGAUUUCUGCUUGUGUUCGCUUUUUACUUUAUGAUUUGUAUUAUGUGCGUAUGCUGUUUGGACAUCAUCAAUAUAAUUUCACCUAGAUUUUUUCCCCAAGUAAUUGUACUAAAUGAUUUUCUGUUACUUUCAUUGGAGUGAAUGGAAUGGUAAAGAACAAAUGGUUUAACAAUUGCAGAUGAUCAAGCUAGAUGAGCAACAAUUUCUUGGUGAAGCUUCAUGUGUUUUGUCUGAGGUAUGACAGGAAGGCAAUUCUAAUAUACAUCGUACUUUCUUGUAGAAUACCUGUAUAAUGAGACCAUCAACAUUCUUCUUUGAAAUGUGAACUCCUGUGAUUCUAGUCUAGCCAGAGAGAUCCUUAUAUUAUAUUAUGAAGGCUGAUAAAUGCUAUAAUUGCAUAAACAUAGCAGAAUGUAAUGGAAUAAAGAAAAUAGAAUAAUGAAAGGAAAUUUAUCCUAUUCUGUUAUGCUUUGUAACAGUUGUGCAAAACAUAUUGCAAGAGUUUAGGUACCUUCUGUUAUUAGAAACCAGGACACAUGUAUAAAAUUAAAAUUUUAAUUUGUACAUUGUUGCUUCUUUCCAUGCAGAUUUUGACCAAAUCAAAUAGGUCUCUGACCUUAGAUCUCUUACAAAAAGAAGAUUCUACAGUAUCAAGCCAUUCUCCGUGUGGUCAGCUUGUUGUGCAUGCUGAGGAAUGCUUUAGCUCCAAGACUACGACUGAGAUGAUAUUAAGGUGUUCAGAUUUGGAACAUAAGGAUCUGUUCUCAAGAAUUGUAUGGGUUGCAAAGUUUUUAUCUCUUUCUUUGUCAGGUGCUUUUUUGAAACACAUAAAUGAUGGUUGGUGUUUUAUCCGCAGAACCCUUUUCUGGUAAUCUCAAAAAUGGUUGAGAGUGGGAUCCCCAUUGCCGUGUGUAAAACAGAAGUCCUAAAGAAUGAUCACAACCCAAUAUGGAAACCGAUCUUUUUGAAUAUACAACAAGUUGGAAGCAAGGUAAAAGGAAUAUUGCAUCUGAGCUCAGAAUGUGUAUUACCUAGUUCAAAUCCAGCAUCCUGUUGUCCAGUACAUCCUCCUGAAGAAAAAUGAAAUACACAUGGAAAAAUGACUUUGUGUGGGCUACAAAGCUUUGGUGGCUAUUUGUGUCCAAGGACCACCUUGCUGCUGUGACAAUUUUACUUUACCUGUAUGACAUAUUCAAAGACUAAUUUCUUUGCAUUUUAAUACCAAACAAUGAGUUGGUCCUUGCCUUUUUCUUAGCAAUCUCUUGUCAAUUUCAAUGAGAUGGAAACGAUAAGAUAGAAAGGGAAUGUACCAUUAUCAAAAUGGAGUCCAAAAAUUGGCAAGCUUCUCCUUUGAAUAUAUAGAUUUUUUUAUGGUAUUUGUUCUUUAGAUUCCCUGCUUCAUUACCUAGUUAUGGUUAAGUUCUUAGUAUUGUUUUAUGAUUCAACCUGCAGGAUAGCCCCCUGGUGAUAGAUUGCUACAACUUCAAUAGCAGUGGCAAGCAUGAUUUGAUUGGGUAGCCGGAGAGCUCAGUUUAUUCUUUCAUUUUAUUCUCCUCAACUCUAUGCAUUUAAUGGUGGUGAUGCUUCCUUCUUUUUUUUUUUUUUUUUGUUUUGUUAAUGCAGAGAAGUUACAAAAUCCCUAGCAGACUUGGAAAAGCUUCGUUCUAGUGGGGAAGGUGAAAAUUUAUUUUCAACCACUGCUGUUGGGCAUGAUCACAACAAGGUCUGAUUAUGUAAAGCAAGUUACUUUCAAUCCUGGAGCUUUCUGUCUUUAACUUAAACUUUCUAAGUGUGCAGCUACUAAAAAGCCAGCUAUUUGUGGACAAGUUUUCUGAAAGCAUUCAACAUACUUUUCUGGAUUACUUGAAAGGAGGAUGUGAGCUGAACUUCAUGGUGGCUAUUGAUUUCACUGGUACUUGCCUUAGAAUUGAACUCUUCAAUGCCUGAAAUUUUUGUUUCUAAAGUUUAAAUUAUUAUUUUGUUGUUUUCAUUUAACAAGUAACCAAUUAUACAUAAUAUUGGUUGUGUUUCUCUUUGUUCUUUUGUGCAUUGUUUGCAUCUGCAAGUUUUUUCAUAUUUCCUUUCUUGAUUUUCAUCUCAAACUGCAAAUUGACAUGAUUGUAUUCAUUAGAAAAAACAUGUUCUAAUACCACUUGUUAGUAAAAUCAAAAUAGAUAGAUAGAAAGAUGGAUAAGAUGGAGGGAUAUAGCAAAACUUGAUCCUUUAACUCGUAUCCAUAACCAUUCACUUUAUCCCAUUCCAUCCAUACAUCAAUACAGUAUUGCAUAUAUGAGCGUGCAUCCACUUCCUAAAUAAAAUUCCUACGUACAUGAGUCAUUAUCUAAGCAAAACCAUUAUCUAAACAUCUUAUCAAGUGCUUAUUCUCACAUACUUCUAGGUACAUGAAUUAAGCUUAUCUUAAUUAUUAAUCAUAAACAUUAUCUAAAUCUUACAUAUUUUUUUAACAGUGUUGUUAAUCAUCUAUAAGCUAGCACAAUUUGUAGAAAUUUAUUAUUCAACAUCACUUCUUCAUCCAUACAGUUCCCUUUACAUAUCUUAAUCCAUGUCAUGCUAAAGUAUAAGCUACUUGCAGAUGAAAGAAGUUUAGUUUCUUUAUAAGUCAAAGCUAUUUAUGGUUUUGUCAUUUGUGACGUUAAAGCUGGAGCAAGUCUAAAGCCUUUUAGGUGUUCUAUCAUGUUAUCAUUUACUUCUGUAGGUUGCAGUCAAUAUAAUUGUAUUCAUAUCUUAUUUCCCGCUACCCUCUUCUCCCGUUUGUGUCAUCAACACUGGUGGACAUUAGUGGGCUAUAGGUGCCCUAAUAUGUUGUUGUACCUUCCAUUUUUCAGCUUCAAAUGGAAAUCCCCGCCUCCCUGAUUCCUUGCAUUAUCUUGAUCCUUCAGGACGGUUAAACGCAUACCAGCAAGUAAGAAUUUGUUGUCUUCCAUAUUAGCUUGCUUAACCAUCAUUGGUGGACGCUUGUUACUACUUAGUUUGUUUGCAAAAUUCACAACGCACACACAAAGAAGAACAAGGUCAAAUAUGGAGGGAAAACAAAUGAGAAAAAAGUUUUAUGCAUCUGGCCCAUCUGUGCUAGUCCACAGCCACUUGUUGUCCUUUCUCUUUUCUUUUNNNNNNNNNNNNNNNNNUUUGAAGGAGAAACGAAACGUUGCCCCUUUAUGAGUACCACACCCUUCUCCAUCUUUGUUGGAGCUGUAGAUGUACAUUAGUUUCUUUAUAUACGAGUCAUGAACUCAAUGUGGCCCAAUUUAUACUUUUAGGCAAUUGUAGAAGUUGGAGAAGUGUUGCAAUUUUAUGAUUCAGACAAGCGCUUCCCUGCCUGGGGAUUUGGAGCACGGCCAAUUGAUGGUCCAGUUUCUCAUUGUUUUAACUUGAAUGGAAGCACUAAUCACUGUGAGGUGAAAAACAUAGAACUUGUUUAACUACCUUUGAUUUUCUUAUUUAUAACAUGCCUAUUUAUUAAGCAUCGACUUCUCAGGUUGAAGGAAUCCAAGGAAUUAUGAUGGCGUAUGCUAGUGCUCUAUUGAACGUUUCUUUAGCUGGUCCAACGCUUUUUGGGCCUGUGAUAAGCACUGCUGCACUAAUUGCUAGCCAGUCUCUCGCAAAUGGAGGGAAAAAGUACUUUGUUUUGUUAAUAAUUACAGUAAGAAUCAGACUGGAAAUCUUGAUAAUUUUUCCUUGUAGUGUAAUUUCUUUGUUAACAUGAUCAUCUAUUUGAUGGCUUGUUUCACCGUGUAGAGUACUUUCUUAAUCUAAUAGCUUGUAAUUCAAUAGCAGUCUACCAUUACAAGUAUAAAAUAUCAUCGAAGAAUGGAUUUUUCAUUUUCUUUAAAUUGAUUUUACCAAUUGUUUGCACUGGAAUUUGUUGAAUAUAUUAGGAUGGAGUUGUAACCGAUCUCCAAGAAACUAAAGAUGCCAUAGUGAAGGCGUCUGACCUACCAUUAUCAAUCCUUAUUGUUGGAGUUGGAGGAGCCGACUUCAAAGAAAUGGAGGUACCUAUCCACAUUUAUGCAUCUUUCUAUGCCAGAAUGUGAGAUUAUAUAAGUGCUAAUAUUUUCUAUACAUCCUCGAUAAUAAGGUGGAAAUCUCAAUUAUCUAUUGAAUUCCUUCAAAUUUCUAAAGUUUUUGAAUGUUCACAGAUUUUAGACGCUGAUAAAGGAGAGAUACUUGAAAGUUCUACUGGACGUGUUGCUUCACGUGAUAUAGUUCAGUUUGUUCCAUUCCGGCACGUACAAAGUAAGAGAAUUUAUUAUUCUGAUAAAUAAAUAUUUGGUGAUUAUUUUUAGUUUGUUGGUAAACCCUGUAAUAUUUGCAGAUGGACAAAUUUCUGUUGUUCAAGAGCUUCUAGCUGAACUACCGACUCAAUUUUUAACCUACAUGCGAUCCAGGGAUCUCCAACCAAGCAUUUGAUUUUGUAAAGUUGUACAUAUAGAAUUGAAUUUUCAAUUUGGGGAUUUCAUGCAAUGAGUUUUCCAAUUGAAGGCCAUGAUCCCAAAUCCAGUCAUGGUAAUAUAAGCAUUCUCACAGAUAUGCCAAGUCAACAAAACCUGAUGCCAAUUAUGUAGGGCUAGCCGCACCAUCUUUUGCGACAUAUUGUAAGGACUGGACAUAUUUUGCAUUGUGGCCAGCUUGGAACGUGACAGAUAAAUGAAGACUUUUUUGCAGUUUGACAAACUGUACGAUAAUCACCGAAAAUGAGGUGCAUUGGAUCCAUGCCUUGCAAAGAGGAACAAAAAUGUGAAGAAUGAGGUCAGAAUUGUAAUGUCAUAUUUUGUUUGUUUUAGUUGCUUUUAUUGAUGCAUUUUGGCGAUUUGUUGUCCAAACAUAUAAUGUGAAAUACAUUGUUCAGCUUGAAAAUGAUCCCCUACUUUAUCUUCCUCAAAAUUUAUUAUUAUUAUUAUUACUUUUAGUCCCUUAAUUCACGUUCUUGCUAAUUCACUUUGGUCAAAAUUAGAAAAUGAUAGAUGGUCUGACUGGCUCCCUCACACCCCUCGAUGAGGCUUGUGCAUAUUAUAUCUUGUUGUCUUCUUCCCCUCGAUUUCUACUUGCUGACUAUCGUUAUCUUAACUUUUGGCUUGGGAAGAAACUUUGAAGGGGGAUUAUGCCUUCCCUUGGUUUUGGUUUUUUGCUUUUGUUUUUUUGCAAGAUAUGUUUCAUUAAACAGCUGCUUAAAGUCUAAAUAUCACCAACCAAGGCUAAACGGUAAAAGGCUCGGAAAAAAAUACAAAAUAACAACAAAAAUGCAAUGGUCACUAGAAGAAGAAAACUCAAUGAAGCACAGAACCUGCCUGAGCUCCAAAGCCACCUAAUUCUUCAUGCAUCUUUUAAGUCUAAAAAACAAAGAAAAUAAUUCAAAGAUUUCGCCUAAGCUAUUGAAGAUGACGCUAAAAAGAGCUCAUUGGUGACCUAAAGGCCUCUUGAAUCCAACACGAAGAAAUAGUUAAAAGGAUCUUGAGAUACUGAACAUUAGAAAUUAAAAAGAAACCCUCCACAUAGCCAAAAAAGAUCUACAACACAUUGGGAUGCAUGUAGACGGAAAUGGUGUAGAAUAAGAAGAAAAGGAACCAUCAUAGAGGAAGGGUCCUCUUAACCUCUUGAAGCAAGCAAGUGGAGUGGAGAUCCAAAUAUGAAUUGAUGAAGAAUCCGAAACCUGCAUGCAAGCUAACCAGAAAAAAAAAAAAAUACUAAAGCAAAGAAAAAAUAACUAGGAGUACCAUAAAUCUAAAGAUCUGAUUCCUAUGUCAAUAAUCUAUUAACUCUCGAAACAAAAGAAAUUAAUCAAAACAAAAAAUAAAAGUGGCCAAAGAUGGGAGGGUAUUUCCUGUCUGGCUUCCUAGAGAGAAAACCAACAGAGCGGUGGCCGAGCUCCCAAGGAAAACAAAAAACCACGUAGAGAAAGUUUCUCUCUAUUUGAAUAGAAAGAAAACAAAAUUUUUGGUCGAAUCUUUUUGAUUUUUAUUUAGAUUAAACAAAAAUGAAGAGAACACGUAAAUAAAUGAUUAAAGUACAAGAGUAAAAUGAAGUCUUUCCUCAUUUGAGGGUAAAUGUACGCAUCUGUUGUGAGUGUUGAAGUCAAAUUCAAUGUUAUUUUCCAAACUAGCUAGUGCAAGUCAAAUUCAACAUCUUCUCCCUUACUCUCGAAGAUAGGGCCCAAAAGAGAGUUCCUAGUCCCAAUUUUCUCCUCUUCUACGUUUACCAAACACAGGCAAGUCUUUGAAGUAAUCUUAUAAAAAGCAAAAUUAGGGUUAAGGAUUAUGCCAUAGGCCCAACGCUGCCAAUUCCACGUUCCAUUCAUCUCUGCCUCUACUGCUCGGGAUAUGACAUUACUGAAAGUUGAUUUGACAUCAUAUAGAGAACUGCUGUGCUUGGAUCACAGGGAGCAGAGAAUGAGAAAUAGGCUUAUGCAAAAUUGACGGAAACAUCAAGUUGGUUAAGAGCGGUGCCGAGACUUUGAACAAAUUAUGGAGGCUCUUUCCACGUCUUACCAUUUAUUUAUUUGGUCUUUUUUCACUUCAUGUGACUAAACAACCAAGUCAAUCUUUAAUGGGGAGAAUUUUCCACCAAUGGAAUAUAUAUCAAAGAAAAAUUUGUGAGAGAUGUAGGUCCAUUGCAAGAGAAUUAUAGGAAAAGACAGAGAGAAACGAAUACCCUUCUGGCCCUUCAUCUUCCUGGAGUAAAGAAUCUUUGUGAUUUUAAUAUUUAGUGUUUUUCUAAUUAAAAUUUAACAUGUGGAUUGUGGAUCGUGGGCGUGCGUAAUCAAUGACUCAGAUCUUCUUGCCUUGUACAAAUUAGGUAAUUUUUUAAAAAAAAUAACUUAUUUUUUAAAAGAUAAAUUCUAAAAAUCUUAUUAAUAUAUCUAUAUAUAAAUUUUUUAAUAUAUUAUAUUUUUUAAAUUAAAAUUAUAAAAAAUAAACUAUUCCGUUAAAAAUAUAUUUAAAAAAAUAUAUUUUUAAAAUAUAAAUUAUUUUUUAUAAACAAAUGAAAUCUUAAUUUCCAUGAGUAUUACUAGUGUAAAGAGAGAAUACAUUUUGACUAUAAUACCCUCCCCUCCCCUCUUUCACUCUUCCCGUCCCUUUUACCUUUUAUUUUCUCUUUGCCAUCCUUGUGAUAUUGUUGCUUUGGUUACCUGGACUGUUAUCGGCUGAGGACAGCUGGGUUCCAAAGCUCGGGUCCAAGAAAGGUCCAUGCUAGAUUGAUUGAGCCUAGGUCCAAUUAGAGUCUAAGACACAACCUUAUGUUUUAUAAAAGUUUGAAUGCAACCUUAUGUUUUAUAAAAAUCCGGAUGCAAUUCAGAUAGAUCGAAUUGUGCUAAAACUCGUUUGAAAGAGCUCUAGCUCCAUAUACUUGUUAGACCCCAUGAAAUAAUAAAUCAAAUCAUAUAACGUUGGAGAUUGUAUUCAAAUAAUACCGUAUGAAAUUAAAUGAUUGCAUAACAAAAAAAAAUGAUAAAAUAUUUUCAUACAUAUGCUCAAUGUAAAUAUAAGAAGAAGAUACCAACACCAAAUGGCGGUUAGAAAAUAAAAUUAAAAAAUGUACAAAAAAAAUAAAAAAUCAAACUUAUCAAAACAUAUUAUGAAUUUAACUUCUGAUUAGAUCUUAGACAUCAUCCGCAUUUUAUGGAGAACAUGGAAUGUAUUGCACCUCAUCCUUCAAUUGCUAUGUAAUCUGCUACUUUUUUCUGCAAACACUUAGAUCAUCAGCCUUCCAUUAAUAGGCAACGCCGCACUCCAAUUUCAUUAAUUUUAUCCAUCUCAUUUUAGAACACAUUUUUUAUUAAAAAUAUUUUUCCUAUUUUUUAAUAUUUAUUUUUAAAAAUUACAAUUAAAUAAUAAAAUUAAAAUAAAUUAUUUUCUUAUAAAAUAUUUAAUAAAAAAAUAUUAAUGAUGAAAAAGUUGUGAAAUUAAAAUUAUUUCACAUCAUCAAAUACAGCCACUUUCACUCAAUCAGAUUAAUUCAAUUUACAAUGAUGUAAAAUUUGUGAAAUUAAAAUUAUUCCUAAUACACUGCUAAUGUUUCAAAAUAGAAGAUUUAGAAUGUACGUACAGCUACUAUUUUUAUAUUAUUUGAUUUUUUUAUUUAAUUUGAUAAUAAAAUAAAAAUAUAUAAUAAAUAAAAAAGUAUAUAUUUAUUUAAACAAUAAAAUAAAUUAUAUAAUGUAAUAAAUUAAAAUGUUUCUGUUUAAAUAUUAAAUAAAUUGUAUGACAUAUAUACUUGUUACUAUUAUAAAAAAUUAUUAAUAAUAGCAAUUAGAUAAAUUUUAUUCAAUAUUUAAUAUAAAUCAGCUGUCAAUACUAUUAUUUAAUAGUAAUAAUUAUAAGCUAUUAAUUAUAUUCGAUUUUUAAAUUAAACUAAUUUUAAUUUUAAAAGAAUUGAUAAAAAGGCAAACCAAUGUUUUUUUUUUAAAGAAAUUCUUCGGUUAUAAUAAAAUUAUUAUACAUAUAUAUUAUUAAAAAUUCCUUCCACUCAAAACUGCAGCCCUCCAAUAAAUUUAGAUUUUUUUUUUGUCUAGUUAUAACUUGCGUUUUUUACAUAAAUUCUUUACUUUACGUAUCCAAUGUUUUAGUUAUGGCAUGUAUGAUAACCUUUUUUUAUGGCUAUUUGAUUUUAAUUUAUUUUUUAUUUUUUUCUAUUUUAUUAUGAAAUUACUUUUUAUAUUAAACGAUAUUUAAAUUUAUAAAUUUAAAUUCAUAAAUUCAAAUGCAAUAUAAAAAAAAAAUCUCAUGUUACAGUGAUCAUCAAAUAUAUUUUUUGAAAAAUAUUUUUUAUAUUAAUUUUGAUAUAUUUAAUUUUGACAUCCAUAACAUAUAAAAUAUGAGCUAUCCAAGAUCAAGAUACAUGGACACCUCUGCAAAAAGCUUUUCAAUCCGGACAGAAAUUUAGACACCAGCAUGGUCUCUAAAAACCGCUAAUGGAAAGGAUCUUUGAGCUUUAUCAAUCUGUCUCAGCCCUUUGACUCUCAUCUUUCUAUUCAUAUUAGGCUAUUAAAUGUGGGUGUGAUGGUAACUCUGACAUAAGUGUGAUUUCAAUCAUUUCAAUAUUAAAUAAAUCAAUUAUCUAUUAUUAAUAAUUCAUUUAAAAAAUUUAUAAUAAAACACAAUAAUAUAUUUUUUUAAAAAAUAAACUAUACGAAUUAUUAAAAUAAAAGAGAUUAUAUAUCAUUUUCUUCAUUAAAAAAAAAAUUUCGAUUUACCUUCUUUCAUUUCUUAACGCCUACAAUUCUAACUUUAAAUCAUUAAAAAAAAACAUUCAAUUUCAUUAUCACCAUCAUUUACAAAAUAAAACUCAUUCAUAAUCCCUACGAAUUAAAACCAUACACCAACACAAUUUUAAUUUUAAUUUUAUCGAUUUUUCUCAUAUAAAUUUUUUUCUUAUAGGCAUAAUAUAUAUUUCUAUAUUAAUCGAAGACAUAUGCAUACAUAUAUAAUUAAACAUUUUUCAUCCAAGUAUUUAUAAUAUUAAUUUUACUAAAUAUAAGCAUGAAAAUAACUUGAAUACAUGAUCAACAUGAGAUAGUUAGUUUAUAGAAAUAUAAACUAUAUAUAUAAAAAGUUUUAAUGCGUAACUAAAUAAAAGCAGAUAUAACUAAAUUCAUCCAUAAGAAUAAUAUAAGGGAAAUUUACUAUAUAUAUUUAUAAGGAGUAUAUAUUUCAAGUGUAUUCUACAAUUUGGCAGAGGUAACAGCACUCCAGUUGCAUUGACUUAAUUUCAUUCACAUUAAACCAGAUUGAUAUUUACGUAUAUAAAGUCCUCGGCCACACUUCACAGCCCUAUCUUCUUCUUCUUCUUCUUCUUCUUCUUCUUCUUCUUCUUUUGAUCUUCUUUUGAUCGGUCUUGGCGUCUUGCCCUCUUUAUUAAUUUAUGCUCUCCCCUCUCAUCUGCGUACCCUCUUCUUGAUCUUGAUGCCUUUCUUGUCUUGAUAUGGUGUAUAUAUAUAUAUAUACUCGUAACUAAAGCAAGCAGCAGCAAAAUUUCUAGCCACAGAAAGUGGUCUCAUUUCCUUGCUUGAAUGCCCUAGCUAGCUAGAUACAAAAAAUAUAUAAAGUGGAUCGGAAUCAUGGGAAGCGGCCCCUUCCAUUCGAUGAAUCGGAGGAGAAAGAGGAAGAUCACAUCUUCCCAAUCUACUCAGCUCGAUCUCGACAAGACAUGAAUGCAAUGGUUUCAGCCCUAGUUCAAGUGAUUGGAAAUAGCCACAAUAAUCCACUUCAAGUUCAUGAAAAUCCUUUAUCAAUACCACAAUCAAACACACAAGGCCAUGAUCAACCACAGCAGCCUGUUCCAGAUCAAGGUAUUAUCAUCUGUAUAUAUUAUGUAACUAUUUAUUGUUCAAUAAUUUCCUCCAAUCUGUAAAAUUUUUUCUUUAAUUCCUUUCAAUUACUCUCUUGAUGAUAAUAUACACCUGCUUUGUUGCAGGAUUUCAUGUUUUCCAAACUGAAUUUUUAGUCUCUGUGAUUUUCUCUAUUUAAUUUGAUCAAAGUCCCUUUUCUUUCCUUAAAGAGAAAUACUAAUUAUGCAUAGUGUAAUUUUUAAUCUGCGAGUAUUUCUCCUAUAAUUUCUUUGCCUUAAUAUAUAUUAUCUAUCAAGUUUCUUGCUAACAAACAAGUAUGGUGAGAGAAUAAUAUCGCAAUUCUAAGACUCUAAUGUCUUUUGAAGGAAACACGAGGAGAAGACACUAUAGAGGAGUGAGGCACCGACCGUGGGGAAAAUGGGCUGCCGAGAUCAGGGACCCAAAGAAGGCAGCUCGAGUGUGGCUCGGUACUUUUGACAACGCUGAAGCAGCAGCCCUUGCUUAUGACGAAGCUGCGCUUAGGUUUAAAGGAAGUAAAGCUAAGCUUAACUUUCCAGAAAGAGUUCAAGGAAGAAGCGAAUUAGGUUUCUUGACUAAUCGCCAAGAUUUGCAUGCAGGAACCCAACAAAUUAUGACUCGUCGAGUUACUGAUCCUCCUUGUCCUCCACAUACACAACAAGAAGCAUACACAACUCGUUUUCAAUACCCACAGUUUUUGCUUCCUAGUGGGAACUACGGCUUCAACUAUGCUGAGCCCGUGGGUCGUUAUAGCAGUGGAGAGUCAUACCUUUCGCCGGCGUCAUCAGCUGCAUCUUCAUCUUCAUCUUCAUCUUCAUCUUCAUCAUCCACAACUUCUCAUCAACAAGAAGAGCUUAUAAGAUUUUCAAUGCAGUUUGGAAAUCCUUACUCUCAUUAUAAUCCUCCUACAAAUUGGAUGGACUUUGAUUCUACUCGCGGAAGAGACUAGUACGUAUAGGAAGGCAAGUUUUAGUGAGGAGAUAACUAGCUAGAGGAACUCUGAACUUUCUGGUUAUGAUCGGGAUCGAUGUUUAUUUUUCUUUUUUCACUUGCUUGUUUUCUCUUUUCCUGUUUAAAUUUCCCUUUUUUUCCAUUUGGAAUAAAUUGAAUAAUUACCUUGUAUGCUUGUUGAACAUCUUUCUCAUCUGGGAUAAUCAACUACGUUACUCUUUGUUGAUUUUAGUUCCUGCAAGAGAGACUUCUCCUUGUGGUUGAGUUUUAUAUCUCUAGACAUUACAGAAUGGAGAAACAGAAAAUAACCUCAGAGAAAUGUAGCAAGAAUCAUUCCAUAUCCACAAUUCUACGUAUUAAUACAAUGAUGAUCCCAUUUAGAUAAACGUCCUACCUCUACAUCUUGAUUAGUGGGAAAAAUCCGACAGCUACGAGAGGCUCAAGUUUGAACGGAAUCAAGAAGAAAAGCUAAUGCAAACCCAACAGCCAAUGAAACAAUACCUGCCAUUUCCAUUGCCGUCGAGGAGCUGGAACUGAUCCAAACUAACGACAGGAGCUGUAUCUACAGAUGUAAUAGAUGAUCGAGGGAAUGUAAUGCAGGUUUUUAAAUUCCAAAUAUAGACAUCAUUGUUGUGAAAAUGAGAAAAAAGAAAUUGUCGUUAAAAUCGGCUGGGUGGAUGAGCCGAAAUGUAAAUAGCUUAACGACAAAAUGCGUUUAACGCGUUAUAAGAAAUAGUCAACUCUACGACAUACUAGUGCUAACUUCUGGAUAGAUGUUCUGAGUCUCAAGUCAACAGUGUUGAUUGUUAUAUAUUUUAUAAUUACGUGGAAGAAUAUAAACGCAUAGAAUACUUAUAAAAUUUAAACUAAUCAAACUCGAAUCUAAAUUCUACUUUUAUAUUAAGAAUAUUUGGCGUUGAUUUAAAUAAAUUCAAAAGAUUUCAUAUUUUAUUUUCUCAAUUUUUAAUUUUUAUUUUAAAAAAUAAAAAAUAAUUUUUAAAUAAUUUUUAAAUUUAUUAAAAAUUAAUUUAAAUUGUUUAAAUAUAUUUUAAGUUUGAUUAUUAUUAUUAAAAUAAAAUUUAAAUUCAUUUAAUUUUAUAUAUUUUAAUUAAUAAUUUAUAUAAAAAAUAAUUUCAAAAUAUACUUAAAAGCUGUAUUAGAGCUUAUUCAUUUUUGUAAUAUAAGAUCCAUCAAUUUAGUUUUAGACUUAUUGGCUUAGGACUAGCUAUGUAAUAUAUUUAGUGUGCCAAAUUAAAUAUUUUAAAAAAUUAAUUAAAUUAUAAGUUUUUUUAAAAAAUCAUGCUUUUAUAAUAUACAAAGUAUUUUCAUUCAUCUAUUUUAUUUGUUUUUAAGAUUUUAUCGUAAUUAAGAAAACAAUUAAAUCACUUAAAUUACAUCAAUUAAUGUAUUAUAUCAAUUCAUAAUCUUGAGAGUUGUAUUGCUAAUUAAUUUAAAAUAUAAUUAUGCUGUAAAUUAAUAAAUUAUAUGUGUUAAUCAGAAAUAAUUUUUUUAAAAAUUUUUAUUAUAAAUUAUAACUGAUCAGUUAUUAUAAUAUAUAUAAAAAUAGCCACAAUCAUAAAUAAGAUAAAUUAUUGUCACAAAAUCUUAAUCAUAAGAGAUUAUCUCAAUUUUUCUCAAAUUGAAUUCUGAUUCUGAUGAUGUAUUUUUAUUGUUAGCCGUAGUAAGAAAUUUUUUUUUUAUUUAAUUCAUAUAAUCCAUUAAUUUCAAAUUUAAUAUUAUAAUAUAUUUCUCAAUUGUAACAUAACUAUAUUACAAAAUAAAAUUGAAUCUUCUUUUUUAUUUUCUUUUAUUUUUAAAUAUUAAUUUUAUUUAGAUAAUUUUUUAAUUUAUUAUUUAUAUAUAAUAAAUUAAUUUAUAAAAAUAUAAAAAAUUAUUAAAAAAUAAUUAAUAAAUAUAUAAUAUUACAUAUUAUAAUGAUUUCAAAAGAAAGCAUUUUUCUUAUUUUACAGCAAUAUAUAAUAUUUUUUUCUUACUCUUUUUAUAUAAGACAUUCUUUUUAUAAUUCAUGUAGAGAUAUAAUUGUCAUAUUAAUUAAUCACAAAUUAUAUGAUAUUUAUAUAUAAAAGUGAUAAAAUUAAUAUAUUUAAAAAUAAUGAUAAAAUUAAUAUAAUACAAGUAAUUUAAUCUAUAAAUUGUAAAUAUUAUAAUACAUAAAUCUUUUUAUAUUUUACUAUUAAAUUUAAAUAAAAAUUAAUUAAAUUAAAAUAUUGAAUAAUAGUAAAUUUAUUUUUAAAUUUUUUAUUUUAUUAAUAUUUUUAUUUUUCACUAAUUAAAUUUAACUUUAUAUUUUAAUUUUUACUUAAAAAAAUACGAAUUUAUUAUUUUAAUAAUUAUCUAAUAUUUAAAUAUAUUAUUUAAUAAUUUUAAUUUUAAAAUUAAUUUAAUUGUAUUUUUAUUAUUUAAUAAUUAUUACGCUCGUUAAUAUAUAUAUAUUCACCUUUAUGUAACAAGUCCCACAAUCGUCCAAUAUCUAAAUUAUUCCAGACAAUAUAUUGAUAUCUUUUUAAUGUAGGACUCAUUGUCUUUAAAAAUUUAUGAAAUAUUAAUUAUUGCAUAUAAAAAUAUUAUAAAUUUUGAAAAAAAAAAGUGUAUGUCAAUGUUAAUAUUUGAUAAAUCUGAUUUUUUCCUACUCCAUGAUAAAUCUGGUUUUCUUCUUAUCCCAUCAUAUGAGCCUUUCAAUGUUCGAUUUGAUGAAAAGACCUGCAAAAUAAGAAAAAACGGUUAGAGGUUUACCGGAAAUAUCUUCAGUGGAUAACCUCCGACGUUCAAGUCAGGUUUAUGAACUAGUGUAGUAUAAAUAAGCAAGAGUUGCAGAGAAAAAUAAAGUAAAAAUAUAGAGUCGAGGAAGAAGCAGGAAGAAAAGAAAAAAACCCUUUCGUCUCUUGGCGAUGUAUGUCUACCUCUCUGCUACAAUGUUAGCUGUUUUUGUCACUCAGCUCCGUACGUACGGAUGUGUCAGGACUCUUCUCCAUGCUAGGUGGUCAUUUAAUUCUCUCCGGCGCGCAUGCGAGCAGUGCUGCAAGGUGAUUGGGCCUUCUAUUCUUUUUCACAUCACUUCAUGGGCUGGACUUCUUCUCAUUGGACCCGGGCUUAUGGUGAACCCGACCUAUCCCGCGCAUCCGGAUCGAGACUUAAGAUGCUGGAUCAGUCUUGCUUAAGAAGAGUUUGAUGGGCUUUGGGCUAUGGUUCUCUAAUUGGACCCGGUCUCAUCUAGGGUAGAGAAAGUCGCACGUUCAUCAAUAUUAUUUAAAAUUUUAUUUGAUAAUAUUAUUUUAAUUAUCAUUGAAAAAAAAAUAGUAUUAUAAAUAUUUUAAUUAGAUACAAUUAAAUAUUAUAUUUUAAUUAAUUAAAUUUCAGAUUAUUUUUGUUUAAUUUUAAAAAUUAAUUUUCAAAUCACAAUCUCAAAUACUUUUUUUUUUUCUAAUAAAAACCGAAAAGUUCCUUCCCCGACAAUUAAAUCACAGUCUUAAUUAGUUACAUUAUUAUUUGAAUCCUUUGGUUUUAUGAGAUGCACAGUAGUCAAAUAAAUUCUUUAAGAUCGAAGAACGGACGGUCACUUCAUUUUUGUUCCUAUUUAUUAGAUUUCAAUAACUUAUAUUUUAAAAAUAAAAACUUAUUUAAAAUUUUCUCUCCUUAACGAUUUAUUUUUUUAUUUAAUUACGGUAAAAAGAAAAAAUCAAGUUUUUAUUUAAUAAAAUUUUCAUAUUAAAAAUAUUUAAAUUUAACAGACACGAGAUUAACUUAUAAAUAUAAAUUUUAUAUUUCAAUAUUCAUAGUGUUUUUUUAAAUGCAAAAAUCAGUGUCUUAAUCGAAAUGUUAGUUGAGCAGAAAGGCGGUGGUGGAGCAUGACUGUUGGGUUUUAUAAAAGGAGGGCGAGAGUAUGGUCGGAGCUCACACGCUCUUCGUGGAGUUAAAUGUGGAAGCCGGCGCCUCUUACAUCAGCUUCAAAGUGUGACUUCUUUAGCGUCAAAAUUUUCGGCUUUGGACCUUUUUGCUGACUAAUAUUGUCCGGUCCAUAUUCUUGCAGUGUAAUUCAAGUUUGGCUUUUAAUCACUUUGGAAGCUAUAAGAGUUUUUUUUAUAUAUUCAAAAUGUUAAUUUUAAACGUAAUCUUUAUAUAUACAUAUUAUAAUAUUAUAUAUUUUGAUAAAUCUUUUUCUCCUCCUCCUACUCCAUGAUCGAUCAUGAUAGAUCUGAAUUUUUUCUUGAUCCAUCAUAUAGAUCCAUCAAAUGGGUCUCUCAAUAUGAAAGCACCUGCAAAAUAAGAAAAAGGUCUACUGGGGAUACUCCGAUAGAGACCUUUCGACGUUCAAGUCAGAUUUUAUGAAUAAAAGUAGAAUCUUUAGGCAAGAGUUACCGAGAGAGAAUAAAAAAUAAAGUCCCGAAAGGAGAGAAGAAGAAGAAAAGAGAGAGAGCCAGUCAGAGGGUCUCCACCGGGUAUCCCCGGUAGACUCUUGACCGUUUUUUUCUUAUUUUGCAAGUCUUUUCAUCAAAUAGAAUAUUGAGAGAUCCAUUUGAUGGACUAAGAAGAAAAAUAUAUUUAUCAUGAUCGAUCGUAGAGUAGGAGGUGAAAAAGAUUUAUCAUAUUUAAAUAUAUAAAAUAAAUUCAUAAUGCAUUAGUAUGGACUGAUUAUUGAGGCUUGGGAUCAGGGAGAAAGUCGUCCUGUUUUCGUCCUACACAAAAUCUAUAGGAUAGAAGAAAAUCAUGAGAUUGAGAGCAGGAAGCCGUUCAGACAAAUUUACAUCCUAGCAAAACUUUAUCCUCAAUAGUCACUAUCAUGUAAUAUAUUAAUUUGCUAAUUUAUACUUUUAAUGAGCACGACAGAACUAACUUCAUGCAAUUGCAGUGUCUUGUUAUCACUAACUUUGUCUUGGAUUGAACUUUACAUUUUCCAACCUGACAAACAUGUGAGCUGCCAUCCCACAAUACAUUUUCGUCCACUGACACAUCUUUAUUUUCGAGGAUAACCAUAUAUUAAAUAACAUAGGCUGAGCAUCUCUGAAGGGUAGAUGGCAAACCAUUGAUAGCCGAUCUAUGCAAGUAUUUUUCAUAACAUUAAUAUGGCUGAACUAUGCUCCUGUCAAUAGGCUAUGGAUGAAGAAGAGGCUAUGGAAAUGUGAGAUGUUUUGGACCACUUGCUAAGGAUGUGACCAUGAAGAAUACGAGGAAGUUGCCAAACGCAAUGCCCAUGAUGAGAUGAUGUGUAAUGCAUUAGUAAUCCACACAUUGUAAUAUAUUUCUCGCGUCAAGAUAAAUGGAUGAGUAAAAAUGUCUUAAAAAAUCAAUUAAAUAUGACAGAGGAGAUGAGUAUUUGGAAGCUAUGUCAUUGUUCUUGCUAUCGGAUACAGACAAUGUACAAUCAAGCUGUCCUGCAAGAUGGAGAUAAGUUUGAAACUUAUCUGGAAGAAAGUUAUCUUUAUUUGUCGUAUCUUCUUCAGGUACACGGCCAAUUGGAAAACACUAUGCGGCACCCUUUGCAAUUACAGUGGAUUCGACCUCUUUUUUUUUUUAAAAAAAAAAUUUCUGGAUUCGACUUGCUUCCUCAGUUGGAAUACGGGAGAGGGACAGCAAAGCUCAGAUCCAUGUUGAUGUGUUCCUGUGGGAGGCAGUAGCAAGUGAUGGUCAAAGCACUUGGAUCGAUAUGCUGUAUAAGUAUUGUACUUCAGCACCUCAGUCUGAAGCGUUGUAUGAAUUUUAGAGACUGAACUUCUGGCUUUGUUGAUUUUCGCAAUCUGAUUUUGUUAUUAUGUGUAUGUAAUCUUUUCAUAAAAACUCACAUAUAUCUUUUGUACCCCAAAAGAAAAAUCUGUUGAGUAAUGUGCAUCAAGCUAAUGUUUUCAUUUUUUUUUUCCGAAUCACCAUGCAAUAAUAUAUGUAUUUUCCUUUCAUUUGUCUUCUUCCUGGCUUCACUUUCUGUACCCAUGCUUAUGCAGAUUCUCCAUAACCUGCAGAACUUUUAUAUAUAUUAUCUCGGAGUAUAUGUGCAGCGUGCUUAAACACCGAACUUAUCAUGACUCCCUGGUCCCUGGUUAAGAGCCGAAUGUGAAAUUAAGACAAACGAAAUGUGGUCGGUGGAAGUAACCAAUGAUAAUUGCUUAUCUAUCGUUUAGUUAGUACAAUUGUAAACUAUGGAUGUGAAGUGGCAAGCAUCCAUCACGUGGCAAUUGUCCUAACCUACAACAACAGCAAAUACAAACUAUAACUAGGCUUUAGAUUUAGAAAGGCAAGUCAUCACCCCCACCAGAGACAGAGCUGGAUGCUGCAGCACUGUUGCGCUCAGCAUGACACAAUUGACGAAGCUUCGUAGGUACAUACCAAAUGGCCAGACGAGGAUGAGCAUUGAAAAUAGCAUCAAUGUCCCAACCUUGUCUUGCUGCUAUGGUCACAAGUGGCUUGUAGCAUGCCUGUCUCCACGCUCCAACGUUUUCUCCUCUCUCCUUGAAAGCUCUUCUCAGUGCAUUGGACGCAUCCUCAUCAAGGCAAUGAAGGGCAUAGCAGUGCACAUAAUGCCUCAUUUUGGGCUUGUUGAUGUAGCUUGCUCCUGCCUUCUUGGCGUACCUAAACACCUGAUUUGUCACCUAUGUCCAGGAAAAAGCCUAAUAAGACAAAUUUCAUUUAUGCUUAUCUGAAUGCAACAGUGAAAGGAGAGGACAAUGUUUUCUGCUCUUUUGAGCUGCAAAAAAUCAAUGAUUUUUCAAUGACAGGGUAAAGAAUCUGGUCGUAUAGAAGAACUCAAUAACGAUAAAUGCUGUGGGCUUUUGCAUGCCCUCUUAGAGGAGCAUUUCAAAAUCCAGAGGGUAAUGGACUUGGAUCCUAAGUCCAAUUUUGCACGUCAGAGUAAAGCCAACUGUUAAAGCCUGAAGUGCCACGUUGUCGCACGGACUCAGGAAAAUCACAUGUUAAUUGAAGAAUGAAGUACCCUAGGCCUUUCUGCAAUUUAGGCCUUCAAGUAAUGGAAUAGUGACAGCCCCACCAGACCGUACGUGACUUGGUUACCUUUUACCUUGGAACAGCUGUCAAGUUCGUACCAGAUAGGGCUGGUUGUGGGUUCACUGUGAGACCCAUGUAAUUGUAAAUGUCCUUGUGGACCCAAAAACCCGAUAUUAACGGCCCAGAUGGGUUUCUUUGUGUACCUUAGUGGGGCAUUUUUCUCCGCGGUCCUUGGCGAUGUUUUGGACUUGUAUCAAGAAUUCACGGCACUGUUCGUAGAGAUGGAAUAGGUAAUCAAGGCCGUUCUUCUUACCACGAGCCACUUCCCCAGGCUCCGUCACAAUAAAUGGGUGCUCCCGUUGUCUCUCGUACCCACCUGCACCGCCAUUUUCAUCGUUCUCGUUUUCAUCAUCAUGAUCAAUGUCCACCACCUUCCGCUGCCCUUUCCUCCUUCGCUGCUGCUUCCUCUCUGCUGCUGCUGCUGCCGCCUCCCACGCUCCACUUCCGCCGCUCCCUGCUGCUUCCUUCUCUUGCUGCACUGGCUCCUCUGAUAACCCUGCCCACGUACCCAUCACACCACAAUCAGGAUUAAACGCAAACAGAAAAGAAGAAGAUUAUUAUUUACAUACAUCCUUGUGUUGCUUGCAAAGGGACUUGACACAUCAUAUAUAAAAUGGAUGUAACAGUUCCGAAUCUCAAAUCCAAAUAUGAAAACAGCAAUCAGAACUUAAUUUUAUUUUUAGAGGUUACGAGAAGCGCAGAUCAAGCUAACAGGAGACAACGAUAGAACAUAAAUAAAAAAUAAAGAUUACAUAAAACGCAGCUAAGCAAAUUAAAAAAUACAACACAUACUACUCUCUAUCUAAGCCUUGAGUGACGCAACAAGCAUCCAAAGCAGAUAGCUAAACUGGUAAAACUUUAAACAUGCUCUUUCCAAUGAGUAAUGAAUCUCCUACUAAUUCUCAACUCCAUAACUUAGAAUUCUACUAAUAUAGCAGGAAAAUACUAAGGUAAUUAAGGAAGCAACAAUGGAAUUUAUGGGAAUUAUAACUAUAUUGUAUUCUAAACAAAAACGUAGUAAGCUUGGUAACAAAACCUUCUUGGGAGAGAGCAUCGAGAGCGUUGGUGGUAUCUCCUGAUAGCAGAUGUCUUCGCCGAGAAUCCUCCUCCUCAAGCCUCCUUCUCUCAGCUCUAACCGCCGCCUUUAUACCAUAUCUCUCUCCAACAAGAAGAUCCCACCUGAAAAUCUGAGAUAAACUGUUCAUCAUCUCAUCAAGCUCCUCGUCCUUCAUGUCCAAAAGCGUGUUCACAGUGAAUCCCAGCUCUGCUAUCUUCGCUGCCGUGUAGUACCUUAUCCCAUACGCCUGAAACAACUCCUCAAGUCCACACAGCUCCCUCGGUCUCACCGCGUACCCUGCCGUCAGUUGGGGCGGUGGAGCCACAGCUUCGAGAAGACGGUUCGGUGCUGGCACCACUGUUCGCGGGUCCCACUUGAACAAACUUGCUGUGAAGGCCUCUGGAUCCAUAUCUCUAUCUAUGCGCGCGUCUACUCUCUAGAACUGAUCUCUUAUACUUCUGUGAGGGUGGCAAGGUGUACAUUGAUCAUAAAAACAGGUGCUUGUUAGUUGUUUUUGCGUUGUUAAUUUCCGAAACUACCCUUGCAUCCCUUUAUUUUUUUUUUUCUUUUUCUUUUCCUUCUAUUUUCUUUUUUGGAUCAAGUAGCUAACAGAAUUGGAGGCCUGAUGUUUGGUUGGGACUUGACAGUUGAGACCAAACCAGUCAGAUUGUGUGUCAUUCGGUUCCUCGCAGUUACAUAACUUACAUUCUCCACAUCGAAGUUCCAAUAUAUGCACUCAUAUUUUGACACAUAAGCAACAUAACACCAUGUGGGCCACGAAGCCCUACAAUUUUUUUUAUUAUAAUUAUUUUAUAAGUACUCAAUUUGUUUUCUCAUAUUUUCAAUUAUUAUAAAUUAACAAAUUUUAAUCAGCUGCGUAUUUUACGCAAAAAAAAUAAUUAAAAUUAUAAUUUUUUAAAAAAUGCAUUAAAACAAUGGUAACUUUUAUUUUAAUAAUCUAUCAUUAGAAUAUAGCAUAAUACGUUUAAUAAGUUGAAUUAACAAUUAAGAAUUUCAUUUCAUGAAGAAUUAUUUAAAUUAUAAAGUCAACAAUACAUGCUUAAUUAGAUUUACUCUAGGUAUUUCACAUGUAACAGUUUUGCUCAGCCGUCCAAUUGACGAUCAGACAAAGCAGUAGCGCAAUCUUAUGUUUUGGGUCUAUUGUAAGUGUGGUGCAACUGAAUGUGCCAGAUAAUGUCUCCUUGACUUUCUCGUUACGACAUAUAGAGUUUUUCUACUUCGUUGGAGAUGCCUGGUCUGUUUCCGACUUUAUCGUUGCCACAUCAUAUAUUCUAACUUAAAAUACAAAAAGUCGAAAACACCCUCUUAUUUCAGAACAUAAUUAUAUUUACAAUAAAAAUUAAAUUAUAUAUUUAUUCAUUGAUUAAUUAUAAAAUAUUAGAAAUUUUUUUUAUAAACAUAAUUUAUUAUGUAAUGAAUUGAUUUUAUUUUUUUAUUUUUUUAAUUUUAAAAACAAGACAAAAAUGCUGUUGGCUAAUUUUCCAUCCUCAAUCCUCAAGUGAGAGAUUGGGGGGAAAAUUAGAAAGAAAAAAAAAAAAAAAAAACUCUGGGAAAGCCACAUUGACCGAACUAUGCUAGAAAUCUGAUCACUUGCUAUAACAAGAUAAGGGGUAAAUCCGUAAUUCAAAUAGGUUAAACAUGAGAGUCGUUUGGUUAGAGUUAGAAAAAUAAUAAUAAUAAGUGAAGCUUUCUAUCAAGUGCAAAAAAAAUUCCUGUUUAUUUUUACAUAAUUAGAACAAUUUUUUCUUUCAUAUAAGAGAAAUAAUUUAUCUAACAAAAAUUUAAUGAAUUCCAUAAUUUUUUUUCACUUUAAAUUAUAUCAUAAUUAUUAUAUUUUUAAAUUAUAAGUUUCUUGAAAUUGUAUUUUAUAUAAAAUAUACUAAUCAAAAAGCAAGACAAAAUAAUUUAUUGCGAAAUAAAUUAGAAGGACAAUUUAAAAAGCAACACUGUUCCUUGGCGAUGUAGGAAAUAAAAUGCAGAGUAAGUACAAAAAAUGUCAGGUGUUUCAGCUAAGUCUCUCUGAGCAAAAGGCUGUUUUUGUACUUGUGAAUAAAAAUAAAUAAUCCAACGAAGCCCAUAAUGAGCUGUUCUUUGUUUUGGUCUUACAAUCAGCUGCUCCCGCAUCUACUUGCAUCUCCCACUGGAGCUUAUUUCGUGCGUUGGAUAAUCUGAAUCGUGCAGACUAAUUUGCUACGUUUCAAAUAUUCAGUGGCCGUAUCAGUGCACGCUUAUGAGCAUGAAGAAAUUCCCGAAGGGAAAUAAUCCAUCUUUUAUCUUCUUUUUAGAAAAAUAAAAACUUGUUUUACAUCGAAAAAGAGAAAAAAAAAUACCAAAAUUAGUUGGUCAACCACACAGUACUUCUGAUACUGCCAAUGGAAUCAUGACACGUCACGUCUCUGAUUAGAUGCUAACAAUGCGUCAGUUGCUCAGGCUGGAUUUUUUCUUGCAUAAACAGUACUUUUCCUCCUACUCUAUUUCCAGCUCUUCCUUUCACAUUGCUUUUUAAUCAAUUCUGGCGUUUCAUGGCAAAAUUUAUUACUCCAAAUCUAAUGCGGUUUUUCAAAUUAAAUAAUUAAAUAAAAUUAUUUAUAUCAAUUAGACAUUAGAGUCCUCAAUCAAAUAAGAGCUUUUUGAUUAGCGCAUUAAAUCUGAAAAAUUUUAUUAUUUAUUAUAUUUAAUUUUUUUUAAAAUAAAAAUUAGAGAUCAAAGGUAGAAUAUAAAAUUUUUUAAAUUUAUUUAAAUAAAUUUAUUAUCAGUUUAAAUUUGUAAAUGCAUUUAUUCACUUUUAUAAUGCAUAUAAUAUAAAAUGAAAAAAUUAUUAAACUGAGAUGAGAAUCUAUUAAUUAAAAAUUUUAAAUUCAAGGGUUAAAUAUAAAAUAUUUUUAAAGCUGCUUAACAUAUGGGAAUGACAAUUUGCAUCCAUGGGGUCUAACAAGAAAUGGGCUAAUAAUGGGCCACUACCACUGGUAACGAGAAACUUAGGAAUAGUCGCAAGUCACAGAAAUAGCUCUGGGCUUAUGACAAUUGGUUUGGUUUUCGGUUUUGAACUCUUCUUCUUUCCCUCGUGGUAGCGUAAACUUAUGCAUUUAAUUUCACAAUCUCUAAUCAAUGGGACCGUGCUUAACUUUCAGUUUUUAACCAGACACUAAUCAUCACCCUCCACCAGUUUUACAAAAAAAUUAUGGGAAACUAGGUUUUUUUUUAUUAUCAUAUAUUGAUUGUUGAAAUUAAUUUUUAAAAAUUUUAAUUAUUUUAUUAAAAUAAAUUCCAAGACCAACGCCAGUUGAAAUCAAAUCAGAAGAGAAAGCUAGUAAACAUAGGACAGGCAAUUAAAUCAUAUUAGACCAACAACAUUGCAAUACAAGUUGAGUAAUGUGUCGGUGCAACUAUAAAUAAAAUAAUUACUAUAAGGUUUUAUAAUUUGAACGUGUUCAACAUUUUUUUACAUUAUAUUAUGAAGCCUUGAACUAACGUCAAUCCUUUGAGAGACACAAUCUAUCAACUUUUAUGUAAUCAAUUGGAGUUAGGUUCAAUAGUGUUGCUGUUAAAGUAUCAAACAAUUCAUGAAUUUAUUUUAUUAAUUAAUCUCUAUAUUUUAUAAAAAUAUUUAUAAAAAAAGAUAAUGGCUAAUUAUAAAUAAUAGACUAAAUAACUUAAUUAUUUUUUAUAAGAAAAAUAAAAUAAAAUUAAAAUUCACCCACAUACUUGAAACAAGAUGUGCCAAAUUACCCUUCAGUUGAAAAAUAUUUAGCUUAAGUUAAAAAAAGUAAAUUAAAUAUAAUGGGUAGUGUAAAUUUUGAAUAUUUGGAGAGCAGGUUGAAGAAUGCAGCUAGGAUCUGGUAAUGAGGGGGACUUUCCAUCAAACCCCGGCAGAAAUUAAUUUAUAUAAAAAGAAGGAUUACAGAGCCCACUAAUAAAAUAAAUAAAAUUAGUUAUUCUAAUUUUCAAGAAACAACGUAAGGAUCUUCUUCAAGCAAAUUUGCUUGGCCUUCUCUGUCAAUCUGUUGCUCUUUCUUUCCCCUUUGUUUCUCUAAUCAUGAAAGAAACUCGUUUAUUGCAUUUCUAACAAGACCCUGUUACUUGUUAUCGUCACAUUUCAACUGUCUCUUCCCAGUCUCAGCCUCAAAUCGUCCUCCUCCUAUGCUCAUGUCCUCUGCUUCUUUGGGUCCUUGAGCUGCUUCUUUGUCAGAUUUCUCUUUAUUGCUUUUUCUUUCAUGCUUCGAAACACUGAAGGGACAGGGAAAAUGGACAUUUGGAAGUGGGUUUUUGUUGGGAUUCUCUGCUAUGCUGCUUUUGCAUCGACUGUUGGUGCUGUGAAGCUGAGCAGGAGUCAACCCACUGAGAGGAUUUCAGGUCUCUUUCCUUUGCACUUACCUCUAUUUGCUUCUGUGGUGAGGGAUUGCCAUGUUCUGUUAUUAUCCAUCCCUAUGUUGUUGAUUGAUAAGCUGAUUUAUGCUAUUUUAUAACUUUGAUGUAGGUUUGAUAAGUGAAUUUAGGGUUUCUUUUUCUCUUCGUUCUGAGAAUGUAGUUUUUGGUCAUGGUACAUUUUUGGGGAUCCGCUUGGGUUGAAGCUCAACGGGAGAUUUGCUAGGAUUGCUGGCUUUAGUUUGUUUUCUAAGGUCUUUCACUAGUCAAAAGUAAUGUUCGGCGUUAUAGUGUAAGAAUUUUAUUUAGAACACUGAUAAAACUCUUUUAUAUCUUUGUAAGCUGUAUAUGCCUCUUCUGCUAUGAUUAUUCGUCUUAUGCUUGAGCAAAGAGAAAAGGUUGGAGCUUAAGAUUAACAAAAUAUGGUCUCUUAGUUACCAAGCAUGAUAAAUUUGAUGAUGAGACCGAUGUAUCUAUAUGGUUGCGGAAGGUACGUAGAAGGAAUAGGUGGACAUGGUUGCCAUCGAAUGGGUAUAUGUUUCAAUUCAAGUUGAUUAAGCCAUAAUCCCAUUCUAGUAGAAGUGGGCUUUGGGGUUUGCUGGAGGAGGGAUGGCUAUAUGGUUUUUUCCUCCAUUCUACUUGAUUCAGGGCUAAAUUGGUAGAAUGGUCUUAUGCGGUUAAACCUCAUUUAUAUUCAUCCUAGGAUAUAAAAUGGUUACUUGUUCUGAUACAAUUGGACUACUAUAGAAUGUAAUUUGGAAGUGCACUAGAAUUAGAUCAAUUAUUGUAGCUGAGGAAGUCCUAAUUUGUAUUUCCUCGAUUGAAUGCUAAUAAACAAGGGCAACCAAAAAAAAGUAUCAUUUCAAUUAGUAUGAUGGACGGGUGUAAAUAAGGUUAAUUUUGAUUGUAUUUAUUGGUAGUCAUACACAGCUGGACUGCUGCAGAAUAUGUCGUCUGCUGUCUAUUUAGUUAGAGAAAAUUUGUUCUUUUAGCUGAUAAGCUGAUUAUUUUAGUUCAUAUGAUCUCAAGUUAAAAAAAGAAGAAGUUUCCAUGUAUGUAACUCCAACCAGUUUGGAUUGAAUUGAAGGGAGUAAAAAAAGUUAAUUUUGAUUGUAUUUAUUGUUAGUCAUACACAGCUGGACUGCUGCAGAAUAUGUUGUCUGCUGUCUAUUUAGUUAGAGAAAAUUUGUUCUUUUGGCUGAUAAGCUGAUUAUUUUUAGUUUAUAUGAUCUCAAGUUAAAAAAAGAAGAAGUUUCCAUGUAUGUAACUCCAACCAGUUUGGAUUGAAUUGAAGGGAGUAAAAUGUCUCUAAUUUCCCUGUCAUAAGAAAUUAGGUGCCUUUUAUGUCUGAAUGUCAUGGUAUUCUGGCAUGUAUUUUUGACAUCCCCACUAAUGAAAUCACAUUUCUAGGAGUGUAUGCAGAAAGAGAAAGGUUUCUUCCCUGGGUUAGUAAUUAGUAGUUUCUUUUUGCCCUACCUCUUUAAUACUUUCCGAAAUCACUUCACCUAAUAAUAGGCAGUACCAAGCCCUGGAACACCAUAUUACAUUGAUGUUCAUUUUGCAUUAAGUUCGAGAUUAUGAAGUCAAAUUAUUUUUGUGGUGAACAUAUCUGACAUCUUUUAGUAGACCUUAACUAGACUAAUGAAAAAAAUAUUUUAUGCGGAAGUGAGGAAAGGGAGAAAUGGGAGUUUACUUUUUGCACAUAUUGCAAUUGUUAUAUUGAUAAGGAUUAAAUGUUCUAGAACUAUAAACUCUCUGUAAUUAUGAGACCUUUAAGUGAUAGGAUUUGUGGAACAUGUAGGUAGUGCUGGUGAUGUUUUAGAAGAUGAUCCUGUGGGAAGGCUAAAAGUUUUUGUUUAUGAACUCCCAAGCAAAUACAACAAGAAGAUUCUGCAAAAGGAUCCAAGAUGCCUUACCCAUAUGUUUGCUGCUGAGAUCUUUAUGCAUAGGUUUCUCUUAUCUAGCCCUGUUCGAACUCUCAAUCCUGAGGAAGCUGAUUGGUUUUAUACCCCUGUAUAUACCACUUGUGACUUGACACCAAAUGGCCUUCCUCUGCCUUUUAAAUCACCAAGAAUCAUGAGAAGUGCUAUCCAGCUUAUUUCUUCAAACUGGCCCUAUUGGAACCGGACUGAAGGAGCUGAUCACUUUUUUGUUGUCCCCCAUGACUUCGGAGCAUGCUUCCAUUAUCUAGUGAGUCAAUCAAUCCAUUUCUUUCAUGUUUGUUCCUAGUAACCUCCUAUUUUUUUGACAAGCUGUUUACUGAAUUUUAACCAACAGAGCUGAUCAUAUGGAUUCUCAAACUCCUAAUAUGUUUCAGCUUUUGUGCUGUAUCAAAUUGUCAUAAUGCGAAUUUGUACUUCAUCGAGUUGUUAUAUUCUGGCAAGGUUCUCUUCCUUGAUGUCAUUAACUUUUGUUGGAUGUUUCCCUCUUCACACGUGCUGUUGCAGGAAGUGAAGGCCAUUGAAAGAGGAAUUCUUCACUUGCUCCAACGUGCUACCUUGGUGCAAACUUUUGGACAACGGAAUCAUGUUUGCUUAAAGGAGGAGGGCUCAAUAACUGUUCCUCCAUAUGCUCCUCCACAGAAAAUGCAAGCCCACCUUAUUCCUGAGAAAACUCCUCGAUCUAUCUUUGUCUACUUCAGAGGAUUGUUUUAUGAUGUAGGGAAUGACCCAGAAGGUGGCUACUACGCAAGGUAUUUUAAAUAGUGUUUACAUUUUUAAGCAAAGAGUUGAGGUGCAAGUGUUUUCAAUUUUUUUCGUGUAGCAACAAAGGCUCAAAUCCAUAUUUUGUUUGAUGUUGGUAAAAAAAUGUAGAUAUGAAGCUGUGACAAGAACCAUCUCGUAAUUUUAACAGUUAACUGAAAUAUUCAGGUAAAUCACCUGGUGUUUCAUUAAAAUGCUAUGAAUUGUUUGUAAGUGGAAGAGAAUUAUCAAAUUUCAUGGAUUCUCUAUUUAUCCUUGUUCUGAUAGAAGUUUGAAAAGCUAACUUAAUUCUCCAUUUUUGGAAAAUUUUCAGAGGUGCACGAGCAGCAGUGUGGGAGAACUUUAAGGACAAUCCGCUUUUUGACAUAUCCACGGAGCACCCAACUACAUACUAUGAAGACAUGCAACGAGCUGUGUUUUGUUUGUGUCCACUUGGGUGGGCCCCCUGGAGUCCGAGAUUGGUUGAAGCAGUUAUAUUCGGUUGCAUUCCCGUCAUCAUAGCUGAUGAUAUAGUUUUACCCUUCGCUGAUGCAAUACCAUGGGAAGAGAUUGGAGUUUUUGUAGAUGAGAAAGAUGUACCAAACUUGGACACCAUUCUGACUUCAAUCCCACCUGAAGUAAUACUUAGGAAGCAGAGAUUACUUGCGAACCCUUCAAUGAAGCAGGCGAUGCUAUUCCCACAACCUGCACAACCAGGAGAUGCUUUCCAUCAAGUUCUGAAUGGACUUGCACGUAAACUGCCGCAUGACAGAAGUAUUUACUUGAAGCCAGGUGAGAAGGUCUUGAACUGGACUGCAGGUCCUGUAGGUGACCUGAAACCUUGGUAGCAGCUAUAACAUGUACAUUUAUUUGAAGAAAUUCUUGGCAACCAACAGAGUUUCUCAAAAGUUUGACACUGUGAAUCUUGAUUUUGCCACAACUGUUGGAUUAUGCAGGUUUAGUGAAUAGGGAUAUUGCUAUGAGCUGUUUCUUCCCUUCCCCCUCCACCUCCCUUCUCAUGUAAAGGAACUUUUUAUCAAGAGUUUUCCAUGUUUCAAUUAGUAAGAGCUAUUUGUCCAUUCACAAUUGCUAAAUACGAGCUAAGUGCCAACACCCAUGUUGUGGGCUAUAGGUUGAAAGUAUUUAUCUGCUAGUUGAUAAGACCAGAGCUAUAGUUUCAUUUUAUUUAUUAGGUAUUUAUAAUUUAAAUUUGAUAUUAUUAGAAAUUCAGAAAAAAUGAAGAAUAACAAAGGUAAAACUAAACAUAUUUCGUAGAAUUGAACUUGAUGCUGAUGGAGAUAUUAAUCUCAAAAAGAGUAUACUAGUACAUGAAAUUAAAUUGUAUAUGUUAAUAUUGAAAUGAUAAGAACCCAAGUCUAAAUCAUCUUCUCUCCAACAUAACAUGUGAGGAAAUUUUUUUAAAAUAUUUUUAUAAAUUAUUUAAUAUUUUAUUAUUAUUUUUUAAUAAAUAUUAUUUUACAUUAUUUUAUUUUUUUAAUAUUAUAAAAUUAAAAUUUAAAAUUAAUAUAAUAAAUUUUUGUAAUUUUUUAUAAAUAUAAAAAAUAAUUUUUAUUACACUUAAAUUCUUAAUUUAAAUUGUUAACAUUGGUUUUUGUUAUUAUGAUAUAAUAAUUUAAUUUAAUUUAAUUUUUAAAUUGUUAACUAUUAAAUACAUUAAUUUUAUAAAUAUUAACUAUUAUAAUUUAUAAAAUAAGCUUUUAUAUAGAAUUCUUAAAAUUGUUAAUCGUAUAUAGCUCCGCUUUUUAAUACUCUUUAAAUUUAUACGAAAAAUAAUUAAUGAAAAAUGUAUUUUUUAAUUUUAAAAGAAAAAACAUUUUAUUUAAAGUUUUGAUUAUAUAAAUUUUUUAAUAAAAAAAUUAUAUAUAUAAUUAAUCAAAAUUAUAUCAUUUUAUAAAAUAAAAUUUAUAUUCAAAUACAAAAUACUUUAGCCAACUAAAUUAAAAAUCUAAUUACAAUUAUCAAAUUUAAUUACAUCCAAAUUUCAUUAUUUUUUUGUCUUUUCACUUUUAUAAAAUCAUUCCAUUUUAUUUUUUAUUAAUUAUAUUUUAUUAAAUAAAAUAAUUCAAAUUUAAAAUAAAAAUAUUAAUUUUAAAUAAACAUUUGAAAUAAUUUACUCAAUUAUUAUACUAAAUAAUAUAUAUGGUCAAAACAUAAAAUUUUAACACUUUUGAUAUUUACAAAGAUUUUUAUUUUUUAAAUUUAAAAAAAAUAUAUAUCAUUUUUAUUACAUUUUUCAUUUAAUGGAAUGCUUAUGAAAAAAACAUAUAUAUAUAUAUAUUCUAAACUAAAAAAUUAUAUGUAUUUUUUAAAAAUGACCUUGCAUAAAAUAUUUAAAAAAUAAAAAUAAAUAUAAAUAAAAUCAAUUUAAUAAAAAAAUUAUAAAAUUAAAGAAAAAAUUACAAAAAUAUUAAAUCAAAGCAACUGAAAUCCAUUACGCAUAUAAAAAAAUCAAAUUCAACAUAAAUUUAAAUUAAAUAAAAAUAUACAUAAAUUAUUAGUUGAACUAAAAGAGCAAUACAAAUAAUAUUUUUAAAAAUUAAAAUGCUAACAAUGCAAUUAUAUGUAUAUAUACGAUAUCUCUCUAUUAAAUUUAUGAAAAUUCAAUUAUAUUUUUAAUAAAUAAUAAUGAUUUAUUAUUAAAUUUAUCAUUUAAUAGCAAUUGUAAAUUGUAAAUUUUUAAUUUUUAAAUAUUAAAAAUAUUAUUAAUUUACUAUAAUAUUUAUUUUUUAAAAAAAAUAAAUUAAAUUUACAUCAAUUUAAAAAAUUAAAAUUUUCAUUUUUAAUUUGACAAAUCUAUUUUUAAAGUGUAUAACAGAUUCAAAGAUAUACUUAAAAAAUUUAAUUAUUCUCUUCUUUUUCUCGUUUUAAAAUAUAUCAUUAUUUGUAAUUUUAUAAUAAUAACUUAUAAUUUUCUAAACAAAUAAAAAUAUCCUUUUUAAGUUAUUAAAAAAAUUAAUUGACGCUAAUUAUUAAUUUAAAUUAUUUUUAUAUUUCUAUAUACGAUUUUUUAAUUCAUUAUUUUUUUAAAAAAUAAUUUAAUUUACAAUAAAAUUUCAAUAAAUAGAAUUUAAAUGUAAAAAAGAUAUUUUAUAGUAAAAUUUAAUCAAGAAUAUUUUAAUCAAUUUAAAUUUAAAUAGACUAAUAAUAUAAUUAAAUUAAAAUUUUUUAAAAAAAUUAAUUUAACUUAAGAUAAAAUUUGAAUAUAAGUAAUUUAAAUAUUAAGAGAAUUCUUUAUUGAUAAAAUUUAAUCAAUUAUAAUUUAAAUAUUAAGAGAUUUCAUCAAUCAAUUAAUAUAAUUAAAUAAUUAAAUUAAAAUUUUUUAAAUAAUAAUAAAACAUAGUAGAAUUAUUUUAAAAAGUACUAACAUUUUUUUUUAAAUUUUUAUAUAUAUUACAGAUUAAUAAAUAUUAUAUAAUUAAUAAUUCUAUUGCCAAAUUAAUAAUUAAUUUAAUUUUAAACGCGAGAGAAAAAAAGAGUGGUAAUAAUUAAAAUGAUAAUUUGGAGAAAAGACGAAUAUUAUUUUUUUACCAAUAAGACUUAUUAUUUUUUGAAAUAAAAAAAGAUUUAAUAAUUUGUAUUAAAAAUUAUCUCACACAACCAUAAUAUUUAUAAAUUUAUAAAAGUAGAAAAAAAUCAUUUAGUUACUUCCGGUUAAAAUUGAUAGAUAAGAGAUGUAAUUUAUAAAAUUUCCAAAACGUGAGCAGAAAGUGCCAGAACUAGAACAACUUUUGUGGGACGGGAGACAUGAAAGCCCCGCUUCCACGUGUUCUCCAAGCAGCCGAUAAAACUAGCUAAUUUACCUCUACUCAGUGUUCACCUCUUAUCUCCUCGUCUCGUCUUCUGCCUCAAUUCUGUUUGCCUACAGAUCGACCUGCGAGGAGAAGAAGCUUGGCUGCCGGAGAAAUGUCCCUGCAUGCACCCACCAGGAUUCAGGCCGCCAAUCCUACUUCUCCACCUUCUAUUUUAGCUCCUCUUGGCAGUAAUGCUGGGCUCAGGCCACCAUCGGAUCGUUUUGCUCUGAAAUCCUCCUCCUUUUCUCCAUCGCUCCACCUCUUGCUUACUUCUAAUCAACAGAAGCCUCUUGCUUCUGCAGCUCCAAGAUUCUCCAUGCGUGUUGCCUCCAAGCAGACCUAUAUUUGUCGCGAUUGCGGGUGAUGAUAUCUUUUGGGUUCUAGAUUGUUUCUUGAUUUUGUUGUAUUCUUUGUAAAGUUUAGUAGAUGAAGGGGUUGUGAUUUAGUACAAUUCUGGUGAUUCUAGGUAUAUUUACAACGAGAGGACUCCUUUCGAGAAACUGCCUGACAAGUACUUCUGCCCUGGUACUCACUUCCAUGUUCGCUUCAAUUUUCAGUUUCCAAUAUCCUUUGGUUAAUUCAGAUUGGUAGUGGGUGGCAUAGAUUAUCCUCCUUAUCCAUGAACUACUGAUGAUUUCUUAAUAUUGGUUGAUUAAACUGUAGUCCGUCGUCUUUAGCUAUCUCAUUAUGAACAAAAUGUUUGAUGCUUGUAUGCACUAGAAAAGGGAACGGGGAGUUGUCAUUUCAAAAUUUUCUGGCUGGAUUAGAUUGCUGAUGCUAUGAAUUGAAUUUGCUUGGCAGUUUGUGGUGCUCCAAAAAGGAGAUUCAAGCCAUAUGCACCUGCUGUGACAAAAAAUGCUAAUGAAACAGAUGUUAGAAAAGCACGCAAAGCUGAAAUCCAGAGAGAUGAAGCAAUUGGGUAAGCACACGUCUAGUUUCUUGUUAGUUUUACAAAUCUCAGCCUCUCGUAACAAUGGUAAACUUGACAGGCGAGCUUUGCCAAUUGCAAUAGUGGUUGGAGUCGCAGCCCUUGCUGGUUUAUAUUUCUACCUGAACAACAGCUUCCAAGGUUGAACGUCGGUAAUUUCACAGGAACUAUGGCAGAAGAAUUUUAUGUGAAUGCUCGAGUUCAUAGAACAGGGCAAUUCUUGUAAUUUUAUUCUAUUAAGGAAACGUUUAUUUAAUGUUAUUCUUUUCCUCCAUUCCAAGAUUGAUAAAUGCAAACUUCUCACUGUCCGCAGCUAUAAUGAAAAUCUAGGAAUUUUCAAAAUCAACGCAAUAAAUUGCCAAAAGAAAACUGACGGAAAGCAUGGACUUUAACCGAGAAAAUUGUAAUUUGAUAAAACAAAUUAAAGUUUGAAACUUUACACAUGGUUAUAUAUGUAUUAAGUAAUCAUUCUUGCAACACAAAAGAACCCUCUAUUCUUUUCUCCAUCAGUUGUAGAGGGGGGAAAUUCAAAGGAGAAAACAUAUCAUUAGAACCAGAGGCUGGUGCAGGCUUGAACUCAUAAGGUCCUUCCUUCACUCCCCAAACCUGUAUCCAGCAAAGACAGCUUUCUUAAAAAAUUAAGGGUUUUGUUUCAUUUCCAAUCAACGUUAUGUUAAACCAAAGAUAGAGAGCUAACCUGAUUUCCAUCAUCAUCAUAGCCCCUAUCCCAGGUAUGUAUUUCAUUGUUUUUUAAAAUUGCAAGUUCUGAAGUGCAGUAGCUUGCUCCGUUCUGUCAGAAUGAUAGAUGAGUAACGACUACAAUUAUACUUGUUCCCAUCUAUAGAUCUUCUAUAUAAUUUCCCAUAUAAAUGAAAAAACGCACAAGGCCUGGAAUAACUUAAAAUUGAAUGAUGACAAGAAGGAUGAAAGCAAAUACCCAUGAAUUUGGGAAUCCGCCGGGGGGAGUAGAACCUUCAUACAAGCAGCAUUUUCCACGGUCACAGCGUUUAAGAUGUAUUGUUGUCAGAUGUUCUGCAAUGUCCUGCACUUGCGCAACAAAAUGGAGAAACUGAUUAAGAGAACUAGUUAUCCAUUUUGAUAAUGCAGGCCAUGGCAUAUAUUAGAAUUAACAGUCAUCUAAGAAGCAAUGGUGACUUUAAAAUUCACAAUUUUCUUGAAGUUUAAAGCAAAACAAAUAAAAUCCAGUACCACAUGAUAAUGAGUUGAGUCAAAAUCUGAAUAUGUCUAGAGGACUUACACCAAUAACUUCUUCUGGCAGCGGUCGCUGAUCCUUUGGUCGAUCACAGAAAUUUUUGUACUCCUCUGCGUCUCUGAUGGCAGAUGAGCUCACCUGUCAAUUAAUGGAAGAAUGAAAUGAUUUAUUAGUUGUGUAAGGUGUUUAUGUGAAAUCUCUCACAAAACCUCAAAAAGAAUUAGGAACAGCAAAACUAUUUUAACUGUGGUAAUGGAUGGGGAAAAUGAUCUACUUCACAAGAUGAUAUUACUAACUAGCCAGGUAAAAAAAAAAUACAGUUGCAGUAAGAAAACAGGGCAAAAAGUUUUAUAAUGAAGCACACGCAUGACAGUUCUAUUAUUACGAAGAAACCAUGGCAUGUUUUCGCAUAAGUCUCAGAGUCAUGUUUCAGAGCAUAAUUUAUGGAGGUAUAUUCUUGGCCAUCGUUCAUUAAUACUACUACUACUACUACUUUAUAGAUCUACUUGAUGAAAAUCAACUACUAGUAAAUAGGAGUUCAAGGGGCUUCAAACAAACAUUAUGAAGACGGCAUGAUCAAAGUAAAAAAGAACUUUGGUGUAAAUAAUUGCAAAUGGUAUUGAGAAUAGGAAUAGUAGUUAUACUAAUAGCACUAAUUAUAUUAGGGCCAUAUUUAAUCCCCUAAGAUUGCCCCUUAACAAUAUGAGGGAAAGAGAUAAUGCGUAGUUUGUACUUGAUUUACAAUGCAGCGCAAAUAAGUUAUUAUAAUAAGCUCACCUCAACAUCGCAUUUCAACUCCUUUGGACAAGGUUUCACCAUAUAGAACCUCUGAAAAAGAUAUAAUUGUUUUAGAAUUUUCUUUUUGUUGCAGAAGUGUCAUUAAACAAAAGCCGCAAGCUAAAAUAUUUACAAGCAGAUGGAAAAGAAAGCAACUUUUCCACUUUGGAAAGCCAAAAAUCUUGCAUACAAUCUAAAAAUAAGAAUGUUCUUGAUAUAUUAAUAAAAUGUAAGCAAAAAUCUAAAUCAAACAGCAAUAUGAUAGAUUACCUGCCGAAAGGGCUUUUGAGGAGUUCUCCAGAAUGCCUAAUAGUAGACAGAUGACUCUCAUAAAAUGGCAGACAUGAACUAAAUUUACAAAUGAAAAUGCAGUAAAGACAGUGAGUUCAACUAACCUGUUCGAAAUAUAAAACCUUGGAACCAUCCACCAUCUCCGCUGCCGGACAAGUAAGCAUUCUGCACAUGAGAAUUCCUAAAACUAAAAAUAAUGAAAGAAUUUACAGCAUCUGAAAUUUCUCUUGCAAUUUCUGAAUGUUCAAGCUUCAUUCAGGCUCAUCGCUUACUCAAAUUUCAACAAAAUUAGUGGUUCAAAAACAACAAUGGAAAUCCGACGAAGAAGUAAAGGGGUACCUAAUGUUGAAGUAAUUAUCGGGAUCUCGGGAUGCUUGUUCUCUGGAGAACUAACUCCACAAAUUAAAUUGACACAGGAAUUAGCGAAGCAACGAAAAUGGGGAUGAACCCAAAAAUGCAACAAGCUUAAUUAAAACGGUACCUUUUCGCCGCUGAGUGAUUGAGCUACAAUUCGAGCAUGGUCCCAACGGGUAGUAGACUUGGUGAGACGCUUCACCAGAAUCGCACCGCCGAUCAAAACCAGUGUCUUGAUUACCAAUCCUCGAGCUCGGCUCCAUCCAUUAGAUUCCCAGCCCGUUCCCAUUUUCUAGUUCUUUAUACACGGACGCAGGACCAAGAACCCAGCACCAUUUCUUCCCCUAAAAAAUCGGAUAAAACGAAAAAAGCUGUAGCAGGAUAUCGCUGCAAUGAGGCAGCGGGGAGGAGGAGGAGGAGGGAAUGUGGAGAUUGAAUAACAACUGUGUUAAUAUGAUCGUGAAUUAUGGUGACAGAGAAAGAUAUGGCUCGAAUAAUUGAUGAAUCAGAGAUUUGUCAAUUGUUCGAAUCCCUGACUCGCCGGCGCCCAGUUGUCGACAGGAGCUGGUUAAAGUUCCUUUGGGCUUUGUCAGCCCCGUCAGGCUCUGCUUUUCCUCACAGUUGGUUUCGUUCUCUGGUAAGCGAAGCUAGAUUGCGGUGCAGAUUACUUGGGCCGCUCCACAUCCUUUCAAUUGUGCGCGUAGAGUGACUAUUAUACCCCGCACCUUGAUUAAUACAAAAUCUAUGUAUUUUGGCUUGGAAGUUUCAUGUAUUCGGGAGAAUUCUAAUUAUUUUUUUAUUNNNNNNNNNNNNNNNNNNNNNNNNNNNNAAAAAACAACAGAGGAAGGGAGAGGGGGAGGAUUAUCCCACUGAUUGGUGGCUUAACCAACCACUGAGCUUAUCUGCUUAUGUGCAAGAACUGUGCCUUACUUGACAGGGAUUUGGGAAUUCGAUCUUUAAAUAUUACUUGAAAAUUGAAAUUCGUUUGUUGUUAACUUCAGAAUCUGGCAAUUUUAGUACAAAUGACGCCCAAACAAUAGAUUUUACAGGACGUAAUUUCAAACACAAACAGAUAACCAGUCACUCAUAAAAUCAACAACUUUAUUUAAAGUUUCCAGAAGGAUGAGGGUUCUAUAUCACUGUCGCUCUCAUCAAGGAGAAACCCCCAGAAGAUCCAUCACCAGCAACAGAUUCAAGCACAGUACUCCUCUCUUUCUCAUGCUCCUUAAAACAGUAAACAGGAGCUUGCCAAUUUUCAUCCUCCAGCACUGCUCCGACCUCAAACGUCAUCACAUGAGUAACCAUCCCUAGCACACAACACAAUCACAACAUUCUCAAUGGUAGAUUAUUAAAUAAAAAUGGGUAUUAUCUAUUCUUUAAAUUUCAGAAACAUUAUGUGUUAUCCAAGGAAUCACCUGUAUAGAAGGUCCAGGAAACUGGUCUCCUAGUUAUGACAUCCUCAUAGUACCAAAUGAAAUCCACCUUCUCCCACACGUUGCAGAGGAAGCCGUCAAUUUCUUGCUGACCAAGAUAGUUAGCACCUUCAAGCCAGUUGGGUCGGAGAACGCCUACCGGAAAAUGCAAGACUCUGCAUUCUUGAUUCGAAUCCAAGGUGUAGAUAAAGGAAGUGCCAUUAUCCCAUUCGAGGUCAUACAAGAGCUUGCCUAGCUGAUUCUGGAUUAUGUUGAAGUUUCGGCCAUUGGGCCAGUCGUACCAGAGGUCCACCACUUGGAGUUUGCCGGCGCUAGUGUUCAUGAAGAGAAUUGAGUGAAAUUGAGAAGGCCAUGCAGCUGGUGUUGGGUCUUCAGAUUUUGACUCUAUUGAAACACUGGCGGAGGAGAUUAAAAGAAGAAUUAGCAGAGAGUUGAAGGGCAUGGGUUCCAUUGCUGAGGCCAUGGUUAAUUGUUUAUCAUAUUCCAGUUGCAGUUGGUCAAUCCGUGAUUCAACGACGGUUUUAUCCUUAGAAGUUCCGAUAUUUGCAUCUCAGGACCUCCCAGUAUUGGAAAUUCUAUUUUCACCCAUCCUAAAUUUACACUCAGUUGUACUGUCGCCCACUUACAUUUCAUUUUUCUUAUUUACGCACCACCAGCUGUUGUUUUCAUUUAGGAAUGCCAGUUUUCAGCUUCCAAAAGCAAGUGCAACAGCAACAUAUCUCACAAGAUAGACGAAAUCCCUAUGAAAAUAUGAGAGAGAGAGAGAGAGAGAGAGAGAGAGAGAGAGAGAGAGAGAGAACCGUGCUGAGAAAAAUUCAAUUUUGGAAAAUAAAACAUACAUUUCACUGUACAAUUUCCCGCUAUCAGCAGCUCUUGUUCAUCAGGUUGUAGAUUAUGACAAUUAAUACUAUUCUUCUUCAUAUUUUGCCAAUGACAAGCCAAUAAAUCUUCCAGCUUUACAGCGGAACAGAUACUGAUUCCCGGCAACAGGGCUGCCGGGAUUUUUCUUGAUGUCAUCCCACCGUCUUACCCACAGUUGUCCAGGAACAGCACGUGUUUCAGGAGCAGCAUGGCUAUUGAGGUUGUUCAUGACCUUAUCACGCACUGCAGAGAACAACUAUACCAACAAAUAUAUCAUGUAAUGAUGCAGUGAGCAAGGGAAACAGAUUUAUCAUAAUGAAACACCAAAUUUGAAAUUUGAAGCUAUCUUUCAUAUCAUAUCACACAGGGUUUAUGCUCACUGCCUCUGGGGGUUGCUCCAGACCAGUUAACCACUUCCAAAGAUCUGGAUUUUCCUGAAUAAUAGAAAACACAUAUUAAAACGGGAACACAAUAUAAUAUAUUGAUAAAAAAAAACCUCAGCUUAAAACUAAAAGAAGUCACCAAUGGUAAUUGAGAACUAAAAUGUCAAAGCAGACGUUAAAAGAACAUUUCAUUCAUUCAUCAUUAUCUUUAAUUUGAACCUGACACAGAACCAGGUAAAGGCACAAGAUAUUGAAUUAAAGAGCAGUGAAUGUUGUACCAUCGGUUUCAGUUCCGGUAAACAGACGAUUAACAGGAAAUCUUUCCAGCAUAAAAUCCACCUUAAAGCUAGUUAAUCUUAAAAAUGUUUAAAGUUCAGCAAGAAAAAAGAACUCUCUUUUUGAAGCAGCUAAUCUAAACACGCCCAUGAAUUUACGAAAUACCCUUAAAUUUGAGGAGACGAAUGAAAUCACAUAAAAGCUGUCGGAAGCACAAUAACAAAAUGAAUAUCAAACUUUGACCAGAAAACUAAUAACCAAAGGCAAUUUAGAUUAUAAAUAUAAGCGAAUAAGAAAAUUUACCAAGUCAAGGACAUUACAAGUGCCUUAAUCCCACUUUCCAGGGAAUAAAUAUGCUCUUCCACCCAUUUUCCCCAGAACCAAAUCCAGCUCCAGGAACCCUCUCUGCCUACUCCUAUACAACAGCCCGAAACUUGUCUGCGACCCUGUGUUGUGCAUACUUAGCUACAAACCGUAAAAAGGACCAAAUAUUCGGGGAAAUGAAACGAUAGAAACCUGUUGCAUAAACGCCUUUUACUUUCUUCGUUGGUCAGAUCAAUAUCUGAGAAUUGCGUUUCGUUAUCGCUCACAGAUGAAUAACUUGAAAACAAACCAUACUGAGGUCCGGGAGAAAAUACACAUACAAAUUCAGUCAAAAAACAAAUUUUCUACUACGAUCAAAUCAAGAUAAUUAAGAGAAAUUAGGUGGAAACCUGAAAGAAGUUUCCCUGAGAAUGGGGGAGAAAGCAACUGUGGAGUUCCGAGGGACUGUGGCGGAGGUAUUGACGACAUUACAGGCGUGAUAAGAGCUCUUCUCAAGCUUGCCAUUUUUCUUGAUCCGAGUUUUAUUUGGACGUUAAAAAGUUAACCUUCCCCGCCGUGAACGAAAAAGAAAAUGAUGGACUAAAGAGGCAGUGUCGUGGUGGGCUUCAACAGAUUGGGUGGCAUCCAACAGGCCCGCAUACUACGCCACAUUUGAUCCAAAAGGGAGUUGGGCUCCGGUUCAGUUAUUGUCCACUGCCAAAGACAACGUGUUUCUCUGACUAAUUUCUAAUCUUUCUCUCUUUUUUUUUUCUUUUCCAAUUGAAAAAAGAAAAUAAAUAAAAUAAAAAAAGGCAUCGCGGUGGGCAAAUAUCAAAUUUGUCCAUGUCAAUUUGCCAUUUGCAAAAAAUUACUCUAUUGUGGCAUUUUAUGUUUUAUUAAAGUUUUUCGCACAUUGUAAAUUCUGCAUAGAGUUUUUUGUCACAGGGCGCACUUGAGCAUUGCGCCUGUGCGGCACUUGGACAGGUCCCAACGAGGUUACAGCUCGCCAAGUUCAAUCUAUCGAGGAGUUUUGCCAUGCUGACCGGUCUCGCCCUGCCUUGGGCUCAUCAGAGGAGCGGCUCCAACCCCUGACCAGGGUGUGUAGGUACGGCGAUCCCACACACAACGGCCCUUCGAACAACUCCCCACCCAAUCUUUACGGCAACAUUUUCCCUAGCAUGGUGUCACGGCAUCCCCAAGAAUUAUGCAUGUGACAAUCUCCCCACUCAAUCCAUGCUUGCCCUCGAGCAUGUCUGCAAUUAAGCACUUUGAUCCCAGCAUCGUUUCUCCGAAGUGACGCUUUUUCACCCAAGCUACGAGCGCAACGAGCCAAUGGGGACGUCCCUAUCCCGUCAAAACGCAGGCUUCACCUUGCCUUGCCCCACCCGUUGAGGCACCCGAGGAACCCUAUCCUCGCUCACACAGUUGCCUCGCAAUACUUGCUCAGGACACCACCUUCACUUAGUGGGUCCGAUAUAGCACCUCGGUACGCGCAGCAUCAAUCCUUGCUCCCCUCCACCAAGGAAGCUCAACUCAACUACGCGCAGUCACUAUGCUGGUUCUCCACACUAGGAAAGACAACUCCUCUUCUCCUCUGUUCUUCCAGGAUCUUCAGCGCGGGAUAGCAAACAUGCCAUGCAGAAGCCCACCUUGGCUCUGAUACCACAUGUCACAGGGCGCACUUGAGCACUGCGCCUGUGCGGCACUUGGACAGGCUCCAACGAGGUUACAGCCCGCCAAGUUCAGCCUAUCGAGGAGUUUGGACAUGCUAACUGGUUUUGUCCUGCCUUGGGCUCAUAAGGGGAGCGGCUCCAACCCCUGACCAGGGUGUGCAGGUAUGGUGAUCCCACACACAACGGCCCUUCGAGCAACUCCCCACCCAAUCUUUACGGCAAUAUCUUCCCCAACAUGGUGUUACGACAUCCCCAAGAAUUAUGCACGUGACAUUUUUCUUUUGCCUUCCUGCGUAAUGAUUCCCUCUAUGACCUUGAUAGAAUUAUUUUCCAGAAAAAAGAAAGACACAGCCUCACUCGACUGGGUAUUGGUGUUUCGAAUGACAAAUAUCCACCAUUUCUACUACAAGCCAUCGCAGUGAAAAUAAGUCUUCACAUAAGAAGCUAUACAAAAAUCAUUUAAAAUUCUGAAGAAAAAGGCUAUAGAACUUUCAAUUCCAUUGUACACAGCUUGAAUAAGAACAUUGAUGACAGUAAAAUAAAAUAAAAAUCUUAAACGGAAAGACUCAGCUUUAAUCUAGAUUUCAAUCUCAGAUGCUUAGGCGUUUGAGGGCAAUCAUGUGCUAACAAAAUGUAAAUUAACAAAUAAUGAUUUAAAUGGAAAUUAAAUAUUUUAUAGAUCUCGCCAUGCCCUUAUAAUGCAACAGUGACAUCGCUUGCUUUCACUCGUACGAGUAGAAUCUGCAAGGUCUCCACAGGGUUUAAGUUUUUCCCUUUUUGAAUGUUGCAGAUUUGUUCUCAAUCAAGGACAUGCGAACUGGUUCACAGUCGAAUACCAUGUAAUAGGGUAUCAUAUGGUUGCUUCAAAAUUUUAUUUCGCGUCUCUCUGCAAAAAAUUUUCCUGACACUGUCAAAUCAGGAAGCAGGGCAAGCCACACUCCAGUGUCGGCUGCAUCUGGCGUUGAUAUAUUACCAGACCAACCCGUCAUGGCAGUCUUUACCCAUCCUGGACAGUAGCAGUUGAUAUAAAUCUUGUGAUCUUCAGGCUGGUCUGACAGUUCCUUUGUCAUUAUCCUAGUGAAAGCAUUAACUGCAAGUUUUGACACCGAGUAGUCAGUGAACGUCUGAGGCCACCCACCCGAUUUCCAAGUGUCGUCUUCUACUUGCUGUAGGAAAUUAGAUAGAGUCCUUUCAAUGAGUUCUUCUGAUAGUGUUUCAAUGUCACUUAAUUGUUCUCUCAAAGUUGCAUCUUCAAUUCUCUGUUAUGGGCAAGUAAACAACAAUCAGUUUAAUAGUAUCAAAGAAUUUUGUACUUAGUAAGCAUCACAUACACUAAAACAUAAUCUUUUUGUCUUCUUCCUCCAUUUUUUGUCUUCCUUUCGCCCUCUUUCUCUCGGCAGUGGGGCAGGGGGCAGAAUGGAGAGACCAGUGAUUUACACUAUAUUACAGGACCUUCCUAUUUCUAUUUACAGCAAAAUGUGCACAUCUAAAAGAAUCACAAUAACCCAUGCUUGGAUAUGCUUGAAUUUCUAAUUCUCUAUUAGCCAUUAAAAGCUCUGUUGCACGUGCAUGAAACACAGAAUAUUUUGCCCAAAGGGAGGACAAGCAGGAUUACAGAAGACGGGUGGACCCAGAUCAGAGAAUGGAUCCAAGGCCUCUUUAGAUUUUAAUUUUACCAACACUCUAGCAUUAUGUUCCUGAUUGCAUGAUCCGGAUUACAGAUCACUAGCACUUUGUAACAUUAAAAUUAGCAUUUCAAAGUGCAAACUACGAGUAGAGAAUCAAAUUAUUAUCAUUAUUAUGCUGUAAAUAUUGGUAUUUGGACUUCUUUUUGUCGUCUUAAGUUGCUACGUACCAUUUUUAAAUUAGAACUAAUUUUAUGUUCCGUUUUUAUUCCAUAUGCAUGAUCUACAAUCUAGGUAAACCUAAAACUUUGACCCACAUUACAUUGGCAGGCGUUCAGUGGAAGAAAAAAAAAGGAUAAUGAAGCCUACAUAUAUCAUGACAUAUAGAAGCUAUCUCAUCUCUCAGAAAGAGAAAUAAGGAACAUGAAAGUAUAACUUACAUUUCGUCUGCCACUUAUUUUACCCAGGCGCGAGCUCACAUUAACUAUACGAGCACCUGCAGUAGAAGGUCUCAUCAAUGGAAUCAUAGCUUUAGUCACAUUCUUAGUGCCAUAAUAGUUGGUAUCAAUAACCAUUCGAGCAAAUUCAACAGAAUUAUCAGACCCAGUAUUGAAAUUGACACCGGCAUUGUUCACCUGCAAAACAUAAUUUCACAUGAAAACAUCAAAGAAAAUCAAGAUGAUUUCAAAACUAACGACAUGAAGGAAACAUAAAUAAAAUCAAAAUCAGCUUAAGGGGGCUAAUUUACCAGAAUAUCAAUACCACCGUAGGUUUCUCGUAUCCAUUCAGCAAACUGUUGGAUGGACGAAGAAUCUAAGACAUCAAGCAGAUGGAAGACCACACUUAGACCUGAUUCUUGCAAGACAUUAACAGCUUCAAUACCAGCACUACUUUCUCUUGAUGUCAAUACAACUGUCAAUCCAUGAUCUGCAAGUUGUCUCACAAUCUCAAAUCCUAUUCCUCUAUUAGCACCCGUGACCACAGCAAUACUUUCCGAUGACCACCACCUAGAAACAAUCCCCAAUUAGAAAUUACACCACUUUCAAUUCUUAAUUCAGAGCUGUGUUACAUUACAGACGAUGCAUCCCACUGCUAAAACGAGUAAACUGCCUCAAACAAAACAUAGCCCAUGAGACCAUUUUGUUCUUUGGCCCAAUUGCCUACGCACUACGCAUUCAUGAAGCAUGAAUCCCAGAAAUUGACAAAAUAAUUCAGGAGAUAUUAUAGUAAAUUCGAGCUCAUAUCAACAUAAUUGUACAAUGCACAUAGAGCAUGUAAAAACACACAUCUACAGCAGUACUGCACAAAACUCAGGGUGCUGAGAUCUAAGGCAGAAGGGAACACUCAAGGAAAGAGAGAAGAAAGGUACCUUUGGUGAUCGGAGUAGGGAAUGGUUCGGAGAAGUGAAAUCUCUUGGAGUCUCCUUUCUCUUCUUUCCUGGGCUCGCUCUUUAUUUCCCAUAGCUGCGAAAAUUGGCUUAACCGGCCGGUAACUGAGUAGGGUGUUUGUGUUUUAGGUCUCCCACUCGGGAUCUUUUGUUCGCCUUCUUUCUGUAAUGGAGCUUUGAGGAAGCUGGAGCCUGGUCAAAAUCUCGUAGCUAAUUUUUAGGUCAAAUUUGCGAUUUUUGGAUGCCACCUUCUAUUCUGUGGCACCAGAAUCGGAACCAUGUUUAUUUUGGUGGUGGGUUUAAUUUGGUUUGAUGUAUUUUGUGGGUUGAUCUUCUUAGAUGGGAAGAAGGUUUAGCCUAUGGGCUUUGUAUUUUAGGGCGAGCGAUGAUGGCAAAAACCCAAAAAUUUCCUACAUGCACAAAUUUAUUUGCAAUUCUGAACCAUGUCUUACUAACUGGUCUUGAACUUGAGUUAAAUUAGAUUGUGUUCAAUCUAGUUUAUAAGGCCAUCUCCAACGCUGCGCCAAUUUUUAUUUUAGUGUUGGAGAUGGCUCUCCAACGCUGUACCAAAAUCUAACAGGAUUUUGGCGCGUGAGACUGUAGCAGCGCUAUUUUCUGUUUUUUUUAUUUAUAAUAUAAUUUAAAAUUUAUUUCUUUUUCUAUUUUUUUAAAAUUUAUAUAUAUUUUUAAUUAAGUUUAAUUUUUUUCAUUUUUAUAAUUUAUUAUAUUUUUAAUUUAUUUUAUAUUUUUAUAAUUAUUGAAAAUUAAUUUAAAUUAAUAUAUUAAUAAUUAUAAAUAAUAUUUAUAAUAAAUUAAUUUAUUUAUAACAUAUUAUAUAGAAUAAUAUAAAUAAAUUAGUAAAGUGACACAUAUAUUAUAAUUGAACGAUAUAUAUUAAUUCAAAAUACAAUUAUUCACGGUACAUUAAAUAUUUAAUAUUCCGGAAGGUCAAAUCCAGAUCCGGCAAUAUCAUUGAGAUAUUGACCAUACACAUGAGAUGCGGAUGACGGUGGUGGUUGUUGACGCUGAGCUCUUUUCUCUGAUAUUCAAAUUUUUUCUUGGCGAAAUGUUUCACGAGCAAUUGGAUCAGAAAUAGAAUUUAAAUCAAGCAAUAAAAUUUUAUUUUCUUCUUUAAAUUCCUUUAAGUCCAAAGCUCUACCUUUCAUUAGUCUUCCCUUCUCCCUUUCUGCAGUUGCAUUCGCCAACGAUUCCACAAACUUUUCAUUAUCAGCAUGUAAGCAUUUCAGAGCGAAUGAAAAAGAUUCGUCAAGUUUUUUCUUCAAUUUUGCUUUUUUGACACCAAGAGGUCGAUCUGAUGAUGUAUAAUCUCCUGCAAUAUCCUCAUUUAAAUGGAUUGAAAAAGAUGAUAAGUUUAAAGAUGGUACCAUAGGCGAGUCAGGAGUAGGAUUGUCCGACUCUGAGGACACAUAAAAGGAGCUUUGAUUUUGAACUAUUUUUUUUAGAGCUACAAUCUUUAAACUUCUCAGCAUCUUUCAUCAUGCUCCAAACAUGGUCAAAUUUGAAUCCUUUUUUGUAGCUUGGAUCUUACAUUAGUAAAGUUUUCGCUUGAUUGAGCUGCAUAAUUAGAAAAAUGUUAAGAAAAAUUCUAAUAUUUAUGUAUAAAGUAAUUACCAAAAAAAUACUCACCAGAUCUUGCUCUGAAGCACCACUAGGAUGUAGGUUUUCAACUUGUCAAUAACAACCAUUCAAUUUUCUUAUAACCUUCUCAAUAACUUGCAAUCGACAUUGCAAAGAUCGUGGGUUGCGGGACUCUCAACACUCAUUCUUUGCAAUUUCAUAUGCUUCUGCCACCCGACUCCAAAAACGUUGACUAGAUUGUUGUUUACCUAUAAUGGGAUCUUGUGAAAUAUCUAGAUAAACUCCGCAUAAUAGCACAUCUUCAUUGGUAGAAUAUCCUGUAGAUCUUGAAGUCAUCGUUUACAAAGUGAUUAAAUAUUGAAGGAUAUGGCUAACUUAUGGUAAGUUGUAGAUGUUGGCAUUCCAAUAUAUAUAAGUGAGAUGAAAUCUUAGAUAAUAAUGACAUCAACAAUAUUCUGAUAGAUCUUAUCUAAAAAUUGACCGUUGGAUGGAUUUCAUUUCGAUCUCGACCUUCAGAUAGUAUGCACCCUUAUCCCCACAUUUUUCANNNNNNNNNNNNNNNNNNNNNNNNNNNNNNNNNNNNNNNNNNNNNNNNNNNNNNNNNNNNNNNNNNNNNNNNNNNNNNNNNNNNNNNNNNNNNNNNNNNNNNNNNNNNNNNNNNNNNNNNNNNNNNNNNNNNNNNNNNNNNNNNNNNNNNNNNNNNNNNNNNNNNNNNNNNNNNNNNNNNNNNNNNNNNNNNNNNNNNNNNNNNNNNNNNNNNNNNNNNNNNNNNNNNNNNNNNNNNNNNNNNNNNNNNNNNNNNNNNNNNNNNNNNNNNNNNNNNNNNNNNNNNNNNNNNNNNNNNNNNNNNNNNNNNNNNNNNNNNNNNNNNNNNNNNNNNNNNNNNNNNNNNNNNNNNNNNNNNNNNNNNNNNNNNNNNNNNNNNNNNNNNNNNNNNNNNNNNNNNNNNNNNNNNNNNNNNNNNNNNNNNNNNNNNNNNNNNNNNNNNNNNNNNNNNNNNNNNNNNNNNNNNNNNNNNNNNNNNNNNNNNNNNNNNNNNNNNNNNNNNNNNNNNNNNNNNNNNNNNNNNNNNNNNNNNNNNNNNNNNNNNNNNNNNNNNNNNNNNNNNNNNNNNNNNNNNNNNNNNNNNNNNNNNNNNNNNNNNNNNNNNNNNNNNNNNNNNNNNNNNNNNNNNNNNNNNNNNNNNNNNNNNNNNNNNNNNNNNNNNNNNNNNNNNNNNNNNNNNNNNNNNNNNNNNNNNNNNNNNNNNNNNNNNNNNNNNNNNNNNNNNNNNNNNNNNNNNNNNNNNNNNNNNNNNNNNNNNNNNNNNNNNNNNNNNNNNNNNNNNNNNNNNNNNNNNNNNNNNNNNNNNNNNNNNNNNNNNNNNNNNNNNNNNNNNNNNNNNNNNNNNNNNNNNNNNNNNNNNNNNNNNNNNNNNNNNNNNNNNNNNNNNNNNNNNNNNNNNNNNNNNNNNNNNNNNNNNNNNNNNNNNNNNNNNNNNNNNNNNNNNNNNNNNAUGAAGUCAGAUGGAAUCUCAGAUAAUAAUUACAUCAACAGUAUUCUGAUAGAUCUUAUCUAAAAAUUGACCGUUGGAUGGAUUUCAUUUCGAUCUCUAUCUUCAGAUAGUAUGCGCCCUUAUCCCCACAUUUUUCAAUGAAGUCAGAUGGAAUCUCAGAUAAUAAUUACACCAACAGUAUUCUGAUAGAUCUUAUCAAAAAAUCGACCGUUGGAUGAAUUUCAUUUCGNNNNNNNNNNNNNNNNNNNNNNNNNNNNNNNNNNNNNNNNNNNNNNNNNNNNNNNNNNNNNNNNNNNNNNNNNNNNACCCCUAUCCCCACAUUUUUCAAUGAAGUCAGAUGGAAUCUCAGAUAAUAAUUACACCAACAGUAUUCUGAUAGAUCUUAUCAAAAAAUCGACCGUUGGAUGGAUUUCAUUUUGAUCUCGACCUUCAGAUAGUAUGCACCCCUAUCCCCACAUUUUUCAAUGAAGUCAGAUGGAAUCUCAGAUAAUAAUUACACCAACAUUAUUCUGAUAGAUCUUAUCUAAAAAUCAACCGUUGGAUGGAUUUCAUUUCGAUCUCGACCUUCAGAAAGUAUGCACCCCUAUCCCCACAUUUUUCAAUGAAGUCAGAUGGAAUCUCAGAUAAUAAUUACAUCAACAGUAUUCUGAUAGAUCUUAUCAAAAAAUCGACCGUUGGAUGGAUUUCAUUUCGAUCUCGACCUUCAGAUAGUAUGCACCCCUAUCCCCACAUUUUUCAAUGAAGUCAGAUGGAAUCUCAGAUAAUAAUUACACCAACAGUAUUAUGAUAGAUCUUAUCUAAAAAUCAACCGUUGGAUGGAUUUCAUUUCGAUCUCGACCUUCAGAUAGUAUGCACCCUUAUCCCCACAUUUUUCAAUGAAGUCAGAUGGAAUCUCAUAUAAUAAUUACACCAACAGUAUUCUGAUAGAUCUUAUCUAAAAAUCAACCGUUGGAUGGAUUUCAUUUCGAUCUCGACCUUCAGAUAGUAUGCACCCUUAUCCCCACAUUUUUCAAUGAAGUCAGAUGAAAUCUCAGAUAAUAAUUACACCAACAGUAUUCUGAUAGAUCUUAUCUAAAAAUCAACCGUUGGAUGGAUUUCAUUUCGAUCUCGACCUUCAGAUAAUAUGCAUCCCUACCCCCACAUUUCUCCUAUUAAAUCAUGUAUUCUUUAAAGAUAUAAGCAUAACUCAUAUUUUUCAGUUCAUCUUAAAUUCGAGUCAAGAAAAUUCUAUAGAUCAUUACUUAAAAUGGAUUUCUAUGUUGGAGAUACAUCACAUAAUGAUGCUGAAAAUUCAUCAUCGUCUUCUUCAGAUAUUGAUGAUUAUAUUUCAGAUGAUAAUGAGUUUGUAGUGGAAACACAAGCAGUUCAUCAACAAUUUCUUAGAAAAAAGAUGGUUUUGCAGCAAAUACAAGAUCAACAUCGAGUUUCUAGAGGUGGCUCUGUUCUAGGUCAUGUUGUAAUCAAUCGAGAUCGUGAAGCGGCUGAUCGUAAUUUAUUUCUGGAUUAUUUUUCAGAUAAUCCACGUUUCAAUGAUGUAAUGUUUCGUCGACGAUAUAGAAUGUCUCGAAAUUUAUUUCUUCGUAUUGUCGAUGCAAUAAAAGCACAUGAUACAUACUUUGAACAACAAAGAGAUGCAGUAGGUAAAAUUGGAUUAUCUACUCUUCAAAAAAUCACAUCUGUGUUUCGAAUGCUAGCGUAUGGUUUGCCGGCGGAUGGUACAGACGAAUAUGUGAAAAUUGGGGAGUCCACUGCAAUUGAAAGUCUAAAGAGAUUUUGUCGAGCUAUUGUUGAGGUUUUUAGUGAGCAGUAUCUGAGAUCACCAACUGCCGAGGAUGUUGCAAGGCUUCUUUAUAUUGGUGAGCAACGUGGCUUUCCUGGAAUGUUAGGUAGUCUCGAUUGCAUGCAUUGGAAAUGGAAAAAUUGCCCUACUGCAUGGGCUGGCCAAUAUACAAGUCGUAGUGGAUCGCCAACAAUUAUUUUAGAAGCUGUAGCUGAUUAUGACCUUUGGAUAUGGCAUGCAUAUUUUGGAAUGCCUGGCUCUAAUAACAAUAUUAAUGUUUUGGAGUCAUCGCAUUUAUUUUCCGACCUUGCUAAAGGUAUUGCUCCUCCUGCUCAUUAUAUUAUUCAAGGAAACGUAUAUAAUACGGGUUAUUAUUUAGCUGAUGGUAUAUAUCCGAAAUGGUCAACUAUUGUGCAAACUAUUCGUGAACCACAAACAAGGAAGAAGAAGUAUUUUGCAAUGAAACAAGAAUCAUGUCGAAAAGAUGUUGAACGUGCUUUCGGAGUGUUACAGUCACGUUUUGCAAUCGUUGCAGGGCCAUCACUUUUUUGGAAAAAAAAAGUGUUGCAUGAUAUUUUAACUACAUGUAUUAUCAUGCAUAAUAUGAUAAUCGAGGAUGAACGUGAUCUUAGUGCACCUAUUGAAGACGGUAGAGAAUUUUCAGCUCCAACUGUUGAAAUGGCUGUCGAUGAAACUACUCGAUUUCAACAAUUUUUAGCUCGACAUAAAAAAAUUAAGGAUAAAGAUACUCAUUUUGCACUUCGUAAUACAUUAAUAGAACAUUUGUGGGAGCAAUAUACAAAUUUAAAUGAUCAUAUAAAUUAGCUUGUAAUUUUUUAUUGAUAAUUUAAUAUGUAUGAGUUUAUUUUAUUUUUAGUUUGCUAAUUAAUGUUUAAUUAAUGUAUGUUUAUAAUUAAUGUUUAAGUAAUAUUUUUUUAUAAUUAUUAUUUAAUUAAUAUAAUUUUAUAAUUAAUAUAUUUUUAUUUGUUUAUUUAUAAAAUAAUUAAAUAUUUGAAUAUUGGAUGAAAAUAUAAAAUAUAUAAAUAUUUAGAGUGAAUAUAUAAAAUUAUAUGAAUUUUUUGAGUGAAAUAUAUAAAUAAAAUUAAAGUAAAAUAAAUAAUAUAAUAUUAAAGAGAGUGAAGAAUAUAAAUAGAAUAUUCUUUUUGGUGUUAAAAAUGGUGCAGAAAGUUGGAGAUAAUAUUGUACCAUUUUGGUGCAAAGCACCAAAAUGGUAUAAAAAAUGGUGCAUACGGUUGGAGAUGGCCUAAUUUGCUUUAUAUAUAUAUAUUUAUUUAUUUAUUUAGAUUUUUCAUUUAAUAUUUUAUUUUUUAAUUAGGUAUUUUUGGGAGCUAUGCUCUUUUGAGUUAAAAAAGACUUUUUAUGUUAAAUUUUUCUUAAUUUAAUAGAAUAUUUGAUAUUAAGUUAGUUAUGUAUCAACAUACCUAUAAGGACUUAACACUUAUUUGGAUGAGAAAUAAAAUAUGUACCGAUUAAAACAUAAGUUCGAAAAGUGACACUAACUGAGAUUUAUAUUCGAAUUAGAUUCUCUGUUAUAUGUCCAUACUAAAGUUUAAGAGAAUUUAGAACUCCAACUUACUCGAUAAAUAUUAAAAUUUCAUAUUUUAAAAUACGUCGUUUAUGUGUAAGUAGCAGUCGUGUUAGAAUAUAUAAUAAUAAGAGUAAAUUUAAAGAAAAAAAAGAACUAGAGAAAAUGAAAAGAGAGGAAUAAUGAAAGGAAGAUCAAGUCUACCAAAAAUUCUCAAAUCAAAACUUUACAUUUGGGUCAUUAGUUAUGGAUAUUUUUUAGUUUCAAAAAAAGCUCAAUAGUUUUUUGUAACAUUUACUUUUGUAAUUAUCAACAUUAAUUAAUUAAUUGCACAAUUUUUUUUCUAUAAAUAUUUAGUCAAAAUUCAUUAAAUUAAUUUUCAAAUAAACUGAAUUGUAUAAUAGUCUCAACCUUUGUGUUUUAGCUUUGAUAUACGAAAUAUGGAGAAAGCUACACACGUUACAGAAUUUUUAUAUUCAUAAAUGUCCUCCAUCUUAUGGCAUGGAAAUGGAUAGAAUAGAAAAGAAAGGGUAAUUGACCAUCAACUAACAAAUUUUAAAGCCUUAAAGUCCCUUUCCAAUUACUUCAUUGAAUUGAACGCUUCAAUUUUCACAGGAAAACGCCAAAUAAAGCUGUGGUUUGUAUUCCAAUUCUAUAAAAUCGGUGUCAAUUUAUUUUGAUUUCCUUUUUAUUUUCUUCCAAAUUGGAAUUGUUGAUUCAUUAACAUUAGUGCAGUAGAUCGUCACCUGACCAAUUAUACAUUUUCCUUUCCUUUUUUUUCCCCUUAAAAUGUUUUCUUGCAAAUUUCGAUUCCAAAUUCAAUUAUCCGAUUUGCAUGAAAAAUUCCACUGUGGAACUAUACGUGCCGUCGUGUCUUAAGUUUUUAUGUAUGUAAAGCUAAUAGGCUUGUGUGUGGAUCAAAAAGAAAAGCAAAACUUGGGGAGCAAAUGCGAACGGAAGUUAGUCAAUGAUAUCAGGCUGAAAGAUAUGAGUAGACAAGAUUACAAAUCAAUUCGAAAUAAUGAGGUAAGGCCUGAGGUGUGAAAGGAUGUGGACCUACAUCUAGAAUGUUCAUCAUCAGUUGUCUGUUUUCAAGCAUUUCCUUACUGGUGUGUCCUUUUCUCAUUACUCCAUCAAACACGCUGAUUUGUUGGACUUACCAAUUCUUUAUUUUAUUACCAAAUCAUGUUAACAUUUUAUGUCAAAUUCAAGUAACUUAAUUACUAACACGAAUUUAAAGAAAUGUUAUCGAGUAGAUGUCAUUAUUAAUAACUGACUUUUAUAUUUUUAAAAAUUCAUAAUAUGCAUUUAAAUUUUACUAAAGCAUCAUUGGUUUUUUAAAUUAAAUUUUUUUAAAAAAGAAAAUCUGUAUUUAAUGGAAUACUAAUGGUAAAUUGUUUAUAUUAGUAAUGCAAGGACGAAUUUGUAAAAAUUUAUUAAAAUUUAAAUCGAGGAGUAGUUUGUAGAUUUUAUCAUAAUUCAAAAACUUGCAUUGGCAAUUAAUAAAAAAAUUUAGAGAGAAUAAGAAGUGAAAGGGCAGCAGAGGGAGAAAGAGCAGUUCCGUGUCGAUCUCGUGCCGAAGACAUCGAGCGUGCUUGCCAUUGUUUUUCUUUACUUAAUUUAGUUGAUUUGUUCUUUGUUAUUGUUUCGCUGAGAAUAAGAUUUUUAGAAUUUUAAUAGGAGGCGACUCUCUAUACAUGAUUUAUUUAAAAUAAAAAACUUGUGCUCAUUGAAUUUGAAUUUUACAAAAUUGUACUUUAUUUCUUUUGAUUUUGUGGGUUUUACGUGUCCUCCCUCUUCUUCUAUCAUUGUUUUUAUUGGAAUGGUAGUGGCAGUCGUUAUCUAACUAUUCUAAAAAACUAUUAGAUGGGCUAAAUUGAGAUGAAGUGUUUAUUGAGCUGGUUUUCAUUGUUGGAUUAGGGGCUUUGAUUUUUAUUUUUUUUUCUGUAACUGUUGACUCCGUAGGCUUUUAAUGUAAUUUAUUGCGUAAUUAAAAAUUUAGCGUGAAAAUUAUACAAAAUAAAAAGGUCAAUACCCAAAUAGACAAAAUUAUUGGCAGUUCCGUAUAAAGACGCGCUUUUGUCUUUUGCUGCAUGCUAAAAUUUCCUUGCCAAUUCGGAAACGUGGAAUCCUGCAGAAUGCCCACUCGUUCGUCCCUUUCAUAGUGGAAAGAUCCAAUACGGCUAUAACGCUAUCGCACGUUCACACCAAAGCUUCACUCUGCUAGGAGCCAAAGGAGAUCUCUUUUUGCCUGUUCUCUUCAUUUAUAUUCGAAAGCUUAAUUAGACGACGCGGGACUAAAGCUUGAAGCUUUCUUCUUCCAGCUGAAGGGGAAGCCCGAGAGGCGCAUAAUUUCCUCACUAGCCAGAGAAAAGGGGCUAUAGGAAGGCAAAACAAGCCCUUCCCAUAUAUGAUAUUGAACGGAUAAAGCUUCCAUCUUUGUUGGAUUGGAAAUUGGGCAUUCCAAAUUACGGAACAAAUCACUGGAGAAUCAUUUUUGGUACGUUUACUAUUCUUGCCUUCUUAUGAUUUUUCAUUUUUUGAUUUAAGAGGAAAAAUUGAAGUUUAGAACUCUAUGUUGUUUAUGAUGUUCCUGUUAGUCUCCGAUUGUCUUUUUCCUCAUUAAAUGCUCAUUGGUAAGGGAACUCCAAUAACAAGCAAUUCUAAUGAAACUUUCUGCAGCCUUUCUAUGGUUUGGAAGCAAAUUUGAGGGGAAGGAAAAAUUAUCAUCGGAAGUGACAGUUUUCUUUUUCUUUCUCAGUAGUUUUCCGGUAAUUAAAUUGUUUUGGUUUCUAUUCCUUAAACUGUGCAACUGAGUUUAUGAAAUGUUAUAUUGGAAUGGCAGGCGUCAUGGCAAGUCUUUUUCUAGGGAGCUUACGUUCCUUAUCCAUAUUGGUACUGGCAUUUCACACAUAUUAUUCACAAGCCUCACUGGAAAAUGGGGAUAGAAUAAAAUCUGCUACUUUUCUAUCCCCCAAAUUUGUGUUGGGACCAGGAUCAGUUGAGAACAGAUAUUAUCGAAAUAUUGAUUUCCCAAGAGGUCAUAUUGCUCUCAAGAGUUUUAAUGCUGAAGUAAUUGAUGAGGCUGGGAAUCCUGUCCCACUUCAUGAAACAUAUCUGCACCACUGGGUUGUUGCAAGAUACUAUCAACGUUUGGAUGUGGCGGAUACUGACAACAAUGAUGAGCUUCAAGUUCGCCAAUCAGAUCAUCUUUUUGCAGGGAACAGUGGGAUAUGCCAGGCCAAUGUUCUUAGACAGUAUUUUGGCCUUGGAUCUGAAACACGCAGAACAGCUACACAUGUUCCAGAUCCUUAUGGAAUAGAAAUUGGCAAUCCUGCUGAAAUUCCUGCAGGAUAUGAGGAGAGAUGGUUGAUUAAUGUGCAUGCAAUUGAUACUCGAGGUGCUGAAGAUAAGUUGGGAUGCACUGAAUGCAGGUGCGAUCUAUAUAAUAUCACAGUUGAUGAAUAUGGUCGUCCUUUGAGGCCAGAUUAUAAAGGAGGAUUAUACUGUUGCUACGACCACACACAAUGCAAAGUUAGACCAGGUUUUGAGGGGAUUAGGAGGAGCCUCUACCUGCGUUACACAGUGAAGUGGAUUGAUUGGGAUAGUUCCAUCAUCCCUGUGAAGAUCUUUAUAUUUGACGUCACUGAUACUGGGAAAAGGGUCAAUGGGUCUACAGGAAUGGAUCCAACGAGUGGUUGCCAGGUAGAUAAUUUACUUAGGUGGUGUUUAUACAUUAAUUGAAAAUUAAAUCAGGCAUUUAUAUUGCACUUUUUUUAAGUCGCAAAAAUCUUUUUGAUAGGACAACCAUAAUGCUUGAAAAAGGUAGAAAAAUAAAUAAAUUUAAUUUGUCAUCUAUCUUCUAUUGCACUGUGAAUCACUAUGAUUUUUUUUUUCCAGGUUGAAUAUGAGGUGGAGGCUUGCAGCACAACUGGUGUGACUAGUAAUGGGUGCAUUGAUGUCAGAAAAACAAGCCUAACCAUGCCAACUGGUGGGGAUGUCAUAUAUGGCGUUGCCCACCAGCAUACUGGGGGUGUUGGUUCAACUCUGUAUGGAGAGGUGAUUUUUGAUCUAGACUUUCUACUUUGUUAUGCUUUCAUCUUUGUGUAUGUAGCAUCUACGAUAGUAUUUAUAUUUAAAAUACUAACUAGUUUGUGGUAUAUUUAUUAACAUCCCUUUUGAUUACAUUGUACUGUAUAUGAAUUAUGGAAAUUUCAGGUGCUUGCUUAGUACUUGUCCUAGUUUUACAAGACUAAUGUAUCUUUCCUCAUUCAUUUCAUUUAGUGUGAUCUAAAAAUUAGGCCUUUAUGAAGGUUACCAGACAACUACAUGUGUUGCCAUUUGAAUUUUCAGACAACUUCGAUAAUUUUUGCUUUAUGUUUCCUAGUGCAUAUAUUUCAAAAGCUACUUAUGGUUGCCCUAGAAUGAAUCUUAUCCAAAUAGAAUAAUGCCUUUGCAUCUCCUCCGACAAAGUGGUGUUAUGUUCCCAUGGAACAGAAUAACUUUUCAACUAGUACAUUGUCUAUCAGUCAUAAUUUGUACUCCCUGGAUUAUCACUCCACUUCAGAGUUUUUGAUUACAUAAGACAGUAACAUCCUAAUGUGAUCUGUCUGGUCCAAAAUUAUUAGCAAAGUUCCAUUUUUCCUUGGCUAACAAAGAAUUUUUCCUUAUUGCUACAGCUGAUGUCACUUCUAUUAUUGAUCAUGCCAUAAAAACUUAAAUUUACUCGGUUGUAAUUUGGGUUGGUGUCACAGUCACUUUUUUGCCUAACUGCCAAUUAUCUGCAUAUUUGGCGAAUUCAGGAUGGACGUGUUAUAUGCACCUCAGUACCAACUUAUGGGGACGGAGCGGAGGCAGGAAACGAGGCAGGUUAUAUUGUAGGAAUGUCCACGUGUUAUCCUAAACCAGGUUCUGUGAAGAUAGCAAACGGGGAGAAUCUAAUUCUGGAAUCCAAGUACAGUAAUGCUCAAAAGCACACAGGAGUUAUGGGGCUUUUCUACAUUUUGGUUGCAGACCGUACACUAAAGCACACUACUUCCUUAGCUUCUCUUGUUCAUGUAAGUUCUUAUUCAACAUUCAAAUUGUGCGGUUUGUCUUUGUCACAAUCUCUCUCUCUCUCACGCACACACACAAGUUCAAUCAGUACAAGCUUUUGUGGCUAGGAUAUUUAUGGGCCAAUGGAGUCUGGUAAUCUGGACAGGGGUUUUGUUAUUGUUCAUAAGGUUUAGGGAUGCCCAAAAAUGUCUAAAUAAUAUAUUUAGGGACAUCGAUUCUGGGUUACCGACAAAGCCUAACCUGCAAACAUAUCUUGCUUCUUGCAGGUGCAUGAAAGCAUGGAACCGUCGAUACAAGCUUGGGAUAUAAUAGUUCUGUUGGGACUGACAAUAACCCUUGGUGUAGCUGCUGCUGUUCAUUCUUGGCUAAAGAAGGGAAACGCUGAUGGCUACCAACCAAUUCGGGUCUAGAGUUGUGCAGUUGGCUUAGAUAGAUAUUCACAUCAAUAAAAUUCUGAGAAUGAACUUCUAAUUCUCUUUAUAUAGCUGUACGGAUACUUAUGAUCUUCUUAGAGCAACUGGAAUUAAUCAUAUGGAAUGUAAUAUAUCUUGGCAGCAAAACUAUGUCCUCUGCUUUUGCUUAGUCCAAGUUUGUUUUCUUUUUAAUGUAAUAUUUUUAUUAUCUUGAUCAUAUUAAAUAAAUAAUGUUUUUUACCAUAUCUUUUUGUCCUACACAGGCUCUCAAAUUUAGGCUUUGUUUACGGAAAUAAUUAACGAAAUUAAAAGAAUAGAUUAUUAGUAAAAAUUUGAUAAAUUUUUAUUUAUUUAUUUAUUUUUAAAGUUUCCCUUUUUGACAUUUUUUUUUGGUUAGGGAGAGGGGAGAAGAGAUUGAAUAAUUUGUGCAAAGAGAUUUUUAUUCACAUUAGAACUCGCCCAUAGGUCCAGGAAAAGCAAAAAUUGGCCCCGGCCACAAGGAUAUUCUGUAUUCCCUUAUUCGGUUCGGCCCCCCUUCUCUUCUUGCGCCUUGAGAGGCCAGACCAAUAGCUAUUUUAUUGAGAUUGCAGACCUAGCCAAGCCAACAACGCAAUUUCCUUUUCCAUUCCAGUCUCUCGCACAAUUGCACAAACAUAUGGAGGACGUUUUCCGUAGCUUGAAUGGCAAAUAAUACCACCAUCUUUUGGGUUACUGUUUAAUCUGUUUCUCUAUCUUUUACGUGCCCAUAGCCCAAUUCGCUCAUCAGUUCCCAUAAAACCCAUCAAUAACACGUGCCAAUUCAAACUCGUCUGAAACGCAAUAAUAUCUGGGCAAAGUUUCCCCUUUCACCCGCCAUUGGCGCAUGGACUAACCAAAGCUUUUUAUCGCCUGAAACCGCUCCAUUCUCACUCCUUACAUUUCAUGUCCAAUCUCCCUUCUUCCGCAUUUUGACAUCUUUUCUUGGGCCAUCACUUCUACUCAUGAUCCUUUCUUUUUUUUUCUCACUGAUUCCAGUCGAAUUUUAACAGGGUAUUUCAUUGACGGGAAUCUCGUUUCUGUUUUAAUUGAUUCCCUAUUAAUUACUCGGUCAACACGCGGAGAUCUAUACCAACAAACAGGGAAAAACAGCCCGUUUGAUGCAGCUCAUGCGCCUAUCCAGCAGGUAGCGUUUCUGCAAUUUGGGAAUUUUUACCAUGUCCGGAGCGGGUCACGCCGUCGAGCACCGUGUUGGGCUGCCGGAAAUGGAAACGAACCCCAACCGCUCCGGUUGCUGCAACCCCGUUAAGAAAUCGGGUCCUGUAACAAUGGAUCAUGUCUUGUUGGCAUUGCGGGAAACCAAAGAAGAGAGGGAUGUUAGAUUACGGAGUCUGUUUAAUUUCUUUGACGCUACGAAUACUGGAUACUUGGAUUACGCGCAGAUCGAGGCAGGGUUAUCGGCGCUGCAGAUUCCAGCGGAGUAUAAAUAUGCUAAGGAUUUGUUGAAGGUCUGCGAUGCCAAUAGGGAUGGACGGGUAGAUUAUCAGGAGUUUAGGAGGUAUAUGGACGAUAAAGAGCUGGAGUUGUAUCGGAUUUUCCAGGCAAUUGACGUGGAACACAAUGGGUGCAUUUUGCCUGAAGAGUUAUGGGAUGCGCUUGUUAAGGCUGGUAUAAAUUUCACUACUUUAUUGUUUUUAACUUCGAAUUGUUUUCUUAUAGGGACUGCAUUGAUCAAUCACAUUCACAGUGAAAUUGUGCUGUUAAUAACUGUAUAUGGUGAUGCUUUUGAUAUUUAUAUUGAUCGGAAUACUUUAUUUAUGAUAGUUGUUGUUAACUAUAUAUUGCUAAUCAGACGUCCAAUGUAGACUUUUAUUUUUUAUAAACAAACGCAUUGAAGCUUUAGUUUUCUUAAUAGAUUUAGUUUGGAUAGUCUCUUCAAUUAUUCCAUUUAUUUGGAUCCUAUGCUUACAAUCAUGAUCUAGGGUUGGUUGAUAGCAGGCCAUAGGAGAACAUUUUGGGCAUUAUUACUAGCAAUCCGGUUUGCACAAUAUGAACUGAAUUUUUAAUGCCUGAGCUUUUUUUCUUUUGUGUUAGUAUUGGAUUACAAAAUGGGCAAUGUUCCUUCUGUAUGAGUGAGAAAGUCCAUCUUUUGUAAUAGUUGUGUUUUGGGAGCUGCUUGAGGUGGCGGCUGCCAACUUUAUAGCCUUGUAUAAUGUAAUCAAAGUUUUCACUUGCUAUCACCCAUUUAAUUCACUGAGAGUCUUCUAGAAUGCGUUAUUUAGCAUUUUAAGCCAAUGAAUAUAGGAAAUUGUAGGCCAGAGGUUGAUCAUUUACCUAUAUUGCUUUCUUAAUGUUUUGUAUCCAGAGUUGUUAUUAUUUGCUCAAAGUCUAAAUUACCUUUGCCUAAGUGUAAUUAAUAUGAAAACUACUCUAUUGACAGAUUCCAAAUAUCAUCUCAAAUUAACUGAGUUGUCGAUAUUCUCUACCUUACCUCAAUUUUCUUCUCUACUUCUCUAUUUGCUUUCAUGUUUUAUUCUUCUCUUUUCUCUUGCAUUCUUCUCCCUUGUCUCCUUAGGUGUUGCAUUGCAUUGCUUUUGAAAGUCUUCAUCUAUCCUAGACUAUGUGACCUCAGUUAACAAUUAUUAACCUUAAAUGCCCUUUCUAAUUAUUUAUUUAUGCUGGAAACUGUAUCAUCUUGAUGGAAGCUUACUGUGGUAUGGUUACUUGCAUAUGCUGGUUCUUGUUUAUGCUCUGUGCAUUUGCUAGGCCUUGCUUUAAAUGCACUUGUUGUUUUCAUCUUAUAAGCCCUGGCAGUUUCUGCUUCACAGGGAUUGAAAUCGAUGAUGAGGAGCUUGCCCGUUUUGUAGAACAUGUUGAUAAGGAUAAUAAUGGAACUAUAACAUUUGAAGAAUGGAGAGACUUUCUUUUGCUUUAUCCACAUGAAGCUACAAUUGAAAACAUAUACCAUCAUUGGGAAAGGGUAUGCCUUGUAGAUAUUGGAGAGCAAGCUGUUAUUCCAGAAGGCAUCAGUAAGCAUGUUAAUAGGAGUAAAUAUUUUAUUGCAGGGGGAAUAGCGGGAGCUGCUUCUCGUACUGCAACUGCUCCCCUUGAUCGCUUGAAGGUGGUUUUGCAAGUUCAGACAACAAAUGCUCGUCUUGUUCCUGCUAUAAAGAAGAUAUGGAAGCAAGAUGGUUUCUUGGGUUUCUUUCGAGGCAAUGGACUAAAUGUUGUGAAGGUAGCACCGGAAAGUGCUAUUAAGUUUUAUUCUUAUGAAUUGUUAAAGAACGUCAUUGGGGAUUUUAAGGGAGGAGACAAAGGUGAUAUAGGUCCUGCUGAGAGACUUUUGGCUGGUGGUAUUGCUGGUGCGGUGGCACAAACUGCUAUCUAUCCAUUAGAUCUUGUGAAAACUCGAUUACAAAUUUGUGAAGGUGGAAAUGCUCCAAAGCUGGGAGUUCUAACAAAGAAUAUAUGGGUUCAGGAAGGACCACGAGCCUUUUAUAAAGGCAUUGUGCCAUCUCUUCUUGGGAUUAUACCUUAUGCUGGGAUUGACCUUGCUGCCUAUGAAACGCUGAAAGACAUGUCAAAGACAUAUAUUCUGCAUGAUAGUGGUACAUUUUUUUCAUUCCUGUUGUUUAUCAUCUCUCUAGGUUUUAUGAUUUAAAGGGAGCUAUUGUUCUGAAAGCUUUAAAUGCUCUAUAGAACCGGGUCCUCUUGUGCAAUUGGGUUGUGGGACAAUCUCAGCAGCGUUUGGAGCAUCAUGUGUUUAUCCCUUGCAGGUUAUCAGAACCAGGUAUCAUAUGUAGUGUCCAUAUAUGUAUAUAUUUAGUGGAUUGAGAGUGAAGGUUGAAUAUUUCGCUUGUUCUCAGGUUUAUUCCAAUGAAUUUUUGUUAUCUAUCCAGAAAGCUCAAUGUUUCAUUUCUGCUUUGCUCUGUCUUUUCAGAAUGCAAGCACAGCAUUCUAAUUCUGCUGCUGCUUAUAAGGGCAUGUCUGAUGUAUUUUGGAGAACAUUCCAGAAUGAAGGUUUUAGAGGUUUCUACAAAGGACUUUUCCCAAAUCUUCUGAAAGUUGUGCCAUCUGCAAGCAUAACAUAUUUGGUUUAUGAAGCUAUGAAGAAGCGUCUGGAUCUUUGAUUGGAGAUCAUGUCCGGUGGCAACUAAACGUAUUUCAGAUAUGGAAAUAGUCAUAUGAUGUUGACGAAAAUAAUUAUAGGAUUGCUAGUGAAGUAGGCAAUACGAUUAUUGGAGUUAUGGGAUAGACGGUAAUUCCCCUUCAUGACUUGGGGGCACAUAGUUUUGUCUGCAGGAGAUUUCUUUUUUUUUUUUUUUUUCGGAAGCUUAUUAGCAUUAUUAAGGUGGCUUUAAGAAACAAGGAUUAUAUUUAUAUGACAUCAUAAUAUGUCCGACUUGAAGGUGAUGGGCUUUUCCCAUUGCCUUCUGUCACCAUUCCCACUUUCUUUCCAAACUUGUGCUUACGUUAUCUCGAAGAUGACAACUUUAUUUUUCAUUACUUAACGACUCCAAGGAAACAUAGCCACCCUUAUCUUCUGUAAUAACAACUAUCUUUACUAGUAAACCAUAUCACUCACCAGUGCCUGAUUAUAUUUGCUUGUUUAGCCAUAUGUAGGAUGAAGGUUUGGCAGACGUAUUGUGGUAUGGACCCAUGUGUUUAAUAUGGUCAUGGUUCCAUAGCUGUGGCUGUGGAGUCAAAAAAACGUUUUAAUGAAUGCGUAUUGCGAUCAUGGGAUGCGUUUUUUCCAUGCGGAUGUGCCGUUUAGAGCUUUUUAUGUUUAUUCUUAUUUUAUUGUUUUUAUUAAUUUAUUGGUCGAAGCCGUUUCAAGCAGGAUGGUGGGCAAGUGGUCCCCUGUUAUGCGUUAAUGUCUAGCUGUUUCAUUCAUUGCUAUAAUGUGUGAUCUUCUAGUUAAGAUUUUCAGAAAAGCAAAGCGCUGCUAUGUGUUGGCUAAAGCUCUCCUCUACUUGGGAUAAUUAUUGUUGGACAUUUUUUUUUAUUUUUUUUAAAAAAUUAUUAAUAAAAAAUAAAUAAAAUUAAUCGAUGUAUUUUAAUUUGAAAUUUUAAUUCUCUAACUAUAUAUAUAGAGAGAGUGUAGGCCAGAUUCUCAAUUUAGAAAGCUGCAUGCAUUGAUUUUGAUUAGCAUGCGUAUAUGUGCUAAUUUGCAGGACUCGGUCGUCGCUACUUAUUAAUAAUUUGUUGUAUGUUAGUAUCGAAAUUGUUACAUUACUACCAAAAUACCCCGAAAAUUGGAAGAUGGAAAUCCGAACUCGAAAUUGAAAGAUACCUCAAACUGCUUAUUGGGGUUCCAAUCCCAGCUCAUAUGUUUCGAUCAUUACACUUCGGACGUGGUUUCGACUUGGAGAGAUUCAGAUUCGGACGCAUCAAAAACAUGACCAAAUAGAAAUUCUAUCUUCAACUGAAGUUCCUCUGUCACUCGAUUAAUGUUUCAGUAAUAUGAUUUUCUUUUUCUAAUCACUCAUUGGAAAAGCAGUAAGGGCUGUGUUUAAUUUCCUUGAUAAUAUAAUUUAAUUUAAUUUCUCCUAAUUUAAAUAUUACCGGAUUUACUCAUUGGCUCUAAUUAACCUGGAUAUUCAUAUAAAAACGCAUCACCCACACCACACAGCUGUGUAUGGCUAAUUGCCAUCUAGUUUAUUUUCCUUGCAAUGGGUGAGAAAAGAGUGUCUGAACCAUUAGAAAUUUAGAAUAUAUCUUAACAACUUUUAUAUGAAUUCGAUUUACCAUAAACUCAAAAUAUAAGAUCUCACUUUUUUCUAUGUAAAUUCCACAAAUCCAACAAACCGAGCCUUGCAAAUUGUACUUCUUUAGAAAAUAACAAAAAAAAAAGGAAAGAAAGAAAGAUAGCAAGUAGACAUCAAGGAAGUAGCUAUAAACUAACACACAAAACAGAUUGGCAUAGCUUUUACCAGUAGCAUCACACAGCUCCUGAGUGAAAUAUACACACUCAGUUUAUGCCAAGGAGAUAUAAAGUACAAGAAGAAGAAGAAAAGAAAAGAAAAAAUCCGGAAGAAAGGCAUGACCUUCCCUUUGCCUCUGUGACUUGCCUUAAGCCCCCACUUCCACGUCCACCCCAUGAAGAAGAGGAGGAGAACAGAAGAUCGAGGAUUUCACCAUUAUCAUGCCAUCUUCUUCUUUUUUCUUUUCCUCCACAUAUUUUCUUACACUGUCAAAAACACUUCAAUCAGUUCAAAGAGAGCAAGAAAAUAACUAAUAAGUAUCCUGUGCAUUGCUUCUUCUCUUCACAGUAUGCCAUCUAUAUAUAAUGGCCACUGGGUAUAAGAGACCUAUAACAGCAGAGCCAAUUAUGAUUAUUCUUGAGAAUGGUCCACCACCAAGGCAUUAUUCUCUUACUGGGUGAUGCUUAUCCCACUAAGAAUAUUUAUUAUUCUUCUAUCUUCAUAUAAAUUACAAUACUUGAUCUCACAUCAAGACAUACAAACAGCAGGAGAGCCGAGUCAUUUUUCAUGUGGAGAAAAGCUAAAGAAAGAGGAUAAUCA
RNAcentral lists this long non-coding RNA (88485 nucleotides) under Manihot esculenta (cassava). Its description in RNAcentral is "long non-coding RNA (MESC_LNC003628)". The record is from RNAcentral. Lineage: Eukaryota; Viridiplantae; Streptophyta; Magnoliopsida; Malpighiales; Euphorbiaceae.